Molecule: long non-coding RNA, 119732 nt
Filed under: Pelobates cultripes (western spadefoot toad)
Lineage: Eukaryota; Metazoa; Chordata; Amphibia; Anura; Pelobatidae
Source: RNAcentral
AUCCUGCUGAAGCCUGCAUCAGGGAACACCAUUACCAUGGGGUGUUUGUGGUCAGUAAAAAUCUCUAGGUAGAUGAUAUGUCUCAAAGUAACAUCCACAUGAAUGCCAGGACCAUAGGUUUCCUGUCAAAACAUAAAACUACCUCUGACGGCCUGCCUUCUUCCCAUUGUGCAUCCUGCUCUUACAUAGAAACAUAGAAACAUAGAAUGUGACGGCAGAUAAGAACCAUUCGGCCCAUCUAGUCUGCCCAAUUUUCUAAAUACUUUCACUAGUCCCUAGCCUUAUCUUAUAGUUAGGAUAGCCUUAUGCCUAUCCCACGCAUGCUUAAACUCCUUUACUGUGUUAACCUCUACCACUUCAGCUGGAAGGCUAUUCCAUGCAUCCACUACCCUCUCAGUAAAGUAAUACUUCCUGAUAUUAUUUUUAAACCUUUGUCCCUCUAAUUUAAGACUAUGUCCUCUUGUUGUGGUAGUUUUUCUUCUUUUAAAUAUAGUCUCCUCCUUUACUGUGUUGAUUCCCUUUAUGUAUUUAAAUGUUUCUAUCAUAUCCCCCCUGUCUCGUCUUUCCUCCAAGCUAUACAUGUUAUGAUCCUUUAACCUUUCCUGGUAAGUUUUAUCCCGCAAUCCAUGAACCAGUUUAGUAGCCCUUCUCUGAACCCUCUCUAAGGUAUCAAUAUCCUUCUGAAGAUACGGUCUCCAGUACUGUGUACAAUACUCCAAGUGAGGUCUCACCAGUGUUCUGUACAAUGGCAUGAGCACUUCCCCUCUUUCUACUGCUAAUACCUCUCCCUAUACAACCAAGCAGCUGCCUGUUUUUAUUAUUGUUCCUCUUAAAUCAAUAAUGUUGUAGAAAUAAUCACCCCUAAAUCCCUUUCCUCAGAUGUUGAGGUUAGGACUCGAUCAAAUAUUCUGCACUCUGCCCUUGGGUUUUUCGUCCAAGAUGCAUUAUCUUGCACUUAUCCACCUUAAAUGUCAGUUGCCACAAUUCUGACCAUUUUUCUAGUUUACCUAGAUCAUUUGGCUUAUCCCUCCUGGAACAUCAACACUGUUACAUAUCUUAGUAUCAUCAGCAAAAAGACAUACCUUACGAUCAAGACAUUCUGCAAUAUCACUAAUAAAAAUAUUAAAGAGAAUGGGUCCAAGUACAGAUACCUGAGGUACCCCACUGGUGACAAGUCCAAACUUCGAAUAUAUUGCAUUCACUACAACCCUCUGUUGCCUGUCACUCAGCCAGUGUCUUACCCAUUCAACAAUAUUGGAAUCCAAACUUAAAGAUUGCAGUUUAUUGAUAAGCCUUCUAUGUGCAACAGUGUCAAAAGCCUUACUGAAAUCUAGGUAAGCAAUGUCUACUGCACCACCCUGAUCUAUAAUUUAGUUACCCAAUCAAAAAAAUGAUUAGAAGAUUAGUUUGGCAUUAUCUCCCUAAAGUAAACCCAUGUUGUCUCUGAUCUUGAAAUGCAUCUGUUUUUAGAUGUUCAACAAUCCUACCCUUUAACAUGGUUUCCAUCACUUUCCCCACUACCGAAGUAAGGCUUAUUGGCCUAUAGUUGCCCGACUCCUCCCUACUACCUUUCUUGUGAAUGGGUACAACAUUCGCUAACUUCCAAUCUUCUGGGACUACCCCUGUUAACAAUGAUUGGUUAAAUAAAUCUGUUAAUGGUUUUGCUAAUACACCACUAAGCUCUUUUAAUAGCUUUGGGUGUAUUCCAUCAGGUACCCUGUUAUCUCUUCCCUGUGGAAACAAUGCACACACACCUGGCCAUACAUCUGAUCUAAAAGAAAACAUGAUUCAUCAGACCAGGCAGCCUUCUUCUAUUGCUCCAUCGUCACGUUCUGAAGCUCAUGUCCUCAUUGAAGGAGCUUUCAGUGGUCAUAUAUAUGUAGUAUACCUUUAAGAGUUUAUUUUUAAUUUUUUUAAAUAAUGCUUGAAAAUCUAGAUUUUAGACUUGGAAAUCUAUGUCAGCAAAAAUAGUCAUUUCAUACUAGCACAUGUUCCAUAGUUGGAAGAAAUGCAAUGCAUUGGUAAUAAAUAUGCUGUAUGCUACAGGUAUACCACAGGCUAAAGUUGCCCAUUAAAAGACUCAUACUUUUUCAAUCCAUCACACGUGUAAUAUGAUUCAUGGCUGAGGAUAUGGAACAGUUAAGUUAUACUUGAUGAAAAAAGAUAUUAAAUUCUAUAAACUAAUUAAAACUUUGUCUGGGCUUUUAGAAGAUUUUCAAAAAGUAUGGACAUAAUGAUAAACAUCGCUUCGCUGCCAAAAACAGCAUAACAUUUAUAUGAAAACAGAAUACAUUGCUAGCAGAAAAACAUGGGAUAAAAGAGUAUGUGAAGGAACAGACUGCUGUUUAUUGAUACCUAAAUGCUACGUGAAUUUUUAUAAUUUAAUUUAAUUAUUUGCUCAUCAUUAAAAAAUUAUAUUGAGAUGAUAAAAAUGAUGAUACAUACUACAGAUUAUUUUUCAAUGUUUAACUCUGAGUCUGCAGUAUAGUAGCAAUCCAAAAAAAAGAGGUAAUGGUCUAGUACUCCACUUAAGGUGUAAAUCACUCUAAUUUGCUGUGGAACCUCAAUAAAGAUAGAGUGCUUUCCACUUAAGGUGUGUUCUGGAACAUUCUUCCUUUUUGGAUUGCUACUAUUGACUGGACGAUGGAAACAGUUACAUCGUACCCACUAAGUGUACGUACUAUAAUUUAGGUGUUUGCUAGCAAAUUAAAUGUUUUUUAAUUUAUUUAACCAAUCAUUGUUUACAUGAGUAGUCCCAGAAGAUUGGAAGUUAGCAAAUGUUGUGCCCAUUCACAAGGUUAGUAGGGAGGAGUCGGGGAACUAUAGGCCAGUAAGCCUUACUUCAGUAGUCGGGAAAGUAAUGGAAACCAUGUUAAAGGAUUGGAUUGUUGAACAUCUAAAAUCACAUGGAUUUCAAGAUCAGAGACAACAUGGUUUUACUUCAGGGAGAUAUGCCAAACUAAUCUUAUUGAUUUUUUUGAUUGUGUAACUAAAAUAAUAGAUCAGGGUGGUGCAGUAGACAUUGCUUACCAAGAUUUCAGUAAGACUUUUGCACAUAAAAGGCUUAUCAAUAAACUGCAAUCUUUAAGUAUGGAUUCCAAUAUUGUUAAAUGGGUAAGGCAGUGGCUGAGUGACAGGCAACAGAGGGUUGUAGUGAAUGGAAUAUAUUCGAAGCUUGGACUUGUCACCAGUGAGGUACCUCAGGGAUCUGUACUUGGACCCAUUCUAUUUAAUAUUUUAUUAGUGAUAUUGCAGAAGGUCUUGAUGGUAAGGUAUGUCUUUUUGCUGAUAAUACUAAAAUAUGUAACAGGGUUGAUGUUCCAGGAGGGAUAAGCCAAAUUGCAAAUGAUUUAGGUAAACUAGAAAAAUGGUCAGAGCUGUGGCAACUGACAUUUAAUGUGGAUAAGUGCAAGAUAAUGCAUCUUGGACAUAAAAACCCAAGGGCAGAAUACAGAAUAUUUGAUAGAGUCCUAACUUCAACAUCUGAGGAAAGGGAUUUAGGGGUGAUUAUUUCUGAUGACUUAAAGGUAGGCAGACAAUGUAAUAGAGCAGCAGGAAAUGCUAGCAGAAUGCUUGGUUAUAUAGGGAUAGGUAUUAGCAGUAGAAAGAGGGAAGUGCUCAUGUCAUUGUACAGAACACUGGUGGGACCUCACUUGGAGUAUUGUAUGCAGUAGUGGAGACCGUAUCUCCAGAAUUGAUAUUGAUACUUUAGAGGGAGUUCAGAGAAGAGCUAUUAAACUGGUUCAUGGAUUGCAGUAUAAAACUUACAAGGAAAUGUUAAAGGAACUUAGCAUGUAUAGCUUGGAGGAAAGCCGACACAGGGGGGAUAUCAUAGAAACAUUUAAAUACAUAAAGGUAAUCAAUACAGUAAAGGAGGAGACUAUAUUUAAAAGAAGAAAAACUACCACAACAAGAGGGCAUGGUCUUAAAUUAGAGGGGCAAAGGGUUAAUAAUAAUAUCAGGAAGUAUUACUUUACUGAGAGGGUAGUGGAUGCAUGGAAUAGAAGGAGUUUAAGCAUACGUGGGAUAGGCAUAAGGCUAUCCUAACUAUAAGAUAAAGCCAGGGACUAAUAAAAGUGUUUAGAAAAUUGGGCAGACUAGAUGGGCAGAAUGGUUCAUAUCUGCCGUCACAUUCUAUGUUUCUAUGUUUCUAUGUUUUACAUUCAGAAAUAUAAGCAUAGAAGCAAAAUGUCAUAGUUUGUCACACACAGUAGAUAUGGCUUCUUAAUCAAAAGGUUAAUAUGCUGCCUGUAGAUAGAUGUAAGAAACAAUAUCCUAAACAUCCCAGAAAGAAAUGUUCCAAAAAUCAAAACAUAUUUCUACAUGUAGCCAAAAUGCCCACACUCAUUAAAUACAGUUACACAAAUAUAUAUACAUUAAAAGGCAUUACAGGCUAACAUUGCAGUCUGCAAAUAAUCCCUGUAGUGUGCACAGUAGACUGUGGGAUUUUCAAAAAGUGAGAAAUAUACUGCUAUACAGUAUGGAACAAGGGGGUCACCAUUUGUAUUGCCUCUGAUGCUGAUAGGGAGAAUGUAGCCUUGGCACACAAAUGUGUUUCUCUGCAAGGAGAGUACCAGCGCCGGAGCAAAUGGGUAUGUAUGUGAGGCUUAGUGAGCUAAACUUUGUUUUGCCUUACUAUGCAAUGCAAGAAUUAAGUUAGAUGUAAAUAUUGAUUGUUGCAAGAGAAAGGAUUUGACAAAUAUAACGUGCAAAUUGAAAAUCUAAUGAAAAGAAAUUAAGAUUUACUGAUUAUCCACAUGGGAUAUUAAAUACAUGUAAAAUAAAUAAAUAAUAUAUAUAUAAAAACAGGGUUAUUCAACAAACUGAACAUUGCCAGGAAUUCAAAGUGAAUUUUGAUUUAAGGCCAAAGUAGCCAAACUGUAAGCAGAGCGNNNNNNNNNNNNNNNNNNNNNNNNNNNNNNNNNNNNNNNNNNNNNNNNNNNNNNNNNNNNNNNNNNNNNNNNNNNNNNNNNNNNNNNNNNNNNNNNNNNNAUUUGUGGUCUGUUUCCUCUGUGUCUUUAUUCCCAUGUUUUAUUCCGUCAUAUUUACCAAAAACCCAAGCACCCAUGAAUACCACCUUUAAUUUGGCACUCUAUAUGGGUAACACAAACACAAGUAAUGUUUGUCAAGUUGAAGCCAAUAUAUAACAGCAGAACAAAGCCUCUUUUUCUAAAUGUGGGCAGCAAUAUCUUAUGUGCAGCGGAAUGCUAUAACCUGUAAGCUGAUCUUCUGUCAUGCUGGCCCCUAUGUUUCAAAUGUGGGACCCUUUAAACUCCCAUACUGAUAACUAGACUUCUCUACGGCAAAAAAGGUUUGGUUAGGCUGAACUGAUUUUAAUCCACCCUACUCAGAUACCAUAAUGUGUUGAUCCAGAUAAGGCUGUUUGGGUAUGACGGGGUAUGCAUCAUUACUUCCUCUCUCAUAGAUUGAUGGAAACAAUGGCCUAUCCCUAAACGGAAAAGGCACAAUUAGUGCCUACUUUCAGACCUGCAGUUAAGAACCCUAAUUCCCCCAUCAGUGGGAAUGCAUGCUGCCACCAAGUAUCAACUUAUGCAUUUUUCUUUUAUAAACCAAGCAGUCGGAUAUUAUAAUUGUUGGUAUUAACAUAGUGCCAACGUAUUCCGCAGCGCUUUACAAUAUUAUGAAAGGGGGACAUUUAACAAUAAAUGAAACAAUUACAAGAUGUAUAUUCCCAACAUUCUGUUGGAACCAAGCAGUCAUAUUGGUGGAAGGAGAACUUAUCCUCAUCAGCUUUCUAUGUCAAGAAUCCACGUUGGACCUUCUUCAAUAACUCGUGAUUUCAGUGAUCACAAACAUAUUUAUGUGAUACUCAACAACAACGUGUGACUUUCUGAACUUUUUGUAUAUUUGGGAACACAAUCCCAAAACCUGCCAUUCGGUAUAUCUGAUCUGGAUACCUGGUUUCUUAGAAUGCAAUCUUCUUAAAACAAUAAAUACAUAUCAGAUAAGGUAUAGAAGUUUAAAUCCAUUAUAUUGAAGUUCCUACCUGGGGACAACGAAGACAAAUUGGGUCGUACGGUGUGCCUGUGUUCACCUGACACUUGCAUAAGUUUAUGGCGAUAUUUAAAUAAGUCAUUACUGACCCUUAAAAGCCAAACACACUGAAAGUCAAAAUAUAUUCAAUAAUCUUGUGUUAUUCAUGAAAAAAUGCCAUUGCAAAAACGGAAUGUUUCCAUAAACCUAAGCAUCUGUUCGCAUCUCAUGAAUUGCUUUAAAUAUAUUGUCAUAUUAUAUUAUGCUUCUCUCUCAUGCUAAAAAAUGAAGAAUAAAAUAAUCAAAACAAGUGCAUGACCUUUCUAUAAAAAUAGAUUGUAUUAACGUGAAUUCUACGUUGUUUUAAUGAUAAACGUCGCAUAGACACCUGCUCUUAGCCACACACCAUCUGUUUUAAUUGUUUUUAUGAAUGAGCCAAGGAUAUAUUCUUCUUGAAACUCAUUAUACUAUAUUAAGAAGAUACAGACUAUUGUGCAUAUACAGUUUGAACAUUCUGAAAGGAAUGCUAAUUUAUAGAAUAAUUGGUAGAUGUUUUUUCUUUAGGAAACAUGACCCAGAAUGCCGGUUAAGAGUUUUUUGCUUUAUAAACUGAGCACAGCUUUGUAAACAACAUGUGGGGCAUCCUCAAUGUCUCCAUUCUUGUGUACUAUAUAAGAUCCUAAUAUUUGGCACUUGGCACCAAAGGCUUGUGUUUCUGAAAGAAGGACACUUAGUUUAGUGUGAUGGAUGGCCUGAUCCCUCUCAUUUGUUUUGCGCCAUUUUGGUGCCACUUUGUUGUGUUUUGUCACGGUAAGAGAAUGGAUGCUUUGAGAUACUGUUUGCAAUGUACAUAGCUAUCUCUGUAUUGUGUGCACCUGUAUUAUACACAGAGCUGUGUGUUUAUCUGUGUAUACAUCUCUGGUUCAAGAGAGAAGGAGGGACAGCAGCUCUCUAUGCUGCACUAGAGUGAAAUGUAUUUUGUAGGUUGAUUAUGUCAAAUUCAGUACUGUGACCACCUGGUGUUGGGGCCAGCAAGUCUACACUUGUAAUUGCAGAUCCAGCUAUCUACCUGGCCAAUCAAGAACACCUUUUGUUGUCAAGGUAGACUUGCACCGGGGGGAAAGAACUAGUGUAAUUAAUUAUUUUGGAACCAGUGUUUCCUUUGUGUUUUGUUUACCCAGCCCAGUUCUGUAUUGCCAUUGGUGUAAAUGUUUUUUGCUUGUUUGUCUCUUCCUUGAGGUCUCACAGGUAUAUGGCUAUUCAUUGUCCUCUAAAGAGUAAUUGCAAAUAAGAGUAUUGCCACAGGACUAGAUUGAUUGCAUAUCCUAAAGUAUCAAGUUCUAGCAUUUAGUGGAGCAGUUAGUGGUGCCUCACAAUUUAUUUACAUCGUAUCACAUGAAAACCGGAGGAAUAUUGCAUGCGUUCCACCGGUGGAACGCAAAAGCCGAAACCGGAAGUGACUCGAUUGAUGCGUUCCACCGGUGGAACGCGGAAGUGAAAAUGCCGCGAACAGGGAGAGGAGAGCAAAAAAAGGGCGCAAAAGACUGGAUAUAAAUACAGAUUAUGAACUACAAUCAACCAGAGCAACUGAGGAAGCCUCCAGACGAGGCGAAACGCGUAUUGCAGCUAGAGACUACUCUAACAAGAUUACCUUAAACUGUAAGGUCUUGUUUUUUUAUUUCUAUUUGUGCACUUUACUAUUAAAGCACUUUUACCACUUUAUACCGAUAUGUGAGAGGACAUUGGAUUUUUUCCAUCCCCUGGCAAGCUAAAGAAGGAAGUGGUGAUCCUUAAUCCCACAGCGCUGGAAAAUUGAGCCUUGUAUUACAGGCUCUAAUUUUGUGAGUGUGUUACUAUAUAUUUUAUCCUCACUAUAUUUACUAUUCAGACAAUACUGCACUAUCAAGUGUUAUUAUCUGUUCUACUUUUAGGAUCUACCUGAUAUUAUCUGUAACCAGAAGACACUCCACCUUUUAUUGUAUGAGUGGUGCAAGUUAGGUAAAAGAAACCCACGGACAUUAGCGUGCCUGAACUGGUACACCUUCUCUGCCAGAGAGGCCAGGGCAGUCACACUUAAUAUCCCAGUUGGAGUAUUGACUCUGAAAUAAGAACUCCAGCAUGGAGAGUAAAAGAAACACGGAAUUUAAGCCUUUUUCAACAUGGUUAUCUGUAAAUAUUAUCCGUAUUUACUAAAUUGAACUCAAAGUGAAUAUCAAACUUAAAGCUAAAGUAGCUGAACUGGUAAAUUAUCUAAGUGAGCUCUGCUUCCAGCCUGCCUACUUUGUCCUUAAAUUUGAAAUUAAUUUUGAAUUCCCUUUGAAUUUCCAACAUUUCUAAUUUUAGUGAAUAAAUAUGUAAGUGUUUAAGAUUUACAUUGAAAUUUUGAGCAAACCACAAACUCUCUUUCUGUCACCAAGACUCUGGCUAUUUUUCUAGUCUGGCACCAAAAACCUCUCUUGCCACAUCCUGUAAUUAUAAACAUAUGUGUUUGACACCAGAAUGGUAUAGACUACUUCAUCAGAUAACCCAUGGCAAUUAUUUUAUCAUGUCCAUUCCGUCGGGUCAUUUUUAAUUCCCUGUCAAUAUUUCCAACCCAGUCAAGAGCAAACCUUUCAUAGUAUCAUUCUUUGUAUGUAUCAUUCAUGUAUAUUUUAGACAGCCUUUCAUUUUUAUUAUCAUUUUUGAUCUGAUCAGGUAGUUUAUUCAUUGGUGAAGUUGUUUAUAUUCACCUCCUUUUUUGUCUACCCACCUACUGCUGGUUAAAGUUCAGCCCAGUCCAGUUAAACACCAGUUUGGACCAUUGGUAAUGUUCUACAGCCCAAAUAAUCUCUCUCUUAAAUUAAUCUAUCUCAGAAUUUAAAGCAUAAAUAAGUUGAAUGAUACAUUUAUGUAGGCAGUCCUAAUAAUAGAACACUACAACCUAAACUAAACCUAGAACAAAUUAUGUUUCUGUUUUUUUAUUUCAAGCUAAAAUGCUAAUAAAAGUUUUAUAAGAACACGCCAAACCCCUAGAACACUUCGGAAUGUCUGCUUUGUUUUAUUUAUAAGAGAGAUAACCAAGCAAAAUACCCCUUGGUAACAUUUCCUGACUGACAAGUAGACAGUCAAGAGGGUUGCCUUCCUCACUCUCUUUGAGACUUUAUUCAAUGCGAAAGUGAGGUUUUCUCAUAGAUAAUCUUUGAAUGCUUUGAAUAUUCAACUCACAUUUAAAAGAGCUAUAGCCAGCUCGGGUAUGAUCCCCACUUAUAGGAUAUAUGGUGGUUGUCUUCUGGAGGGAAUAAUGUCCAACUCUCAGGAAAGGGAUAUAUAAAAACAACUGAUAGUGCUCUCAGUGUAUACAGUGCUCUCAGUGUAUGCAGGGUAUAAAAUAAACGUAAAAAAUAAAAAUGUACUUACAAGUAUAGUGCAGGCCAACUGCACUAUGAUAACAGCGUUGGUGGUAUGAUCCCCACCUCGGAUAAACUUGUAAACACACAAUAGAAUCAGUAAAAAGCCAGGGAAAAAACAAAGAAUGUGUAUAAAAAGAUAGUUGGCACAAAAUAGUAACCAAAAAACCUUUUAAUUAGAUUAUUUUCUUAUUAUUUUUAUUGGGGGCUGAAUGAAACUAGAACAUUCAAACAUUACAAAUAAAUGAGUUGAGUUUCGUCUCAGUAAUUCAAAUUAAGUCUCAUCCUAUGGAACCAGCAGUGAUGGGAAUGACAAGGGGAUUAUAAAUGCUUGAUUAAAUAUCACAUUUAAAAGAGGUAAACAGAAUUCAGAUAAGGUUAGCCAAGCGAUAAUAAAAUGCUCAGAUUCUUUGGUUGCUGUAGUUAAAGUACAUUCUAGUCAAUUCAGAUUCAUAUACCGUGAAUGAUCAUCAUCAUUUCUUCCAUAUUUCUCUUGUGAUACAGAACCAGGUGGAAACGGCUUAAGAACAGCAGACUUAACCCUCGAUUAUCCAUAGUUAACAAUUAUAACUUGCAAAUACAAUACAGUUAAACUUCUUUUCCAUGAAUAGAAUUUCUUGAAAGUUUCAAGAUUCAAUAUAAUUUUUGAAAAGGCUUUCUCUCAUCCUCUCUGACCUUUUAGCACUAGAACCCAUGAGACUCAUAGACCUAUACUCUAUUAAAUAUAUAUGGUGAAAAUGAUAUCAAAACAUCGGCAAGUAGCAUUACUGGACACAAUUUCAAUAUUCCAUCAAUAAGAGGUCAUGGCAACAGUGCACAGAUACAAUAAUGUUAUAGAAUAUACUCAUGAUGGUUCUCCCAAACCGGAUUACAUGUUCAGACCUGAUUUGUCUUACCAUAUCAUUUUUCUCCCAUAUCAUGGCCAAAUAUUUCUUACAUGGUUUAAUCAACAUAAUUAAAAGCCCCAUAUGAGUGUUCAACAUUGCUAUUUCUUUCUUCUUUUUUACUUUUUUAUGUAUAAUGCUCAAUAGGUUUUAACAGUACAUCUAUUAUAAGCACAGUAGAUCUCACAGGUAUCCAAACAACGUAAGUUCUAGCCAUUUAAAAAAAACAAUCUGCUUGUAGAUUGUAGCGGAGAGGUAGUAUAAUUCACAAUAUCUCCGCUGGGUUACAGGAACAGCAUAAAAUAAUCCAAGGAAAUAAAUACAGCAUACAAUAAUCCCGGUAGCGUUGUAAGAAUCCUUCCCUCCCAAGAACUAGACGACACAUAGUCUGGGAGUCAACUGAGGUUUUAUUCACAAGUCACAGUAUUUAUUCAAGUCCCCAUGCAAGGGGUUUCCUUACUGACAUUCCAGGGGUUGUACCCCAUGCAAGGGGUUUCCUUACUGACAUUCCAGGGGUUGUACAGUAGGGGACUACAUGGGGGACUUAGCAACCUGGACAUUUCUCCCAUCAUGCACUGCUGGACGAGAGGGAUACCCCCACUAGAAUAUACAGUUAAGUGGAUUAUCCCUCCGUGCAGCAGAACUAAUAUUUCACAUUAAAAUCCAUAACUUUUACAUUAUUCACUAUAUUUAAAUGAAAGGACGUUCGAUAGAUAGCUGGGGUCUGAGCGCACAGUUCGUGAGAAUACCGCUCAGAUCCCAGCAUAACUAUGCCGCACAAAAUACACACUAUUUCCUAGUUACAUUUAAAACACAGAUUGACUGUAAGGGAAUAACCUGCCGAAUGACUGGGGCUCCAGAAUGGCCUGGAAGUCCAGCGGUAUUCGUGCCAUUGAGUAGCCGGUUUUAGUUCCAGGCGCUCGACGACCAAACACCGCUGGGCUAACAAAGGAUCCAAGAUGGCCGACCGCCGCGUGGUUGGUAGCCGAACGACGGCCACCUAGGAACACACUUAACUACCGAUUGCAACAAUGUUGCGCCACACGACCUCCUGUGUGUGGUCGUCCAUUCGGUAAUUUAUUUGUUUCACGAACAGUGUUGAAAUUCACUGUUCGUGAAACUACUGUAUGUAUGCUAAUGUAUGUAAUAGUUGAGAACCGUACUGGUAAUCAGAGCUUGAUUCUGCUAAUUUUCCAGUGUCACAGUGGGAUGUAUUCAAUAGUGAGUGAACUACUCAUGAGAAGGUGAGUAAUUAGCACAUUUUGAUGGAAUUCAUAUGACCCAUUUACACCUCUAACUGAGACCCUUCCUCUAAGGUAGCCUGGAUAUGAUUAAACAGUUUAAAAUUAUUUUCUUUAACUUGGGCACUUUUGUUAAUUUUACACCUAAACAAUUAAUGGAGGAUACUGUUUAUUCAAAGGGGUAGGCAGCCUUAAAAUUGGUUACAGUAGAUUGUGAGAUGUUAAUGAGGAGGUUUUCAUUAUGUUAUUCUUAUAGUAGGACACAGAGCCAUAAAACACAACAAAUGGUAAGGAUAGGUGAGAUUGUAAUUAUGUAUAAUAGAGUGUGUGUAUAUAUAUAUAUAUAUAUAUAUAUAUAGUCUGAAACAUAUUAGUAAUAUACGUAAAUCGGGUUAAUACAAAGUUGGUUGUGGUGUGCCGUAAUCAAAGUAUGGGUAGGCCUGUAAUAAAAGAGGGCAAAAAGGUAUCAAAGAAGUACACAAUUUAUUGCAUCACAUUUACAAUGCUAAACUUUUAAAAGCUUUCCUUGUUUCUUUUUUGGGAUGAGGUAUGUACCGAUCGUAAACUGAGGAUUUCCAUCUCCCCAAUUUUUUGAUGAUAUGCACUGGAGUGUGAGUGCUGGAGGCAGCUGAAGCUGCCCCUAUUCUAACAAUGAAUAACCCAAAAAAGAGGACGGGUUGAAACCUAAACUUAAGAGAAGUUUUCUGAUGUAGAAUAUGAACUUAGCAGUAGUUAGAGGGAUUCCUUGCAGUGAGAGAAGUGGUAAAUUGUGUGUGACAUGACUGAGUGUGGGUAAGUAGGAAUCGAGUAUUUUAACUGGGCAACACUUGUUCUCGGUGGGAUAAAGUGGUAUAGCAGAUGGAGUUGUUUGUUUGUUUUAGAGGUUUGUAGAGAGAGUAUAUAGUGAUUGUGAUGUUUAGUGAUAUCAGAUAUUUUUAAGAUAGAGAUGAUGUCUGUCUGUCUAACAACUGUAAACUCUUGGGGUCUCAAAAAACUGUAGAAAGCUAUAUAAAUAGCGGUUUUAAUAACUUGAUUUGUGGGACUGUUGAAUGGUCGUGUGUCCAGUAAAUCGUAGUGGGCUUUGAAUAUCGGACCAUCAAUUGUUAACCUGGAUGAAAUAGGGGGUUUAUCUGUUUUAUUUAUACCCCGCAAUAUACUUUUAAUAGGAUAGGACAUGAGGAAAGGUGUAUGAUUGGGAUACGUCGUGAGUACAUGAUGUUGAAGCCCCAUGCAAUAAAGAGAGCAUGGCCCUCUGCAACCUAUCAUUUUGGUAAGUUUACUUGUCAUUGUCCUAUUUAUAGUUAAAUCCCCCCUCUAAUAAUAUUGUAAAGCGCUACAGAAUCUGUUGGCGCUAUACAAAUGGCGAUAAUAAUAAUAAUAAUAAUAAUAAUCAUUUUGUGUGCUAGUUUAAGGUAAAGGUGGCAAAAAGAAGAAAAAACUACCAUGGAUUCUAUGGAGAAAUGCUCCCAGACGUGGAAUUCAAUGGCAAACUUAUGAUAAAUAUUAAGAGCCCUAUCAUAAGCCAUUUUGUUUUAUCAGAGAGUGCAGAACAUGAAAGUGACUGGGCGUCAGACCGGAGGCUGGCUAGUCCAUCACAAGCUUGUGGAAUAGCGGAAUUCUGGACGGGAGCCUUUCUGCUGUGGGGUGAAGCUGAAAAAACACCUGUAAUUGAGAGCAUGAAAGUGCUUUUUUCAUGAUAAUUGGUGAUGAGUGAGAAAGAGGUGGAAUAAACAUAGAAAAUACCAUUCCAAGAAACGAGAAAAUGUUGCCACAUUCGUAAAUCAGCUAUGGCAGGGGGGUCAAGGAGAAUGGUUGCAUAAUCAAACAAGCUGAGAAGUAGACAAAUCAGCCUGGAAAUGAACGCCCUUCCCUGCCUACAAGUACAUGAACCAUUCUUCAGGAAAUGGUCCAUCUCUUCCCUAAUGCGUACCAGCUUCUGCUCUGGAAGGCUUGCCUGAAAAGCGACUGUGUCCAAGGUGAUGCCCUGCAACACCAACCUAGUGGAGGGACCAAGAGUCUUAUCAGGUGUCUGUGUACUGGUUUCUACCAGGAGAAAGUCGUCAAGGUAGUGAAUCACCAUGGGACAUCGAACGACAUUGAGAAGCAGCCAGCAGAGUGUUUCUGCAAAGAUAUCGAACAGUUUCAGUCUGCCCCUGGAACCAAAAGUAUGUCUAGUGUAAACAGAACAAUUAUCCCUCCACUUAACACUGUGAAUAUGGCAUAGGGACAGGUGAAUUGAAUGCGUUAGAGAUCUCAGUUUUGCUAAGCUAAGAGUGCUUACUCAUGUGUAAAAUAGCCUGUAUGUCGUUGUUGACGGUGGAGUAAUGAAGGAAAAAUUAUUCAGCAGGAAUGAGAGAGUUAAUGCUUGGUGUGUGUGUGUGAAGAAUAAGGAGCUGAAAAAUCAAUGAUAAGUCUUUUUUAUUUGAAAAUUUGUGAGUCACAACACCGAUGGGAUUUGUGUGCCAAGUCUGAAAAGGCAAAUGAGAAAAUAGGCAUAAGGCAAAACCUAGAUGGACUUCUUUGCCCACUAGAGCAUAUACAGUUAAGGGAUCACAAUAGGCUGAUACGAAUUGGGGCAUUCCAGUGUGCCUGAGUGAAGUGCCACAAGACUUGUAUGAAAACCAAUGAAAAACCCAGAAACCAAGAAUUCCACCAAGUGGGAUGAGGGGUGGAAGCGUAAGUGAUAGCUUAGAUUGUCCAGAUUAACCUCUAUAAGUCAUUUUUGGGAAAAAGCUUGGAGGGGCACAUUGAUUUUGAAUGUGCCCUGAAACAAAUAGAGCAGAUGUGCAACAAUCUACAGGCACUAUAAUUGCAAGUACCAGCAUUAAAAUUGUUGCACACAACAAUCCACAAGAAAACUAUGGGUCUGCCCAACUGACCCCGUUAUUGACCCAUGGAGGGAAACGAGAGUGGUACAUGCAAGGGUUGUGGAUGUGGAUGGGUCAGCUUUGCAGGGGCACAAGUUGGAGGAAUGGGAGGAGGAUGAAAAAACAAGCUCGGGGCUUCAAGACGGCAAAAUGCCUGCAAAACAGCUUCGUAUCCAAACGACUGUAGUCGGUUUGAAUCUUAAACUGGGCCAGAGCUGCCGUGACUUAAGUUGACACCGACUUGUAAUAGUCAUGAAAAGAAAAGCCCCAGUACUUGUGCCUUAAAUCCACCAACUUGUGUAAGUAGAGAUCCAGUUCCUUUCGCCUCUGGGGAUAAACGGAACAUAAGACGUCUCUGUGGAGACCAAAGGCGAGUACAAAUUCAGGGAUUGAGAGGUUUUUUUUAGUCUGGGGUCUCUGGCUUUUAAGACCACUGACAAAUCCCCAUAGUUAUAGGUCCUGUUCUCUAUAAUGUCCUGAGAAGCAAUUAGUAGAGAGACUAAAUUAACAUCCUUACCCUCAAUGAUGUCUUACCUGAUGGAGGUGGGGAUCAAAUGUGCGGGUGUGACAAUGUGAGAUGUGGAGGGAAGGGGAGAACUGUAAUGUGGGGUUGUGUGGGCAAAGCUCUGGCUUGAGGCAGGACGUCUGGCCUUGCUAGUGAGAGACUAAUAUGAGUAUGAAAAAAAAAAGGUUAGCACCUGAAACCUAUAAGCCAGUUCCCUUACCUAGAUGGGCUUGACUCUUAUGAAGCGUAAUGUAUGAGGAUAAGGCACGUACUUUGAAAUAAACAAAGUAGCCUAACGACAGGAAAAGGGUAAAUACAGGGAGUAUACACCUAUAAAAAGAAUUUACAAAAUUAUCGAGGUGUAAGUAAAAUAGAAAGUAAAAAAGGGGGCGAUAAGACAAUCCACCUACCAAAAAAGGUGUCAGAAGAAUGCUUCUUCUAGGAAGCAGAAACAUUUUUGAAUAGAGAUCUAUGAGGAAAAGUAAAACGUAUACAUAUGAGUAUAAUAUUAAUAAUAUGGGGAAUAAUAAUAAAAUAUAUUAAGGGAGCUGAAAAUACCUGUGGAAAGCUGAAAUACACUGUAUCCUCUAAUAUCAGGAAAGUAUAGAAAGGAGUCUAAACAGGAGUGAGACAGGAAAAAAUAUAAUUUAACCGAUUAUUGAAAUGACAUGAAAGAAAGGAAUGUAUAGAACGGAAACCAUAAUUUUAUUGUUGAUGUAUGUAUAUGUAUGUAUGUAUAUCGUGGACCAUACGAGGGUCAAUGCUAAAAGGCAAGUCCUACGCCAUCCCCCAAGGACUAAUAGGCGCACAAGUAGUUUAGACUGCUAGCAAAAGAAAACACAGGCAAUGUGGUGUUUUCCAGAAUGUAAUGUAUAAUGACUAAACUGUAAUAAAAGUACCUUAACAUAGACAGAGCAUAAUUGACUAAACAGAUAUGUAACAAUGUCAGGAGGGCCAGGGAAGGCCAGACCUAAAUAGCCUACGAGAAAGUUUAAAUAAAAGAAGCAUAAAUAUAUUUUAUAAUUCUAAACCACCAGACCUGACAAGCACGUAAAAGUGAAAACAUAACAUAUGCCCAGUGUUCGUAAUAUGUGGAUAAUAAUGAAACACAGCGAAUAGUUAUAAGAAAAGGGACGUUGUGGGGACAUGUAAAUGGCCAGCUAGAGUUAGCUCAUACAUGAAUAAAUGAAUAUUGAGCCAUGAUAAUGAGUUUAGAUAAGUUUAAUGAAGUAUUUAAUUACCACCAGUCCAAAACUCAUAUUAGUAGAUAUACCCCUAAAAGUAGAGAAAGGGGGUAAUUGGAAAAUCCUGGAUUUAAGCGAACAACAGAUGUGACUUUAUGUGAAAUGAAUAUCAUGAUAACAGAACUAUAGAUAAGGAAGUACUUAGAUGACAUGAAAGUACCGAAUUGGUAAAUAUUUCAGCGAACAGUCUCUGAUUUACAUUGAUCAGAGCUCAAACACUCGAAAAUCAAGGAGAAAAUACCAGCCAACCAAACAAAAACAUGAUUAACUGAAAUUCAUGCAAAUGCAGAGUGGUUUGAGAAACAUACGAAAUGUAAUGGCGAAGUGUUAAACAACACAUACUCAUGCGAACGGAAAUGUUUAUGCGAACGUUCGGUUAUUAGAAUGCAUGCGAAACAUAAGAAAUAAUCCGAACCCGACAAUAGACCCAACACUGAGAAUUUGGCAUAAACUCAGAAAUAGCUCGGGAAUCUCACCGCACCCGUCACCUCUGUACCCAAUCACUCACAACCCCCUCUUUCAGCAAGGGGAUUCGGGACAGGCAUUCCACACAUAUCAUGUGGGCUCUACACUGCAUUUAAGGGAUAUGGUACACGAGGGCAGGAUUAAAUCCCUAUCCCAUAUUCUGCCGAACCUAACCCACACGGUAGUCCAACAAAUGCGCAACCACCAACUGACGAAUUUCAUCAGAACUCAUAACCUGUUGCCCAGCGGGGAUAGACCACUGACCAAAUUUGAGCAACUCUGUACAUCACAUUCGGUCACUAGAAAACUACUCUCCACUUUCUAUUCCCUGAUCGCCGACGCACGUUCACGAACUCUUCCAGGGUACACGACAAAAUGGACGGAAGAACUCAAACUUACACUCUCACCGCAACAAUGGCUAUCCAUUCUAAAAAAGGUUCAUACCUCUUCUAUAUCACUCUCUACCCAGGAGAGUAACUUUAAAAGAGUCGCCAGAUGGCACUACACACCUGCAAAACUACACCUGAUACACACCACCCCCACAGACCAAUGUUGGAGAUGCAACCAAGCGGGGGCUCACCACGCACACAUUUGGUGGCAGUGUCCACUAAUCGCUAAGUACUGGUCCAGAAUCCACACGCUCAUUCAAAUCAUAUUCCACACCACGUUCACGUUAGCUCCAGCUAACUAUCUAUUCCAUAUUCCCCCACGUGGCUUCUUGAAAAAAGAUGCAACUCUCUUCGUCCACCUGACUACAGCAGCAUCCCAAUUAAUACCCAAAAACUGGAAACAACCCAAACCUCCAUCAGUCAGGGAAUGGAUACAGAGGGUGGAAGAUACGAGACUAAUGGAAGCUUUAGCACAGUCUAAACUAGGAAAUCACUCGAAACACAUUGAGGUUUGGAACCUCUGGACCACAUUUAUCAAAAACAAGACAUCCUCGACGGACAGGACUGACCAUCACAGGGGGGGGGGGAAGGGUGGAGGUACUGGAGGGGGGUUGACUCGAACUGGCCAACAGGGCACCCGGAAUCAGGCACCAACGAAGUAGUAGCUACACGGUGGCCCUAACAAAGUCAACGAAACCCUACUGACCAAGAUUCAUACCGGAGUGACGAUUAUAGUUAAUGCGCAAUUAAACCUAAUGACUGUGACCCAAAAAAUACAAAAGAUGGCUAACACAGACCGAACGAGGUACAGGCACACAUAUGACUAUCAACACUACUAUUACUCAUACUACAACGCAGCUUUCGAGCUAUCUCUGUAGACGAGGUUACUAAUACGCGACUAAAUACCACACGAACCUAGCUAACUGUCGACACUAAGCGCCCAACUCGCACGCGUAAGACUCUAGUUGACCGUACAGUAGGGACAACCACAUUCUGUAUAUGCAAAAGUCUUAACUUUGUCAUUCAUUAUAUCCCUGAGAUCCAUGUUCUGUACGUUUGCUCGCACCAUCCUAAUUGUAUGUCUCACAAUCGUUGUUAUACUCAAAUUGUAUUGAAAUGCGUUUUAUUUGACAAAAAUAAAAAACAUAAAAAAAAAAAAAAAAUACUUGCGACAAUUGUGACCUAAUGAAUGAACAUGUCCCCAUGUUUUCACACUUACAUUCAGUUUUUAUAAACUAUAAAAUAAAUGAACUCUAAUUUAGAAAUAAAAAAAAAAAAUAAAAAAAAAAAAGAAAUAAUCCGAAACCUGAUUCCAACGAAACAUGGUGAAAGGCACGAAAGCUCCUAUGAUGCACCGAACACCGUACGUAUGGGUAUGAAAUAGCAUCAACACCAGCCGCGGGCAUUCGGGAGAAAGCCUCUCGUUACCUGCGAAGACUGCAAGACAGGAACCCGGAAGUGGACCAACAAUGAGGCUCUGAUGCGGAUUGAAGUAAGCUGGUAGCCUGGACCUGUUUGAUUUCGUGGCUGAAGGCAAGUACAGGGAACAUUUUUGGCGGGAAGUCCACGUGGUAACCAAGGUAAUGUAUCACCUGAACGAGAACAGCCCAGGUAAGAGGGUAGUGUAAGUUUCAUAGCAUAAGAUAGAUUCAAACAACUACCACAAAUAUAUAUAUAUAUAUACACAUUAAAACCAAUGACAGAUUAAUUGAAAAAUCCUUUUAAAAGGUAUACAUAUAUAUAGGUGAAGUGAAUAGCACUGAUUAUAUUGUUACAGUGGCACCUGUCAAGAGGUGGAGUAUAUUAGACAGCAAGUGAACAGUCAGUUCUUGAAUUUCAUAAGUUGGAAGCAUAAGAAAUGGGCAAGUGUGUGACUCUGAAAAAGACCAAAUAGUGAUGGCCAGUCUUGUGGGAUGUUCCAUGUAUGCAGUGGUUAGAACCUACCAAAAGUGGUGCAAGGAAGGACAACCCGUGAACCGGGGUCAGGGUCAUGGGCACCCAAAGCUCAUUGAUGCAUGUAGGGAGAGCAGGCUAGCCCAUCAGGUCUGUUCACACAGAAGAGCUACCGUAGCUCAAAUUGCUGAAAAACUUGAUGCUGGACAUGAUAGAAAGGUGUUAGAACACACAGUGCAUCGCAGUUUGUUGUGUAUCAAAAUCACCUUCAAUGGGGAUGUGAGCGUCAGAACUGGACCAUGGAGCAAUGGAAGAAGGCUGCCUGGUCUGAUGAAUCAUGUUUUCUUUUAGUUGAGGUGAAUAGCCAGGUGCAUGUGUUGCUCUGAUUUGUGAAGAAGGCAGGCUGGUGGAGAACGUUUUGUGCUCUGAGUAAUGUUCUACUGGGAAACCUUGGGUCCUGGCCUUCAUAUGGAUCUUAAUUUUACACGUACCACCUACCUAGAAGUUAUUGAAGGUGAAGGUGUACCCGUACACCUCUCCAAGACAAUGUUGUUUCCUGAUGGCAGUGGCCUCUUUCAGCAGGAUAAUGCACCUUGCCACACUGUAAAAAUUAUUUAGGGAUGGUUUAAAGGACAUGACAAUGAGCUCAAGGUGUUACUUUGGCCUCCAAAUUCCCCAGAUCUCAAACUGAUUGAGCAUCUGUGAUUUGUACUGGAGCAUUGAAUCAGAUCCAUUUAGGCCCCACCUCGUAACUUGCAGGACUUUAAGAAUCUGCUGUUAAUGUCUUGGUGCAAGAUAAAACAGGACAUGUUCAUAGGUCUUGUGGAGUCCAUGUCUUGACACAUCAGAGCUGUUUUGGCAGUACGAGGGGAACCUACACAAUAUUAGGCUGGUGGUUUUGUGACUGAUCAAUGUAUAUCAUAGCUAAGGGUACCUGCAGAAAUGCAGUUUGAAGUCUUAAACAUGAUGCUCAUUUGCAUGUGAAGCAAAGAACUCUGGGAUAGUUGUGAAAACAUGAUUUCUCACGAAAAAAAAAAACCCUCAGAGUCCAACAUGGAAUUUGCAGGUGAUGCAAAAAAGUAAUUUUUUUGUAUGUAUGUAUGCAUAUAUUGAGAAAUGUCAUUAUGGACUGAAGCGUCGAUAGUUUGUUUAAGUCACUAUAUUUGUAUGUAGCAAAUAAAGGCUACAUUAUAUAUAUGCUCAGAAUUCCAGUGAAGGCUCUCUUUUUUGUGACAUUGUGUGUGGGCUGUUGAAGCACAGAGGCAGAGAAAUUGAGAAAGGUGAGUGCUGGAUAAACAUAACCACAAAAAAAAAAAAAUACUGUGGCACAAAGGACCUUCUAUGAGACCCAUGAGUUAAAAGUUAGUGAGAGGGAAGAAAAGAGAGAGAAGCCGAAAGAGAACAGGGGACAAUCAAGCAAACUAAAAAAAAAAGAAAAAAAAAAAAGAAAAGGCAAAACCGGGGAGAGAGAAAAAAAAAGCAUAAACAAAAAGAAAAUGACGUUCAAGAAGGAAAAAAGAGCUGAUGAGCAAAAUAGCAAAUACAUGAAAAGUAGCCAGGAGAAAUAUUGCAAGAGAUUGCAUGUGACUCUGUUGUUUAAUUGGUUAAAGUUUACUCUAAGUGAGGUACUGGUCAGCAUUUAUUUUCGAGAUGUGUAAUUGGUUAAGUCUGUGAAGAAAUAGGACAUUGAAUAAACAGUUUAAGCAAAAAUGAGGGCAGAUAAGCAAAAACAGGAAACCCCAUAAUUUAAUUUACUCGAAAAGCACAUUCUGUCGCAUUUCAUGAAAGUUAAUUAGCAGUUAAUUAAAAUGAAGCAGUACAGAUUCUGUACAAUUGCUUAUUGGAUUGUAAAACAGCUAUUGGAAAAUGAAAUACAUCUGCUUUCUAAUUUGCCAUUUGUUUUUGUUAACUGAAUUUGAAAUAAAAUUUAAACCUCUCUGCUUACUCUACCGAAAACAGGCUAGGAAGUUAUAUCAAGCUGCCGUGAACUUCAACUCACAGCAUUCUGUCUGAAUUAUGCUCGGUUACCAAUGCAUUUUGCAAGCUUUUUUUUUUUUUUUUUAACUACCCUUAUUUUAUAAAUUUUAAUUAACAUAACAUUAAAGAGUUGCUUGGAUUUAUAUACUAACAAAUGGGUUUAUUCACUGAAUGUUAUUUUGUAGUAAAUUAAAUUGUCUGGUUUAGAGAAUAUUUUAAGACCAGCAAUUAAAAUUCACUUUGAAUUCUCACCUUAGGGAAUAACCCUGUUAGUUUAAGCACAAAAUUGGAAAUGGUUGAGAAUUCCCAAGGGAAUUACAGAUUAUAAGCCAAAUUAACGGAAUAUGAAAAAAUAUAUCCAAUUCUUUCUAGGCUCUCUGUUUUGGCCUACAAUUUAAAAUUCCCUUCUCAAUUCUCCAUAGUUUUUCUUUUAGUGAAUAAAAGCCUUAAAUAUUUUUGUAGUUAUGUCUUACACUCUUUUUUCCUUACAGUAAAACACUUUAGUUCAGUAUUAUGGUGACAGCAAAAGCUAUUAAUCGUUUUAAUGUACAGUAAACACUUACAAAUGCAAUGGCGCAUACCUACAAAAAAUGGAACAAAUGGGCAAACACAUUAUGCGUAGCGCCUUGUUGGCCCGUUGCACAAUGUAUACACUGGCGCACGUAAAGAGCAGUCUUCAACACUUAAAUCAGAAAAAAUAUACAUAGAGAGGUGCAAAAAGAAAAGUAAUCUGUGCUUUCAGUUCACUGGACUGAAAUAAUGAAUUUCAUGGAAAUACAUUAAAACCAGCAGCUGUCAUUAAAAUGUUAAUGAUUGCUUUGAAAGAAUCGGGGUUUAGUCUCUAAAUAGCAAAUUGAAAACUAUGUCGCACAAUUUAGGCCAACGUAGCAUACUUCAAUGCGGCUCUUGGGUUGACCCCAGAGAUUCUACAAUAUUACAACAUAUACAACAAAUUUAAAUUAACCCCUUAAGGCAGUGGCGUACACAUGACCCAUGGGGCCCCGGUGCGAAAAUUGAUCCGUGGGCCCCCCCCCCCCGCGCGGGCCGGGCCGCAACACAUGGCGGUGGGCACCUGGUCGCAGGGGUUACAGGGCUGCGACCCCUGCGAAAGCGGUAUGUACGCCAGUGCAUGCAGAUGCACACACACUUAAAGGACCACUCUAGGCACCCAGACCACUUCAGCUUAAUGAAGUGGUCUGGGUGCCAGGUCGAGCUAGGGUUAACACAUUUUUUCAUAAACAUAGCAGUUUCAGAGAAACUGCUGUGUUUAUGAAUGGGUUAAGCCUUUCCCUAUUUCCUCUAGUGGCUGUCCCAUUGACAGCCGCUAGAGGCGCUUGCGUGCUUCUCACUGUGAUUUUCACAGUGAGAGCACGCCAGCAUCCAUAGGAAAGCAUUAUGAAUGCUUUCCUAUGUGACCGGCUGAAUGCGUGCACAGCUCUUGCCGCGCGUGCGCAUACAGCCGACGGGAGGAGAAGAGGAGGAUCGGAGGAGGAGAGCUCUCCACCCAGCGGUGGAAAAAGGUAAGUUUUACCCCUUUCCAGAGCCGGGCGGGAGGGGGUCCCUGAGGGUGGGAGCACCCUCAGGGCACUAUAGUGCCAGGAAAACGAGUAUGUUUUCCUGGCACUAUAGUGGUCCUUUAAAGGACCACUACAGACACCCAGAUCACAUCAGCUCAAUGAAGUUGUCUGGGUGUCAGGUCCCUCUAGUUUUAACCCUGCAGCUGAAAACAUAGCAGUUUCAGAGAAACUGCUAUGUUUCACUGAGGGUUAAUCCACUUACACUCACUUACAAAACAUACUUACAAAACAUACACUCUCAUUGACAAACACACACUCACUAACAGACAUCAAACAGACUCACUAACACACACACACACACACUCAGUAAGACACACAGUAACACACUCACUGACACUCACUAGCAGACACACACACUAACACACUAACACUCACUAGCAGACACACACUAACACUCACUCUAACACUCACUCACUCUAACACUCACUCACACUAACACUCACACACACUAACACUCACACACACUAACACUCACACUAACACUCACUCUAACACUCACUCUAACACUCACACACACUAACACUCACACACACUAACACACACACUAACACUCACACUCACUCUAACACUCACACACACUAACACUCACUCUAACACUCACACUAACACUCACACUAACACUCACACACACACUAACACUCACACAUGAUUUUUUUUUUUUUUUAAUAUAAUCCCCCCAGCCUCCUUACCUCUUGGAGUGCUGGGGGGGAUUAUUCCCUGGGGUCCAGUGGGGCUCCUGGGUGGGCGGCCGGUCGGGCAGGCAGGCGGGCGCGCGAGGGAGCACUCAGUGCUUCCUCUUCAGCUCCCUCGCGCGCCGCGUAGGGAUGCCGGCGCUGGAAGAUGACGUCAUCUUCCGGCUCCGGUAUCAUUGCGGUGCGCGAGGGAGCUGAAGAGGAAGCACUGAGUGCUCCCUCGCGCGCCCGCCUGCCUGCCCGACCGGCCACCCUGGGUCAGCAGGGCCAGCCUCAGGGGGGCCCUGGGGUGGUCGGCUCCUGGGCCCCCCAGGGGAAGAGGCUGGCCCUGGGCGUACAUACCGGGUCGCAGGGGCGGCCGGGCCCCCUGGUGGGCCGGGCCCGGUCGCAGUCGCGACCCCUGCGACCCUGGUAUGUACGCCAGUGCCUUAAGGACACAUGACAUGUGUGACAUGUCGUGAUUCCCUUUUAUUCCAGAAGUUUGGUCCUUAAGGGGUUAAAAAAAUUUUUUGGGUGAAAUAUUCAACAAUAAUACAACAUAUAUAACAAAUAAAAAUUAAAUGUUUAGUUAAAAAUAAAAACCUUUAAAAGUUUAAAAAAAUGUUUUUGUGAAAUAUAGAAAAAUAUAGACAGAAUGACAAAAAAAUAAAAAAAAUAAAAAUUUGCAGACAUUGUGUGUGUGUGUGAUGAGCGCAUUUUGUGCUUUUAUAUCCAGAACCACACAACAAAGGCAUUACUAAUACUGAAAUAUAAGAAAUUAUCAUCGAGGAAGGUAUUCUUAGUUCAAACCUGUCUGCUUUAGUUCUUAAAAGCACAUACUUGAUGCUCUGACAUUCUUGUCUGCCCUGACCAUUGAUUAAGAGAUUGUCAUUGUCAUAAUGUCAGAUGUAAUAUCUGCCAGAUAUUCUCCUAGCAAUCACUUCAUAGCUGACCUUUACUCUAGCCAUUGUCAUUGUCAAAGCCUAGGCCCUUAAUAAAGUUAUUGUCUUUUGGUGAUGCAUCAGAUCAGUUUUUUUGGUAAAACCACUCUCACGGUCGGAAUAUCAGAACAUGAUCAAUAUGUAUUACUCACAAUGAAGUAUACGGCUGAGCUGAAAGAUUGGAAUAAAAGAUAUAUGUUGGUACAGAAAACCAGCGAUUGUUUUGUUUUUUUCUCUUCAAAUGGAUAAAGGUAUCGUAAUUUACAUCUGAAAUAUAUGUACAUUAAAUUGUACUUUACUGGCCAAGUGGAGAUGACCUAAAUACAUGAUAUUAAAGUGUUAGACCUGGAGGCUUUGGGUUAAAAAAACACUCCAAGUACCAGGGGUUUUGCUAUAAUCAAAAAAAUAUGCAGGGUUCUUGGCACAUUUCAAUUAACACUUCAAACACCAUAACCACUUCAUAUCAACCCCUGACACACACGUACACAGACAAGCACAACACCUUCCAGUUAUGUGAAAAUAGAUCUAGUGGUAUAGCAUGUGUGUGUCUAGGGGCUGGAGAGAGAGUGUGUGUGUUGUAUAUGUGUGCUAGGGAUGUAGUAUGUAUAUGUAGAGGAUGUACUAUGGGGAGUAUAGGGGUGCUUUAAUUUGUUUAAUAUAUAUAUAUAUAUAUAUAUAAUACACAAGAUCCAGCGCACUCACCUAUCCACUAAACAGCAACUUCAAUGUUGAAAGAUUUUAUUUGUUUUUUUAAAAACACCUAAUCUAGGCAAAAAUAAUGGGGGUUUAGUUACAUUAUAUGAUCAUACAGUGCAUAAGCCUGCCACAACGUCAAUGUACCCCAUCUUUGGCAGGUCCUACACUAACAGCCUAAUAAACACAAAAAGAAUUCAGUGCUAGUAAUCACAAAAUUAGUCAAGGUAGGCAGCAACCCAAAUGAAGGAAAACCCCUCGGGUCCUUCGGUGGAUAGAUACAAAAAGAUAUGGAAGGGCUGCGCCAAAUAAGGGUAGAUAGUCCAGUAAAGUAUUGCUAGGGUGCCAAUAGAUGGUCUAGGAUACUUGAUAGAGUUCCUCUGUGGAUGCGUCUGGUGUAGACCGUUCCGUAUAUGUAAAUACAAGAGAGGUAGAGGCGACUAAUGGUAUAGUAUGAAAGUUCAGGGUGUGAUAGGUAACAAAAAGUAAAGAACUCACAUUCAGGAGAGCUAUGGCCAGCUCUGGUGUGGAUUGCGUACAGCGGUAUAAUCCCCGCUUAUGGGAUAUGUAGGGAGGGGUCUCCGUCAGCACCGUCUGGUAGUCCAGAGCUCGAAAAAGAAAGACAGAAAGCAACAAUAGUGCUCUCAAUUUUGAUGUGGUUCAAUGUGCAGAUAAGAAGAGGUAAAAAACUCACAUUUGAGGGAGCUAUGGCCAGCUCUGGUGUGGAUAGCGUACAGCGGUAUAAUCCCCGCUUAUAGGAUAUGUAGCGGCGAUACGUCCGUCAGCACCGUCUGGUGAUCCAAGGCUCCAAUAUAGAAGAAUAAAAAGCAGCAAUAGUGCUCUCAAUUGUGAUAGGUUAAGAGAGUAGUAGAGAAAAUAAAAUAAUACUCACAAAGAUAGAGCAGAGGUACUGCUCUAUGGAUAGGCGCCGGUGGUAUGAUCCCCACCUAGGAUUUCUUGGAGUACUGGAACUUUAAAAUUGCCAAUGGAAGUAAAAGUAACCAGGAAAGGUUAAAAUGCCAGGAAUAGGUAAAAACAAAAGUUGUUUAAAGUGCAUAAAGAGUGCAAUAAAAAGAGGAUUGGUACAAUAAAGUAGCCAAAAAACUUUUAUUGAUCUAAAAUACACAGUAAAAUACAGAAUUAAUAACCAUAAACGCGUUUCACCAUAAGUGGCUUCUUCAGAAUGGGAUCAUACACAAGAUCCAGCGCACUCACCUAUCCACUAAACAGCAACUUCAAUGUUGAAAGAUUUUAUUUGUUUUUUUAAAAACACCUAAUCUAGGCAAAAAUAAUGGGGGUUUAGUUACAUUAUAUGAUCAUACAGUGCAUAAGCCUGAAGGGGAAUGGAUAUACAAAGAAAAAUAGCGUAAUAUAGUUUAAAUAGAUGUAUCCCUUGGAAAGAAAUCCCAUAAAUGGGUUCUCACAAACAUGGAGUCUGUAUGACUCUCUUUUCGAACUUUAUGCAGACUAGGGGCUGCACUCCCAUGAGGAAUAAUAAAGGUGUCGAACCAGGUGAAUGCAGAAUAAAAAAAAUUAAAUAAUUUAUUAAAUCUAUAAAACAAAAUAAGGAACAAUGUCCCAAUAAAAACCGUUUUUUAUUGGGACAUUGUUCCUUAUUUUGUUGCCCAACAAGCCCAUGUGUUAAGACAGUCCUUAUCCCCUGCUGUGACAAACUAAUUUGACAUAAUAUAACACAAUGUUAGUAGGCUAACAAUAGCUAGUUGUACGUACAAUUUCUAGAUGGCAGGAGUCAGACCAAUAUUUUUUUUCAUUUUACUUCAGCAAAAUAUUAUACAUAUACAGCAGUUUAAACCCCAAAGAGGAAUUUGAGAUAAAAAGGGAAACAUUUUGAAGGUGUAUCAAUUAUUUAUUAUUUAUUUUAGAAAAAGAAUCCAGGAUGUCACAUAUUUGAGCCGCGUGUUUGAAACUCUGAAAAAAUAUUCCAGAAGCAUGUAUCUAUAAGUACAGAAGUUUAAAAAGAAUUGCUUCUAUUCAGCAAGAAUUGCAGUGAUUAUUUUAUUGAUAAUCAAAACGGCACAUCUUCAACAGAAAAUAGUUGCCAUUAAAGCAAUUUUACAAUUGUCGGGAAUAUUCAUGAAAUGUAACUGGAUUUCUCUUGGAGAUAUAUUUUUUUUUUGUAAGCAUACCAAAACAUAUGUUGAUAAAUGAAAUAGUUUGAAAAUGUAUUUAUUACUUUUAUUAUCUGCAUUCUCUUCCUUUACAUUCAAACACAAGCCUCCAAUUUAUUUUAUACAAUGUAUUUCUCCAUUUUAAUGAAGAAAAGAGAACUACGGAUACAAAGUUAGAUUUGCUGCUAAGUAAGUAAUAGAGGGAGAGAUUUAUAUAUGCUGUGAUGAGUUUGAGUUAUUUUAAUUUUUUUUGACAAUUUAUAAUUACCCUGUCAUCAAAACGCAGAGCUGAAUUUUUUUUACAGUGUGCUAACAAAAUUGGUAACAGGUGUAUAGACUGAGAAAUAUAUUUGAAACUAUUUUAAAAGUUAAAGCUUUGCAGGUGCCUAUCAUUUUUGUUUCUAAUGAAUGAAUUAUUUUAAAAUGGGGUCAGCUUGAUAAUUUUUAAAAGAAUUUGUAAAAUAGUUGAACACUAUAAUAACAUUAUUUCAAAACAAUUUCUGAAAAUAUAGUGGAUAGACUGAUCGAAGACUAAAGACAUCUGUAUCUUAUUGUAUGCAGCUUAUUGUAUUUGUUCUGGUGAGUAUAAUCACUCCCUUCAGGCUUUUUGUAGUAAACACUGUUUAUUUCAGAAAAAGGGUAGUGUUAACAUUACAGCCUAGGGAUACCUCCACUGGACACUCCUUAGAUGGCUACUAGAGGUGCUUCCUGGGGCAGUGUUGCACACUGUGCAGCACUUCCAUUCAGUGUCUCCAUCCUCUGCAUGGAGCAACUGAACUUUCCUCAUAGAAAUGCAUUGAUUCAAUGCACCUGUAUUAAGAGAUGCUGAUUGGCCAGGGCUGUGUUUGUCUUGUGCUGGCUCUGCCUCUGAUCUGCCGCCUUGACAGUCUCAGCCAAUCCAAUGCUUUCCUGUGGGAAAGCAUUGUGAUUUUCUCAGAUUACCACUUUCGAUGCUUUGAGCCAAGUAGGCAGAUCAGGGGCAGAGCCAGAAGCAGCAGACUGGAACAAAAGUGCGAUUUUGCUAUAUUUUGGGGGAGCAUGGGGAGCUAGAUUGUGUUUUUAACACUAUAGGGUCAGGAAUACAUGUUUGUAUUCCUGAUCCUAUAGUGCUCCUUUAAUACAAGCAUCACUGUCUUAAACAUAGGAAGUUGGAUACAUCAUGUCCAGUUUUUUAUAUCUAGUAACUUUAAAAGAUCAUACUAUUUUACAUUUAAAUUCAUUCUAAAAUAUUCUGACAAUUAAAAUGGUCGGAAACAUGGUCAUUUAAUGUGUAUACUGUAAUGCUAAAGUAGUAAAUAUGCAAUUUAAACAAAAACAGAUAUGGGUAGAUUAUAUUUCUCUAUAUACAUAAGUGUAUGAAGAGUGAAAUGAUAUGUUAUAGGCCAGGUUGUCAGAAUUGUUCAAUGGAAAUAAGAAAUGAUUCCCACUGCAAAUGAUUAGCCAAUUAAACUACACGUGCACGUGUUAAAUGUGUUUACUCUGUCUGGACAGAUACAUUAGUAACAUCACAUGGCAUGUGCAGUAGACAUAUUGUUUAAUGGAACUUGUAACCAACCAUAUGUUUAAUCGUUUGAAAGACUAGAGUCAAUUAAUAAAUGGUUCCUACGACCAGUGAAAUCCUACAUUGUUUUAGUUAUAGAGACUUACAACACAUUAUUCAGUCUAGUAUUUAUGUUGUCAAGUAGAUUCAUCUUAUUUUGUCUGGCAUUGUGUUUUUCAUAUAAUUGUUGAAGAAAGACUCUGAAAGGUAAUACAGUAAAUUUAUACCUUAGAACUUUGAAAUAUUCAACCCUAGGCAAAAAUUUUUUUUUCUUUUUUAAUUUUACUUGUAUAUUGACUUGUAAAACAAAUAUUUUUUAUUGGGUUAUGGAAAAUAUUUAGAUUCAGAGGUUUUAAGGGUUUUAUAUCACACAGAUUGAUAAAGACAGUUGCAACGGUUGAAACAUGAUAGCACUCCAAGGACAUCUUCUUGUGAUGUAUAAAUAAAACCUUUUUUAAUUAGUACAAAAUAAAAAAAAUUAUGUUAACUGAAACGUCGAUUUUUAUUUUGUAUUAAUGAAAUAAAAGCUAUAUUUCGUUUAUAUACCACAAGAAGAAGUUGUUGGAGUGCUAUCAUUUAUAUUCAUUGCAGAGCAGUGCCAGGCAUGUAUAUAUAUAUGUAUCAGAAUCCAAUUCAUACAUUUAUAGCAGCACUCUGGGUCUUUAAAUCCAAAAUACUUUAAAGGGAUACUAUAGUCACCAGAACAACUACAGCUUAUUGUAUUUGUUGUCGUGAGUAUAAUCAUUCCCUUCAGGCUUUUUUGCAGUAAACUUGACAACAAGAAUAUAUAUACAUACACAACGAGGGAACCGGCUGAUUAUCUAAAUAAAAACAUACAAAAAAAUAUAUAGUGUAAUACUGUUAUACAAUUUUCACACUGCACAAUUUGAAAUGCACUCACAGGAUCUUCAAUGAUUCAAGCUUUAAUGGUGCCUCCCCUGAUGAUAUGGGGGCUUGGGAAAUUCCCCUGGAUACUUCCACUCAGAUACAGGACUCCGGGUAAAGGUUGAAAAAUUGUGGCUUUAAUAUGUAUAAAAAUAUAUAAAAUAAACAUAAACAAUGGACCUACGCGUUUCGUCCCUGCGCGGAGAUAUAUCGAUGAUAUUAUUAUUUGGAAGGGGUCUUCAUCUUUGUUUCAAUCAUUUGAAUCAAAAUAGGUAUAAUUUGAAGUUCACUUCCGUAUGGAAACAAAAGAAAAUAAUUUUUUUAGAUUUGGCCUUGAUAUGUGAGAAUAAUCAAAUCAGAACGAAAUGCUUUUUUAAACCAAGUGAUGGUAAUGGAUAUGUCCAUCGGCAGAGUUGCCACUAUCGACCGUGGCUUAGAGGAAUAGCAAAGGGUCAAUUUGCCAGAGUGAGAAGAAAUUGCUCAGAAGUUCAAGAUUUUAUAAUACAAUCCUCCCAGAUCAAGGACAAAUUGGUGGAAAGGGGUUAUAAGAAGAAUACGCUUGAUAGGGAAAUUCGUAUAGCUCUACAGACCGACAGGGGUAAUUAUCUGAUGGACAGACCUUCUGUCAAAUCCUCUCAGGAUAAUAUAACUGCCUUUAGAACUCAGUAUUGUACCGAUCAUGUUAAAAUUAGGAGGAGCUUGCAGAAACACUGGUCGAUUCUUUUGCAGGAUCCUGUACUUAAUUCUAUCUUACCGGAUCAGCCCAAACGUAUUUUUCGAAAGAAUCAGAAUUUUAAGAAUACUCUGGCACCUAGUUAUGCUAUAAAAAAAUCAUAAAGUUAGUUGGAAUACGGCUGAGAAUAAUUCUUUUAGAGGUUGUAAUUCUUGUAAAGCUUGUCAUACUGUUAAUAUAGAAAGAACAGAUACAUUUUCUAGUUUCAUUACAGGUGAAGUUUUCCAGAUUAAGACUGUAAUAAAUUGCAGCACGGACUAUGUAGUUUAUUUAAUGCAAUGCCCGUGCGGUAAACAAUAUGUGGGUAGGACCAAGAGGGUCUUGAAAGUUCGAUUUAUGGAACAUAUUAACAACAUUAAAAAGAACUUAGCCACACAUUCAUUUCCAGUCCAUUGCAAUCAUUGUCCACUUUUUUCUUUUUCUGAUUUAAAGUGUAUUGGUAUUGAAAGGGUAUUGAACGAUUGGAGAGGGGGAGAUAGAUUAAAAAAAACUAUCACAACGUGAAACUUACUGGAUCCACAGACUGCAGACAUUGGAGCCAAAAGGACUGAAUGCAGAUGUGGACCUAGUGUGUUUUCUAUGAAUAUAUAUCAUUAUUGAUACAUUUAUUGUUUAAUGAUUAUGUUUUCUAAUAUUUCAUAAUUUUUUAUUUUUUAUUUUUUUAUUAUUUUACAAGGAUGGGUUUAGGUAAAUAAAUCUUUAUUCAAACACAUAACAAUAUAGGGUGAUUGAUAUUGAUUAAAAAUAAGGAUGUAUAUUGAACACAUAUAUAUUAAGCAUAAAUAAUUAAAUAAGAAAUUUUAAAAUGUUAGAUAUUUCAUAAAUAAUUCACUAGUGGACCUAUUAAUAUUUGAUCUCACAAUGCUAAUAGGAUAUAGAUAUAAUACAUUAAGUUAGAUUAGAUAGUAUUAUAUAAAUGGUGUACAUGCAAAUAUAUAUUUGUAAUAAGAUUGAUUAUUCAUAAAUGCAUAUAAGAAAUGUAUUUCAGACAUUUUAGAGGUGGGAUUUUUUAUAUGUAUUUUUGUAGCUAGGUAAUGCAGAGUUUCAAUGGAACGCGUGAGAAAUGAAGAUGGAACGCAUGCGACUUCCGUUUUGACGUGCAGAGAUGCAACGCAUAGCACUUCCGGUUUUUGGAACGCACGGAAGUGCCGAAAAUUAUCGGAGGAUUAUUGAAGUGGUGGAGAUCAGCUGUGAAUAUUGAGGAGACCUCCAACAGAUGAUAUUCAUUUACACAGGACCAAUGAGGAAGGGAGGAUAAGCCCAUGUGACUGAACUACAUUUAGGGAUUAGCCCUAUUUAAAGGACUUGCGGGUGGGGGGUUGUUAGGCUGCUUCUUUUCGAUUGUACUGUAUUGUCUGAUUGUUUUUUAAAUAUUGUGGUCCCUGAGGAAGUCCUGUGUCUCUGUAGACGGGACGAAACGCAUAGGACCAUUGUUUAUGUUUGUUUUAUAUAUUUUUAUACAUAUUAAUGCUGCAAUUUUUCAACCUUUACCCGGAGUCCUGUAUCUGAGUGUCCAGGGGAAUUUCCCAAGCCCCCCAUAUCAUCAGGGGAGGCACCAUUAAAGCUUGAAUCAUUCAAGAUCCUGUGAGUGCAUUUCAAAUUGUGCAGUGUGAAAAUUGUAUAACAGUAUUACACUAUAUAUUUUUUUGUAUGUUUUUAUUUAGAUAAUCAGCCGGUUCACUCGUUGUGUAUGUAUAUAUAUAUUCUUGUGGUCAAGUAGAUUGCCAGCUGGGAGCGAUCUGAGGGAGGCUGUUUUCACCAAUAUUGAUAAGUAUCCUUGUAUAUAAGUAUUAUUGUAUAAGGUACAUUUCUUUGGUUUCUUUUUUUUGCAGUAAACACUGUUUUGUUUUAGAUACAGUGUUUACAUUACAGCCUAGGCAAAAUCCACUGGCCACUGCUCAGAUGACUACUAUUACUAGAGGUGCUCUGUGGAGAAGUGCUGCACAGUGUGAAUGAUAUUUAGUGUCUCCACCCUCUGCAUGGAGACACUGAACAUUUCUCAUUGAGAUACAUUGAUUCAAUGCAUCUCUAUGAGGAGAUGCUGAUCGACCAGGGCUGUGUUUGGCUUGUGCUGACUCUGCCCCUGAUCUGCCUCCUUGACAGUCUCAGCCAAUCCUAUUAGAAAGCAUUGUGAUUGGAUCAGAGAAUCAAAUAUGAUGAUGUCAGCCAAGCAGAUCAGGGGCAGAGUCAGCAGCUGCAGACUUGAAUAAAAGUAAGGUUUUGCUAUAUUUAAGGGGCAAGGUGGUGGUGGUGGGGGGAGGGGUUGAUGGUGUUUUUGUACUCUAUAAGGUCAGGAAUACAUGUUUGUGUUCCUGACGCUAUCGUGUUCCUUUGAUUGUACUUUUAUUCUAUCCAGACCUUGAAGAUGGAAUAAAAGCACAAUAAAAUUAUUUUGGAAUUAAAGACCCAUAGUGCCAUUAUGAAGGUAUGAAUUGGAUUCUGCUGUACCAGGCAUCUUUGCUACUGGAGAGUUAGAGAGUCUCUCACUCUCUAAGAUUCUCUGAUUUCAAUAAAAGCAGAUUUAAUCCACAAUAUACACAACACAACAAUGAAUAGGCACUCACUAAAAUAACAGAGUGGAAGGCAGGAGUGAUCUUGCACUAUUAUCUUUUCCUAUCUCGUUUUUGGUCAUCAUAUACCCAUACAUCAUUGGACCUCAUAUAGUGUAUGUAUAUGUACUGAUUUGUCAUAUACACCUUUCUUUUUUGGCCCUGUUUACCAAACCUUUUUCUUCCACAUAAUCCACAAUGUUGCUAAUAAGAUACUUAAUCAUAUCAGUCUGAAAUCUCAGUCGACUUUUUAUAAGAAACAAAAUCACUUUAUACAUUGAUAAUAAUACAGUCUAGAUUGUCAGCUCGUUUAAGCAGGUUCCUCAUCAACCUGUUGUUCCUGUAACAUUUUGUAAUUGUUUCAUUUGUUUUUAAAUUCCCCCCUUUCAUAAUAUUGUAAAGAUAAUAAUACCGGAAUAAGCUAUUGCUUUAUAAAUACCAAUAAUAUUAAUAAUAAUGAUGAUAUGAAACCAAGAGGGCUGCACUCACCUGAACUUGCAUACUUAUAAGGGUGCUGCAGGGGCCAAUUCAUACAACAUACAAGAUACAGCACACUCACUAUAUAAAUAUAUUUUCAAGUCUCACCGAAUGUAAUAGUUUUAUUUAAAACACCUCACCUAGGCUAAAAAUAAUGGGGCUUUAGUUAAGGUAUGCCAUAGUAACUGAACACAAAGCAUAGGUGACUUGGAGAUUGUUUACAAUUUGGAUAAUUUUACCAUGGAUUUGAAAUUCGCUUUUAAUUCUCAUUUGGCGAAUAACACUGACAUACACACUCAUGAUAUUGAACAAAACAGAGACUCAAAAUGAUACCAAUGACUAUAAAGCCAAUUGACUUAUAGAAAAUCUAUUUUGCUGUCCUUCCUGGCAAUGAGCACUAUGCUUUGUUUGACAUAGUACAGGGGCCCCUAUGUAAUCUCUUAAUUUUAUAACCCAUCUGUGCAACAGUAAUUUGUAGGAUAAAUGUAUUGGAUAUUUCAACUUUUCUUUUUAAUAAACAUUGAAUGCUUUGCUUUAUUAAAUGCUUGAUUUUAUUUUUAUGUAUUAUUUUAAUAAGCUCCAUGUGAUCUCUAAGUGACAUUACUAUUCUGAGUCCAGGAUAAUUUGUUAAACAUGAAGGUGCUGGUCACGUCCUAUAAAGGUCCUAGAAAUUCUUUUAGAUGCAAUAUCAUUUGUGUCCACCAGAUGGAGUUCAAACACAACUGUGACCUGUGAUGGAACAUAAUCAUGGUAUCAGAUUCUGCUCAAAAAAUGUACUUGAUAAGAGAGGAUUUUGCCCCUAAAGAAUGUCUGGACCUUACAGCCAUAUGCCAUCAGUGAAUUGAAGCCUCUAUAAAACAUCAUAGGCCUAGGAAACAUAAUGAAAUAGACAUGAGUAAAGAAAAAAAAGAAUAAUACUGGUAAUAAUACACAAUUUGUAUCACAGGGAAUAAACAAUAUCUAAAGAUAGCUACCAAGGAAAGAAGACGUGUAGUUUCAUCUUAAUAUUUGAUACAUUGUUAUAUUGUAUUGUGGAAUAUUUUAUUAGACUUCCAAGGCUUUACCGUGUUAACCUUUACAAUUCCCGCUAGUGGGGAUGUAUUCUUCUAAAGUGUCAACGACUAUGUUUAUUUCCUCUGACCUUUACCGCCCCCACCCCACACUUUUUAACCAAGCUUUCCUGUUCUAGUUGUUUUUUAACCUAAUUAUGUAUUUAUUGCAUGCACACAUUUUUAUAGUGUGUCCUCUCUCCAUUGAGGGAGAGUUAACUGGUAACUGUGUUUGUUACUACUUUUUUUUUUUUUUUAAAUUUUUAUUUUGAAUUAUUUUUUCCAUUAUUUAUGUUCUUUUGAAGGUAUUAGCUCCAGACAUAGAAGCACACUGAUCUAAAACCUGAGCAGUGUUUACUGGGCAAAAGUGAACCUUUUCACCAUUUCAUGUACAAAUAUUACGCUAAAUGUAUAUCAACUGCUGUCCUUCAAACAUACUACGUUUACGUUACCACAUCCCCCGUUUGGCCUUCUGGAAUCCAUGCAAUGCUUCUAUUGAUUUUAACAAUCCCAUGCAGCAGCCACACAGGCACAGCGUUCAAUUGAUUUAACAAUCCUAUGCAGCAGCAACACAGGUACAGCGUUCCAUUGAUUUUAAGAACCCCAUGCAGCAGCCACACAGGCACAGUGUUCCAUUGAUUUUAACAAUCCCAUGCAGCAGCAACACAGGCACAGCGUUCCAUUGAUUUUAACAAUCCCAUGCAGUAGCAAUACAGGCACAACGUUCCAUUGAUUUUAACAAUCCCAUGCAGCAGCAACACAGAAAUAAUUAAUAACAAUAUUAUAUAAAAUGUGUUUUUACCAUGCCCUGCAAUAAGCUCCAUGUAACAGCAUUUGUUAAUGUUUGCAUCCUCUUCAAUUUGCGCAUAUUUCAGAAGGGGUUAUAUGAGUGGACGAAAUAGCUGACAGUAAUGAUAGCUUCAGGGGGUGUGGAAGAGUAGACACACACACCGCCACCGCCAUCCCCCUCUAUAAUUGGUCAAUCAAGUUAACCAGGUUGCCAGUGGAACUCCCAGGUGAAUUAUAUGGCUCACUGUGUCUGUGUAUAUAUAAAAGGCCCUAGAGUCCAAAACAUUGAUUCUACAUGCUGUGAAUUACUUUUGAAUAUCUUUUUGCUGCACAAGUCCCCUGAGUGUUCUCUUUUUUUGGUUAUCUUAAAUAUCGCUGGAGUCAGCACUAGGCAGUCUCUGUCGGAGUAUGCUGCAGCUGUGAGUGCAAUAUUAGAGUUUUAUAAUAUAUAUAUUUUUUUGCUCCUGAUUUAAAUGUAAAAUAAAAUGUGCGUUCUUGACCAGAAUAAAAUAAUUAUUUGUCUUUAAGUGGUUUCCAAAGUAACAUACAAUAAAAGUUUCCUUUAAACAACAUUAAAUAUCAGCUUAAGGAAUCCAGGCAAUAUUUAUAGUUAUGUAAUGGCAUACAAAUAACAGUUAUUUGUGACAAAUAUGCAGUCACUUUCAAAAACAGCAUUAUAAACAAAUUCAAAUGGUACAUUUCUACAUUUUCCUGGCAAUGCAGCUAACAGCGACUUAAUAGAUGUUUCAAAUAAUCAGAGAAUGAUUGACACAAUUUGUAACAAGGGCUGAAAAAAAAUUACUAAAAAGACAUGACUAAAUAAUGGUAGCAGGAAUAGUCAUUGGAGUGCUAUUUCAGGUCUAACACAUGUAGAAUAUAACGGUAUAUUAAUUUUUUUUCGAUGUAACUAAUGAUUUCUUCUAGGUAAACAGAUCCCAGAAUUAAGUGUUUAUGCACAUCCAUCAUUAUCAGACCAGGCUAUUUGCAGCCUGUUAAUCUCUAGGUGUUUACUACACUGCAAGAACAUUUUGUUAGUUUUUCACAUGUGGGAACUUUCAUUAGAAAUGUAGCCAGUUAGCUGACAUCAAAGUACAACUGCCAAGGCUUUGACAGCCAAAAGACUGUUCGAAGAACAGGAAGUCAUAAAGAGUUAACUGUCAACCCGUAUAAAUUCAUACACAUCAACUUCAAAGGUGAAUAGCACUUCCUAUGUUUUUUAAUAUUAUGUUUACAAAUUCUCCAUAAUUAAUAAAUAUAUAUUUGUGUGGAAUGAAAAUAAUAUUAAAUGGACACUAUAGUCGCCAGAGCAACUUCAGCUUAAUGUAGUGGUUCUGGUUUCUAUAGCCUCUUCCUGCAGGCUUUUUAAUGUAAACACUGCCUUUUUAGAAAAAACACAGUGUUUAUAUUGCUGCCUAGUAACACCUCUAGUGGCAGUCACUCAGACAGCCACUAGAGGCGCUUCCUAGUCUGGUGCUGCACAGUGUGCAACACUUGAAUUUAGUGUCUCCACGAACUGCAUGGAGUUGUUGAACAUUCUGUUGAGAGAGAGAGCCAUGUUUCAGUUAAUGCAAGAAAAUUUAGGGUACCUGAUAUGAAUAAAUCAUGGAUAGAAGUCAAUUUAGUGAUGUUGCAUACAGAGAGUGGAAAGGGCAGUGCGAAAGGAGGACUUAAAGGGAGAGUUACAUGGGAUGGGUAGAAGAUUGGUGUGGUUUCUGGUGUUAACACAAGGUAGGUUAGUGGAGGAGGGGCCAGAAUUUGGAGAGACAUUACCAGCUACCAGAAGCAGAAGGAUAGAAAGAAGGAUAAUGUGGGAGUAAGAUUUAAAUAUUUUGAAUGAGUGUGUGUAUUUGGAGGCUUUAGAAGGAGUUGGUGGAGAAAGGGUGAUUAUGUGAAACCAUUUGAGAUUUUAAGAUACAAGAUAUAAGGGAUAAGGGAGUGGGAGAGAUCAGAUAGGUGAAAGUCAUAAAUGGUGGACAUAAAUUAAAAAGACUAUAAGUGUGAUAACUUUAACACUAACAAAAAUAAACAAAUAUUGAACAACGCAGGAGUUGAGCAUGGAAGGUACAAUAGUUUUUGAAUAAACAGUAUUAUAGGGGAGGGAGGUAAGAAGAAAAACUAUUUAAAAAUAUGAACUAGAUUAAUAAAAUAAGUAAUACUUGUUCUUGAAUUGAUCUUCCAUAAGUUAUACCUCUACACAUGGCUUUGUUUUCAAGACUUGUUAGCAAACAUAGAAACAUAGAAUGUGACUAGAGAAAAGAACCAUUCGGCCGAUCUAGUCUGCCCAAUUUUCUAAAUACUUUCAUUAGUCCCUGGCCUUAUCUUAUAGCUAGGAUAGCCUUAUGCCUAUCCCACGCAUGCUUAAAUUCCUUUCCUGUGUUAACCUCUACCACUUCAGCUGGAUGGCUAUUCCAUGCAUCCACUACCCUCUCAGUAAAGUAAUACUUCCUGAAAUUAUUUUAAAACCUUUGCCCCUCUAAUUUAAGACUAUGCCCUCUUGUUGUGGUAGUUUUUCUUCUUUUAAAUAUGGUCUCCUCCUUUACUGUGUUGAUUCACUUUAUGUAUUUAAAUGUUUCUAUCAUAUCCCCCUGUCUCGUCUUUCCUCCAAGCUAUACAUGUUAAGUUCCUUCAACCUUUCCUUGUUAGUUUUAGCCCGCAAUCUAUGAACCAGUUUAGUAGCCCUUCCCUGAACUCUCUCUAUAAAGUAUUAAUAUCCUUCUGGAGAUACGGUCUCCAGUACUGCGUACAAUACUCCAAGUGAGGUCUCACCAGUGUUCUGUACAAUGGCAUGAUCACUUCUAGCAUUCUUCUAGCAUUUCCUGUUUUUAUUUUUUUUUAUUAUUCUUUAUUAUAUGGUUUUGCAUAAAUUCGGGUAGAAGGAGGGAAAGGGUACAUAAGAGAAAAGGGAGUUGGGAGAGGGUCGAGGGAAGUAAGUUCAAGAUACAGCAGUGGUGUUGGUACCAUCGCAGGGUACGUUUUCAGGCAUAGUGUUACAUUUAAAUAGGAGAGUGCCGUAUGCAUAGGCGAGGUUGACACCUUCGCUGUGUGCAAUUUCGUGUACCUUGGCAUUUUUCCAGAAUUGGUUGUGGUGUGCAGUAAUGUAAUACAUGCCUCCGUAAGAUGCUGUUUUAAGCAUGAUGUUUGUCUUUAAAUAGGUGGAUGUAUUAUACCUUGGUGUGGUAUAUGUCGUUACAGGUAACGUUGUUGGGCAUUGUUUCAUAUUUGUGUAGUUGGAUGUAGUUACCAUUAUUGAAUUUGGUAGCGUUGCGAGGUGUGUUUUUAUUUUGGUUUUAGAUUUGCUUUUGCAAUUUUUGGUGCUGUAACCUUACGUGUAGGUGGUGUGGGUUGCCUACAGUUUGCGUCUGUGUUGUUGUCAUGCUUCCUAUGGCUUUAUGGGUCUUAGUCUGUAUCCUGCUUUGCGGUCAACCCAAGGUAAGGUGGGGUAGGGCGUGGGUUUUGGGGCUUCGAGCGGGAGGGGUGGGGUCGUGGUCCGCAGGCCAUCUGGUGCGUAAUGUGGCCCCUGUGUGGGUUGUUGGGUAUUCUGUAUGGUGUAAGGGUGAGCGUGUUGUGGAGGUGUGUGUGUGUGGGUGUACUGGUGUCCCGGUUGGUCUUCCGUGGUAGCAAAAUCUUAAUUUGAUGGGGUUACCAUGGUAUGGUUGUGUGUCCCCCUUGCCACGGGUCCCAAAUUUUAUGGUACUGUUUGGGUGAGUCGUGUAUUUGCGCUGUAAGUUUGUCCAUGUGUGAGCUAUCUAUUAUUUUCCUCGUGAUCCUUUCUUGUGUUGGGAUGCGAGUUGUAGACCAUAGCUUUGCUAUGGCUCUUCUUGUUGCUAGGGCGAUGCAGGCUAUUAGCUUGUUCUCCGCUCUGGUGAAUGGUUCUAUUGGUUUAGAUAGUAGUAGAGCCCAGGGGUCCAUGGGGCAGGGUUUGUCCAGUAUUUUGGUGAUUAGUUGUGUGACGCUCUGCCAGAGUGGUCGGAGUUUCGUGCACGUCCACCAACAGUGAAGGAACGUCCCCGUCUCCCCGCAUUGUUUCCAGCAAGUGUUAGAUGGUAUUUGGUGCAUGGUGGCGACGCAUUGUGGUGUUAGGUACCAGCGGAACAGCGUUUUAUACGCUUGUUCCGUGUGUGUGACACAGAUCAAUAUGGAGGCUAUGGCCUCCCAGAUGUCCGACCAGUCGGUAGCCUCCUCCGGGGGGCCAAGGUCCGACUCCCAUGCUGUUAUAUACAGGAGAGUUAUUUGGGUCGAGUGGUUGGCUAUGGUCAUGUACAUGUCAGAGAUUUGUCCCUGUCUGUUGGGGUGAUACGUACAGUCUCGCUCGAAGCUAGUGAACGGGGCUGUGCCGGCUUGUUUUAUAAUCGGGGUUGUUGCAAAGCUACGCAGUUGUAUGUAUUGGAAGUGGUCGAAGGUUGUGGGGGAGCAUGAGUCUUUGAUAUCCGUGAACUGUAUGAUUUCGUCAUUUUGAUAUAGGUGUCUCAGCCGUGAGAUGUCCCUGUGUUUGAUAUGGGCAAAGUGUUUUGGGGUUAGUCCCGGUGGGAAGAGUUUGUUCCUCCAGAUUAGUGUCAUGGGGGAUAGGAACGAGGACAGGUCAAAUUUGUCUCUCAGUUUGUCCCAUAGAUCUAGUGCGUGAGUGAUUGCAAGUGCCGUUGGGGGGGUAGGGGCCUGUGUGGUUUGGGUGUCCACAUGUACAAGGACGGGUGGUCCCAGCCAAAGAUCAGGUGUUCUAGGUCUACCCAUCAUUUUUCCCCGGCUGGGAUGUGCCGCUGCUGUAUUUGCGCCAGGUGUGCUGCUGAAUGGUAGUGUGUAAAGUCCCAAGCUCCCGCAUUUCUUGGGUACGUACAGUGUGCUCCUGCGUCCGUUCCAAAUGAAUGUGUCGAUUGCCGACUGCAGGGUCUUGAAAUCUUGUUUGUGGAUUUAGAAUUGGGAAGGUUUGGAAGAGGUAUAGGAAUCUAAGGAGGAGGUUCAUUUUGAUGGAGGCAAGGCGUCCCAGCCAGGAGAUCCCCAGGGGCCUCCAUUUUAUUAAGUCUUCAUGGGCUUUUUGGAGAAGUGGGGUGUAGAUUUUGGUGUAUAGGUUGUUAGUGUCUGUCGGGAUUUGAAUCCCUAGGUAUGAAAUCUCUGUGUGGAAGAUUCGCAGUGGGAAUGCUUGUUCGAUUCUGGCCAGGCUCAAGGGGUCUAGUUUAAUCGGUAGGAGCUCAGAUUUAGUUAGGUUGAUCUUAUACCCUGAGAGUUCUGAGUAGUCUUGUAUGAUGGCGAGUAGGGAGCUAAGUGAUUGUUCUGGAUUGGUCAGUGUUAGUACGAUAUAGUCUGCGUAUGCUGAUAUCUUGAACGUUUCCCCCCUUAUCGUGAUCCCCUCGACUCUGCGGCUGGAGUGCACCACCUGGAGUAGGGGCUCUAAUGAUAGGGUGAAGAGCAUGGGGGCCAGAGGGCAUCCCUGUCGCGUGCCGUUUCUGAUGGGGAAGCAUGGUGGGGGUAUGUUUGGCAGCAGGAGUUCCCCCUGAGGGGAGUUAUAGACUGCGUGUAAGAAGGAAGUGAACUCAUUUGGUAAUCCUAUGUGUGCCAACAUUCUGUGCAGGAAUGGCCAAGACAGGCAGUCGAAGGCCUUUUCUGUGUCUAGUGAGAUGACUGCUGUUGGGAUGCGUCUAUGGUUCGCCAACCAUAUAAGAUCUAUGGCCCUCCGGGUGUUGUCCGUGGCCUUUCUAUGGGGGAAAAAUCCCACUUGGUCUGGGUGGAUAAGGGAUCCUAGGUAUGGGUUUAGUCUAUUGGCCAUGAUCUUGGUCAUGAUUUUGAGGUCUACGUUGAGUAAUGAGAUUGGCCUAUAGUGGGCGGGUUCCGAGUGGUCUUUUCCUGGCUUGGGUAGGAGGCAAAAAUUUGCGUUGGUCAUUUCUGGUGGGAGAAUCUCUCCCUUAAGUGUGGCGUUAAAGACCGCGCAUAAAUGUGUGAGGAGUAGAGGGCCAAAUUCCUUAUAGUACAAGGCCGUGUAGCCGUCGGGCCCCAGACUCUUAUUGGGUUUGAGGGAUCCCACUGCCUGUGCCAUUUCCUCCACGUCACCUCCUGCCCUAUAGCGGUUUUGGCCUCUUGGGACAUGGUGAGGAGUGUGGUGUUUUGCAAAAAAGAAUCUAUGCAAGCGUUAAUAGACUCCCUAAUGUGAUCAUGGUUAUAGAGAUCUGUGUAAUAGUCUUGGAAGAUUUUGCCUAUGUGGGCCGGGCAUUCACUGAGGGUGCCAUCCUGUGUGUGGAUAGAUGAAAUCCGCUUGGCUUCGGUGCGUUUUUUGAGUCUGCGGGUGAGCAUGGUAUCUGCCUUAUUUCCUUUCUCGUAGAAUUUUUGUUUUAGCCACAUCAAGUCUUUAGCGGUGUCCGCAUGUGUGAGGGCUUUAAGGAGGUCUCUGGUUGCAGUCAGUUCCAUUAGUGUGGUGGGGUUGGGGUGUCGUUUGUGUUCGGAUUCUAGGCGACGUAGUUCCGUCAUUGCUUCAGUGAUUUGUUGUUGUGCUUGUUUUUUCUUGUAAGAGGCUAGGCUAAUGAGAGUGCCCCUGAUGACCGCCUUAUGUGCGGCCCAUAAGGACAUGGGGGUGGUUGCCGUUGGGGAGUUCAGUUCAAAGUAGUCUUUGAUUGCUUCAGCUAUUUUAUCGCUGAUCACUUGGUCAUGUAGCAGGAGUGGAUUCAGCCACCAAGUCCAGUGUUUAUGAAUUGUCGGUAAGGUUAUGGUGAUUGCUAUGGAGAUUGGGCCGAUGUCCGAGUUGGUGAUCUGAGGGACUAGGUUCUAGGAAAUCAGGAAGUGGUCUAUGCGGGAGUAUGAUCCGUGUGGGUGUGAGUAGAAGGUAUAGUCUUUCGUAGAUGGAUGUUGUGCUCUCCAGUUGUCUAUGAGGUUUUGUGCGGUCAUGAAUUGUGCAAAGUGGGCAUCGUUCUGGGACGGGCGUGUACGUGUAGGGUUUAGUGGUAGCAGGUGUGUGGACCGUGUUGCAGUCCCCUCCUACUAUGAGGCGUGUGGUGGAGUAGGUGUUGAGGUGGAUUGCUAGUUGUUGCCAGAAUGAGGCGUCUUGUGUUGAGGGUGCAUAUAUUGAUGAGAAGGCGUAUGCUGUUGUGACGAUUUUUCCAUAUAUCGUGAUGUACCGGCCCUGUGGUUCUUUAGUGCAGAUGAUGUUCGUUAGAGGUCAGCUGGCUUUUAAGACGAUUGCUACGCCCUUGGACUUGGUGUCUGGGGAGGGGGCUAUGAAGCUCUGAGUGUAGUAUCUGUUUGUGAGGGGAUACGUGUGUUGGGGUGUGAAGUGGGUUUCCUGAACAUUGGUGUUUUGUUUGCGUGCCCAUCUGAGGAUGCUGUAUCUCUUCUUGGGGGAGUUUAGCUCUUUGGCGUUGAUGGAGACGCAACGUAUGGAUAUGGGCAUUGUGGUUGCAGUAGGUUUGUGUUCCCGUGGGGUAUUUGGUGUAGGCUAAUGUAGGUAGCGCGCCCGGGCGGCCGUGGACUGUCAGGGUGGGUGGCAGGGGUGUAGCGAGGGUGGUGGUUAUCCCUCAGAGGAGGGUGGGAAGUGGGGAGGUGGGUCUGGGUUUAACUAGGGUGGGGUUGGCUACUGGGGAGGGUGGGGUUGGCUACUGGGCUUAUUCGAGGGCCAGUAGGGUGUGGGGCGAAGCGUCCAACCGCUCCAUGGGUGUUCACUAGGGGUUCGGUUCCAAGUGUGUCUGGGGUUGGUGACUGUCGGGUCAGCGCCGCCAGCAGGCUGUUUCUUUUCUGGGUCUUAUUCCCUUGUAGUCUAUGGUCGGUCUUCGUGUCUAUUCUAUGUCUUUUUGAGUUGGGUGCGUCCCCCCUUAACUUGACAUGAUGUGUGUUUACCUUAUCGUUUCUGUCGGUCCUGCAGGGUGGUCUUUGCGUUGUGGACUGGGCCUGUGCUUGGUCCAUUCGCGGGGUGCCCCUGUGUCCAUUGUUUCGUCAGGUGUCGUCUAGUCCGUCUCCGGUUUAUGCGGUGAUGCAGCAUGUUUGAUGUGGGGUGAGUCAUGAGAAUGUAAGUAACAUAUUAACAUUUCAACAUAAUAACAUCAAAAACAUUCUGUGACCUUUGCGUUACGGGGUCUGAGUUAGCGUUAGUCCCUUUGGGGGUUAGCAUUUUUAGGGUGACUGUGGUUUAGAGGCGGCGGAUCACCUCCUGUGGUCGUGCCUGGGUAGGUUCAUGUGGCUCGUUGACAGGUACCCUUUACAACUGACACAACUUAUUUAGGGGUGGGGUUACAUUGCGAGCGUCCCUGCACAUCCCCAUCUGAGGGGUAUCACCAUAAGAUGGUACCGUGGCCGACACUGCGUGCCAAAGGUGUUGCAACUCUGGGCGGGUACCAGUGGUAUAGCCUUGGGUUAUCGGGGGUGUACAGGCACCGGGUAGAGUGGGAGUGAGCGAAGGGAUGGCUGCGGUGCGGUGAUGAGUAUAUAAGUGCAGUGGGUAGACUGGGAGUGAGCGAAGGGAGGGCUGCGGUGCGGUGAUGACUAUAUAAGUGCAGCGGUCUGGCAAGAGUCCAGCUUGGGACACCCGGAAGGUCUAAUGACUAGGGUGUCCGGGGCGGUGUGCCAGUCUGGGUUGGCGUUCUCGUUCCGGAGGGUUCGUGCGGGUGGUCCUAGGUUGGGCUGGUAUAUUUGGUAGUAUUAGUUAGUGGGCUACUGAGUGAGCCAGUAAUGGCCUUUUUGGGCCUCUGUAGGUCCCUUUUUCCUCAUCCUGCGUUGGGUGGGAGUUCUCUAUUGUCGAGGUGCUAUGAUUUUGUAAGUGGGGCAUCAGGGGUAUGUGCACAUCGUGGUGUUCCCCACUGUCUAAAGGUAAGCAGGGUUCCUGAUUCUCAUGGGGGUCAAGAUAGUUAAGUUAUAUAUAGCUUGCUCAGUUGUUUCCUUCCCCCCCACCCCCUGUCCCCAUCCCUCCCUCCCGCCCCAUGAAGUACCAAUUCCCCUUUGAGUUCCCCUUUAUGCCUUUAUGUUUGGGUCUGCGUGCAGGCAUUUGUUUUAUAUUAAGUUCAGCUAUCUAGUGGCUGUGUGUGUUUAAUCGAUUGUGGCUUCAUUUAUGGGAGUUGUUGGAGAUGUGCUUUCCCCGUUUGGGUGAUCUUAGUGGGGGCUGAAGGGGCGUCCAGCAGGGCGAUGUCGCUCAAUGGCGGGCAAUGUGGCCUCAGAGGACAGGUUAGUGUUGCCAGUGGGUUGAGUGGUGCGUUAUUGGUGUUUGGAACUUAGGGGUUACAUACAUUUGAGUGAGCCGCCACGGUAGGCUUGUGAUCUUAGUAUAUUAGUGUAUCAACCCUGAUGGUUUGAGGGGUUGGGCCGCGUAGGGGUUGCUAUAUGCCAGACCAACCCCCUUUUCCCCCCCUUUAUGAUUGAGGUCCGACCUGUCUGGUGAGAUAUGCUUUCUGCGCCCCUCUGGGGGUUGGGUAUUGGUUGUGGGCAAUUUUAGUUGGGGUGUGCUUAUCCUGUCUUUUGGUCCCCUCAAUUACAAGGUCUAUGGCAUUUAGCAGUUAAACAUGAACAUUAUACUUUAAACAUUUGGUCUAAAAACAGUUUAGCUCUUAUCUGUGGUUUGGUUUCAGUGUUGGCGUCUCUGGAGUCUUUUGUAUUCUCAGGACCCGCGUGCUUCUUUUGUUGGGCAAUGUGUGUUCUAGUUGUUUUUCUGGGUCCCUCUGAUGGGUCUGUGUAAAGCUUUGUUUAGUUCGUUUUUCUCUUGUGCGGUUCGAUUAGUGGUCGGGUGAGGUUAGUUCUCAUGUGGUGAGUGGUGGUCGCUAGGUGCCGGGUUGUUUGCGGUCGAGGUAGUUGAUCUUCUUGCUGCAGGUCUCCUGCCGGGUUCCCCAGAGGUUGUUUCCGUGGCCAGGUCUAUGGCAGGGAUGCCCAGGCAGUCCGUGAAGUCUGCUACGUCAGAAGUGUUGUGUAGGGUAAAUGUGCGGUUGUUUCGUCUCACUUGUAGUUUGAAGGGGUGCCCCCAGGAGUAACGAAUGUGUCGUCUGGUGAGUUCCUGGGUGAGAGGCCUUAGUUCCCAUCUUUUGUGGAGGGUGCUUGGGGCUAGGUCCUGAUAAAAAUGGACUUGGUGCCCAUCGAUUUGAAGUGGUGUGCCUCUAGCUGCAAGCAUGACUGCCUCUUUAAUGUGAAAAUAGUGUAUGCGAAUGAUUAUGUCCCUGGGUUGGGUAGUGUUAGGUGCUGGGGCUCCCAGGGCCCUGUGCGCUCUAUCCAGCAGUAGCUCUGCUGGUGAGGCCCCAGGAAGCAGGCCGCAGAACAGUUCCCGGAGGGUCAGGGGAAAUGCAUCCAUCUCCACUGAUUCCGGCAUGCCACGAAUCCGUAUGUUGUUGCGGCACGAGUGGUUGUUGAGUUCCUCCUGGGCCUCCUCCAGUUGUCUGACUUGGUCCUGUAGGGCCGUGAUAGCUUCCUUGUGUGCUGAGGCCUGCGUGAAGGCCUGGUUCAGCCUCGUCUCCAUGGCUGAUGUCCUGCGUGUUAGGUCGCUGAGACCCUCUUUAAUGGGUGUUAGGUGUUUGGUGAAUUCUUCGAUCAUAUUCAACUUGAUUUCUUUUAGUAGCUGUUUGAGAUCGUCUUUUGUAAGGGGCAUUGUGGAAGCUGUCCGGCUAGUGUCGCUUGCCGCCAAGUCUGAGUCAUACUCGCGGCCAACUUCCCCACGUGUGGGUCCUCCAUCUUUGCGGGAGCUAAAUAUCAGCACCACUUUGGAGCCUUGUUUGUAUUUAUGUCCUCCUCCCAUUCCCACACUAGUGUGCGCCGUGGUUGGAGGUAAAAGUGACCGGUUUGCAGAAAAUUAUUUUGGGUUUAGAUGCUGUUGUUAGCUCUAGUUUUGCCUGCUGGUACGGAGCUCUAACAAAAAAGCCGCCAUCCGCACCCCAGCAUUUCCUGUUUUAUGCUGCAUUUUGCAUGUUUUAUUUAGAGGUUUUCAACUUAACUUAUGAAUGAUGUUGUUUGGAGCACACACAAUCUUCAGUUUUUACUGUUGAAAACCUCUGAAUAAAACAUACGAAACACAGCAUAAAACAUGUGUCCUCUUCACUCAAAAAGCUCAACAGAUAGUUACAGGGACACAUUAAACCACAAUAGCCAUUACAGUAUUAUGGAAACUAUUAUGUGUCCUCAAAUAUCAAAUAUUUAAAGAUGCACAAUUUACAACUUUAUCCUUCUUACAUAGCUUACAGCACAAGGUGGUCCCUCCUUCCUACGAAAAGGUCCUGCAUCUGUAAGCCACCCCUCCAUCAAUACACAUGUACAUAGAUAAACUGUACCCAGGGUUCUACUUCUUUUAACUGACUCUUUAUAAAGGUCUAUGAAGGUCUGGGUACAGUGAAUACAUGUGCUAAUGCAGUAACUUCCAAUGUGAGUAUUUUUUUUAUUUUCAUUUUCUUCAUUUUUUUAUAAUUUAUAAAUUUGGAGGUGGUACAAGGCAAAUAUAAAUAACAAUUGACACAGCAGCCAAGUAAUGCAAAUACAUGAAUGAAAAAGAAAAACGGUGUCAAGUUGAAACACCUAUUUUUAUAUAAAACAACAGCUGGUGUUAAGCGAGAAUGCCAAAGAGUGUGAGUAAAAGCAGCUAAAUUGCUAGUAGGUAAUCCUUUCACACAACAUAAUAAACUUAACAGAACAGUAAAUGCCUACAGAUGGCAAACAUUUAACUCCUAGUGGAGUACAUAGUCCAAUAACCUAUGGAGCAACAGUGGUGGUGGUAGGGGGGAUGGCACAAUGUAUUCAGAUGGACACGUCUGCAUGAAAAAAAACACAAGUCAGGUGUAUUACACUGUAGUAAAUAAGCUGAAGCUGUGCCAUCGGUUACAAUUGGACGUAGUCUCCAGAAGCAGAAUUCAAAAUAAGGAUGCUUGUGGUUUUAACUGGACUUAAAAAUAUGGGUAUAAAAAGCUAAACAAAAUAAAGGAAAUUAAGUGUGAGAUCUGAUUCAAAUUUAGGGUAUUUAGAGUCCCGUUCCCAUCCAGGCAUAAAGGGGUAAUUCUUGUGAUGCCACAUGCAUGGCCUAACUUUUGAAAGGGGUUUAAUCUGUAAGGCCCCAACGCCUGUAGAAAGACCAAACCCUCUGAUGGUCCUAAUACUUUGAAGGAUUUUCCGUUACAGGUUACCGUGAGAGCUCUAGGGUAAGUCCAUCUAUAGGAAACUCCAGCUGUCUGGAGAACCUUGGUUACAGACUGCAUCGUCUGGCACCACAGCAAGGUGACCCUACUUCAGUCCUGGAAGAAGGUUAGGUUGUGGGAUUCAAACUGUAGUGGAAUGUUCCUUUUCAGUGCAUUUAGAAGCCUUUUUUUGUUGGCAAAAGUCUGGUAGCAUAGGAUAAUUUCUCGAGAGGCUAAGUUUGGUGUCUGUGAGGGUUUGGAAAUAUGGUAUAUACCAUCAAAAGUGAAUUGUAUAGCUAGUUUUGAAGGCAGGAUAGAUGAGACGUCUGAUUAAAUGGGAGAGUUCUUCUAUGGGCAUUGAGUCUGCUACUCUAUGGAUCUUAACAUUCUUGUGGCGCUUUUGUCGCUUAGUUGGUCGACCUGGAGGGUGAGGUUUGUGUGUAGGGUGUGUAGCUAUUGCAUUGAUUCACCCAAGGCCUGAAAUCCUGGUAUAAGAGGUGGAUUUCAGAACCUGGUAGAGGGUUGGUCUGGCUUCUGUGACUUGCGGCCCAUUUCAGUACUAGACGGAGCUUUUGAAGGUGCUGAGGGUUUGAGAAGGGAGCUGCCCGUGAGAAGUCCUUCAAGCGUGAGUUGGCCAUACGGGUGUGAGCAUCAGACAGGAGAAGGUCACAGGCAAAGCGGAGAGACCGAGAAGGGGCAUACCUAUGUGUGACGAGACCAAUCUCGCCACAUUGCAUUGGAGAAGCCUGGUUGCUCGCCUGCUACCUUUGGACUAUGGCCCCCUGUUAAAAGACAUAUUUUUUACCUGCAGAAAAGCUUCAUUCGUGCUUUUCUGCCUGGGGUUCGGUAGAUUUGUUUGAAUGUGUUAUACCCCAGAUAGGAAUCCCAUGGAGCCCAUUCGUAUGAAACUGACUGUAAAGACUUUGGCUCCAUGGCGAUUAAACUGUAUUCGUGUGGUCUGAGUGCCAUUCACUUAAUAAUGUGCGCUCAGACCUGAGCUAUCUGGGGAUAUGUUAAAUGUCUGUGUUUUAUGUAACAAAUAUGACUUUAUGUAUUUUAAAGUGUUUUACUGUCUUUGUGUCACCAUGUGCAUAAUGGAGUCUUGUCCCUGUCCUGGGAGAUAAUUGAAUUACUUCUCACUUAUCUCCAGGGCAGAGGAGAGGAAGCCAGGAUGCAUUGUGGUAAAAGGUAUGUGUAUUGGGUUACCUCUCAGGAUAAGGGGGAGGGAAUCUGUGGGUUGUAACUAAUAUGUUACUGGAUAUUUUAUACCUCCCUGUGGGCAGUCCUGUAUUUGCAAGACUGUAAUAAAAACCAGGCUGGGUGUGCCAGCACCUCAGACCACUGCUUGACCCUCAACACGGAGCCUUGUCUCGUUCUUGGGGGGAUUCACUGUAUGCUGUUAGAGACUGAUUGCCAGGAGUGUAAGCUGAUUGUCUGCUUUUCCUGUUCGUCUGCUAGCAGCUAUUUGGGAGGUUCCAGUUCGGGAGUUGGAGUGCUAUUUUGUAUCCAGUUCGGGAGUUUGGUGUUCUGCAGUAGCUGUGCCUGCAUCUCUGGAAAGGGGGCCGAUCGCCUAAACGGUUUUUACCCCUUGUGUGCAAAACGGUCCGUUACACUAUGGAUCUGUGAUUAGAUAUAAGAGGGGCUAGAACUGUUCAAUGCUUUAUAGGUAUGGGUUAGCAGUGAUGUAACUCUCCAGAAUUGAAGUUCAGGGACCAAUGAAUAAGUAAACUAUGUACUUUGUUACAGUAAAUAAAAACACAACAAACUUAGAGAUAAAACUCUAAUCACAAAGCUUUUCGACCGUAAAGGGUCUUCCUAAGGUGCAUAUCUCUACCGGGUUAGAAAUUUCUAUUUUAUACCAAACUUAAUGACAAAAGUAAAAUCAGGUGUAAUAAUUAGCAUACCCAAAUAUGGAAUUUCCAGGGCCUUCUGCCAUUACAAGGAAGUCAGAUGGUCUCUUAUAACCAAUCCCAAACCUCCCUAGAUGGAAAAUGUCCCACCCACAAUAAAACAUUUAUACCCCACUUCCUCCAUCCGGUCUUAGUAUCCGUCCGGAUUCUUCAAGAUGGUGUUCCAUCCAUUUCCUGUUAUACAUGCGUCAGACAUCAUAAUGUCCAUGUGAUGAAGUCACACGUCCAUGUCCGCAAACUGGAACCGGGGCUUUCAGUCCCGUUUUGUCCUCAAGCACCAUACAUGUUAUGGGCGAAGGUAUAGACAAUAGUAAGGGUGGAAUAUGCUAUAAAUUUAAUGGCUCAAAGGAAAGAGAGGAGUAGAGUAAACAGAUGUAAGGAGAUAAAAUCUAAAUAUUAGUAAAACAUGUAUAAUACAUUAGAGAUUACUUAAAAAUGUAUAUAUGAUCCAUAUUAAAAUACAGCCAAUAUCGAAGUCUAUAUUUAGACCUUUUGGGGAAGGAUUCUUCAGUUCAAAAAUCCAUUUCAGUUCUUGUCUGUCCAAACUGCAAGCACUGUUCCCACCUCUCCAAUUGUUGGUCACCCUAUCGAUUCCUAGAAAUUCUAAUCCACUCUGAUCAGACUGGUGAUGAUCUAGGAAGUGUUUAGAUACACUAUGGUUAAUUUAACCCUUUUUAAUGUUCCUGAUAUGUUCAUUUAUGCAUACUAUAAAAGCUCUACAUGUCCUGCCAACAUAUUGGACAUUUCAAUAAAUAUAUGACAUUUUUUGUUUCACAGCUGAUAAGGGAUUUGAUUUUAAAAACAUUUUUGGUAACCAUAGCUAUAAAAUCCUCAUUUUUAUUUUCUAAAACAUUAGUAUUUUUACAUGCAUUGCAGUAGCCGCAAUGGUAAAAACCCUGUUUGUGUUUUGGACCAUUUAUCUAAAAAAUUAUUCCCAUCAUUAUUCUUAUCCACAUAACGAGGUUAGAAUUUGUUUUAAAUUCUUUACUCAUCUAAAAAACAAAUUUGGGUUUAGAUCCUGUAAAUUCAUCCAACUCAUGAUCUUGUUUUAAAAUGUGCCAAUUCAGAUUAACAAUCUUUUUUAGAAAUCCAACAUUCGUACUGUAAUUAAAAAUAAAAAGGAAUAUAUUUAUUUUUACUUUCUUAUUUUCUUUAUAUUUGAGUAGUUGGGACCGCUCUAAUUUACUCAUUUCUUAAAUCUCAUUCUGAAGUGGAUCCCCUUUAAAACCCUUUUGUUCAAAUUGUUUCUUUAAAAUGUUUGAUUGGUCCAUGAAAUCUUAAAUUGGCCUCUAGGUAAAUUUUCCAACCAGGGGCGAUGGUGACAACUCUCCUUAUCAAUAAAACUAUUGAUGUCUACCGGUUUAAAAUACGUCCGGGUUCUGAGGGUGUUUUUAGAAACAUAAAUAUUCAAAUCUAAAAAACCUAUACUGCUGGGGCUGAUAUGUUUGGUAAAUCUUAUGCUCCAAUUAUUGUCAUUUAAAUUUUUUUUAAAAGUGUUAAAAUCUUCUUCCGACCCUUUCCAGACCAUAAAAAUAUCAUCAAUGUACCUCCUAUAGAGGACAAAAUUCCCUCCCAGCCAGCCAUCCUGAUAGUUAGAAGAUUUUUCCCAAUAGGACAUAAGCAAGUUGGCAUAGCUGGGAGCGAAUUUGGUCCCACAGCGCUACCCCUGGUCUGUAAAUAAAAAUCUCCCUCGAACAAAAAUAAUUGUUGGUGAGAAUCAUCUCAAUACCUUUAAUGAUAAAAUUAAUUUGGUCAUCUAAAAAAUUCUUAAACUGUCCAAGAUAAAAUUCUACAGCUUAGCAACCCUUGGCAUGUUCUAUGAUAGUGGAUAAACACAUCACAUCGCAUGUGAUCAGGAAAAAGUGGCCCUCCCAGUUAAAAUCAUUUAAUAAAUUAAGUAGGCUCAUGGAAUCCUAGAGGUGUGACGGACAAGUUUUUACCAAGGAUACUGUGAUAAGAGGGAAAGGAUAGAGUUAAUACCAGAAAUGAUCAGUCUCUCUGGUGGGUUCACCAGAACUUUAUGAAGCUUUGGUAAAAUGUAUAUAACUCGUAUUAUGGGGUUUUCUAAAAAAGAAAAAAAGAAAAUUCCCCCUUAUUCAGUAUCUUAUUAUUAAGAUCAUAAUUGAAAAAAAAUCAUAAUAUUCUCUUUUAAUACCUUCAGCUGGAUUCUUUAAAAGUUUCUUAUAUGUUGUGUUAUCCUGCAAUUGGUGAUCAAUUUCUAAUAAAUAUAGUUCCUUAUCUAAAAUCACUACGCCACCUCCUUUGUCCAUAGGUUUAUUACAAUUGAAUUGUCUUGUUUUAAAUCAUCAAUUAUUUUUCUCUCACUGAAAGUCAUAUUCUGCUCGUAUUUGGACAGUGGUUCGAUUUGAUAUAUUUCUUCCAGACAGGCUUUUUCGAAAACUUUUAUAUUACCUGACUUUAGAAACUGAGGAUAAAAUAUGGAUUUCUUUUUAAAAUUAGUGUGGACCAUCCCUGUGUUGGCUUCACUAAGCGUAAUAGGAUCAUUAAGAUUAAAGUUAUGUCUAUUAAAAUAUUAUUAUAAUUUAGACACAAUUUCCUAAUGUAGCGAUUGAUAUCUACGUAAACCUCGAAUUUGUUAACCGGACAACUAGGAGCAAACUUAAAGCCUUUGGUUAAAACCUUUUCUUGAGUGGAUGUUAAUUUAUUUUUUGAAAGGUUAAAAACUUUUAUAUCAUUCAUCUUUUUCUCCUUUUCCCCCAAUUUAAUUCCCUCUCCUCUAGUUCCUCUUCUAAUCUUCUUCCUUUUUUUUAACAGUGUACCGUACUCCCUUUCUCUUCUUCAUAAAAAUAACACCUUCUUCCCUGUCAUUUCUCAAUCUGUCAAAUCUAUUACUGAGUGGGAUUUCAAAGGUAUGUUUCUCUGUUUCUCUUCCCCUGUAGUUACUCUUCUUUAUAUCCUGGGGUGAAGUAUGGAAAGUUUUAGAUCUAACAACUCCAUCAUGAUACUUGCUCUCUGAUCUUUUAUUGAUUGGAGCUUACUUUUCUUAUUCUUUCCCUAGGGGUGGGAAGUGAUACUUUGUGGUUCACUUUCACCUUAUUAGGUUGGUUAUAAUGCUGCACUUCCCUCUGUUUGGGAUUAUUCUUUUCAUUUUUUCUCCAAUUUUGUCUGUUAAGCUUAUCAUGAUUACGAGUCUUCCUUAAUUUUACUGGUCAUUAGCCCUGUCAUUAGCAUUAUCAUUUAGAUCACAUUAGUAUUUUUUAUUUUUGUUAGUGAUGAUAGAGUUUUCUAAUCUUUCUAGAUUAUGUUGGAUUUUUUCUGACAGUAUCUCAAAAUCACCUUCUCUCACACUGUCACACUCACCUUACCACAUCAACCCCUCCAAUCCUGUCCUUCAACUGUGACACACUUACCCUAAACCCAGUCACACUUUCCCCCACAACCCUGCCACACUCACCAUGUCACAUUAACUCCCCUUAAUGUUGUCACACUCCCUCCCCCAAACAUAGCACAUUCCACCCAAACCUGUGAUACACCCCCAACUAUGCCACACUCACCCUGUCACAUUAACCUCAUCCAAUCCUGUCACACUCCCUCCUCCAGACAUGUAACAACCCCUAUGAUUCUCACCCUCUCUCAUUCUGUCACACUCACCUUCCCAACCCUGUCUCAUUUACCCCCCUCACCAUGUCAAACUCACCCUGUCACACUCACCAACUGAAGACAUUCAUUAUUUGCACACACACAGACAUGAAACGUAGCUGUGCCAUAACACAAUGCACAAUGCACAAAGGCCACAGGCAGGUCCCAGACACAUGCUCACAAAGACAUACAUUCACAUACAAGGAUACUCUCUGUCAGACACACACUUUCAGGCACAUACACUGGUAGACAAUGUCAGACACACUCAGAAAUACACACACCUGCACUUAUGUAUACACGACUGCCAGGCUGUGUAACCAUACCCCGCAAUCAUGUAGAAACGAUUAGCAUAUUUGCUAAUUAAAUUUGUUUAUUACAAAUUAAUUUAGUUUGCAAAUUAUGCCAUAACUUCAGUCAUAGAGCUCACAACGCAGCGGUACAGGGAGCUGUGACACUGCAAGCCUCUGAACAAUGAAUACAGAGAAUAGCUCUUUGUAUCCAGCGCUGUGAGCUCAUCCUUCAAUAUAACUACAGCUCCUUAUACACACACAAUGAACCCCUAUUUAUUUUCACUUUUGGUGCUAGUGGGGCCUCAUGUUUGAGUUUCGCCUAAGGCCUCACAAAGUCUAAAGCCGCCACUUCUAGGUUUGUUAUAGUUCACACUUUUAAUCCAUAACAGCUACCUUGACAACUGAUAUGUAAGUUCAGGUUCUCUCAAAAGACCAUCACACUUUCAGCUCCUGACCCAUUAAGCCACACACCUAAUCAUAUUUCUCUGUCUAGCUAACACAAAGGCAGGGCUCGUUUUGAGACUGUACCCUUUACCUAAUUCACCCAUCAGCAGCACGUCUAAUUAGGAUGUUAUUAAUCUGUCUAUUAGCCAACAUGCCCUUUAGGAAAGAUGCCCCCAAGUCUUAAUUUUUAAUUUAAUUUCAGUAAUUGCAAUUGAUCACUUCAUUAUAAUAUUCAUUCAAGUCUCCGAGCGAGGGAGGAAGCUAAGACAGCAGGUAUGUUUUGUCUAAAUAUCUCAGUGACAUUUUUAAUGACUUAACCAUAAAUUAGUAUGCAUGACCUUUAUUCUAGAUUUAGAUAAUAACGUAAGGUGCCCUUCAGCUGAAAUAAUUUGUUCAAAAUAUCACUGAAUAUAAUACAUACAUUCACGUGGCUAUAUUUAUCUCAUACUAAGAAUACUCGGGUAAAAAUGGUCUUAAAGUGUGAAAUAAACACAUGGAAGUUCUCCAGAACUACCCAUAAGGUGAGCUACUUCUUGGAGGUACUUUCAUUAUUGGAUAUUUGACCUAUCAAACACAUGGGCUCAUGAACACAAUGUAAAAUAAAUAAAUAUUUAUCCUGAAACUUUGAGAUUACGGUUGAGAUAGAGAAGAGAUCGCAAUCAAUUUAUGUUUGCCUAUCACUGCUGCCCAUUGCUGGUAGAGUUGCCAUAGUUCAUGUGGAGCCACGAGGACCCCGGUAACCUGAUUCUGUUUUAAACCAUUCAAAACAUACUGAACUGUGGGAUGGCAUAAGGUGACUCCUAGUACCAAAACAGCUUAAAUCGGAUGAAGUGAUUAUGGUGCCUAGAGUUUUCUUUUAAUAUUCACAAACAUGUUUUUUUAUAGACCUACAGCUGAUGUUAUUGUAUAUUUAUUUAUUUAUAUUUUUAACUUGCUUCUAUGCACCAGAAAGUACAUAAUAUUCAGAGGUGGCUUGAGAUUAAAUAAGGCUUUAGGCAUUAUAUUGCUCUUAUGCCCCAAAUCCUUAAUCACUUAUCACCCUGUCACUUUUAUCCAAAUCACAAAAUCCCUCUACCCCAAUCAUAUUACCUUAAGCCAUAUAAUACUUGCCUCGAUCACAGCCCCACAAUCCCCUCAUCAUCCCUUCUACACAUAACUUUCAAGUUCCACAUUUGGUGGUAUAUAGGCAAAGCUACCAGGUGGGAGCUGCCUAGGUGCAUUAGAGGCCGAACAAUGACGGAGUAGGUAGGGUUACAUAAUUUUACCACCCACUCCUUUACCACAAACAGCACUGUAAGUACCCACUUGUUCAUUAACGUUUGAAAGGAUUCAGGAUUAAACACUUUCUUUAUUGAGAUUUUGAUAUUAGAUUAGGUCCCAAACAUAGUAACUUUUUUUCCAAAGAUCAUAUAUACAAAAUACAUUUUGUUUGUGAAAGAUUCUAAAAAAAAGAUCUUGUUUUGGCAGGAUAUUUGACAUCUGUCAAUGCCCUUUUUGAGCGUUUAGCACAUUUUGUCAGACAAUAAAUUAAAUUUGGAUCAGUUUCAGGUAUAUCACACACCUUAAUAUCAAUGGAAAUUCUGCCCUCAGUAUAUUUCUGAAGACUUUGUCCACGUAGUUUCUAGUCCAGAAUUUGUCAGGACUUCCUAAAAAAAAACAUCAAUGUCUCUAGUUUAAGAAUCCACUUUGAUAACGUUAAAUUCUCCCGCAUCUCUGUCACUAAUCUCACCCCAUCUGACAGACAAAAAUAAUCUAUUUUUUAUAUCAAGAAUUCCUGUCCAUGCUAACCUCCUUGUAGAUUCAGGGUCGAUGGCACAGUUAGUGUCAGCGCAAAUCCCUCUCGUCCAUAUCCAAAUUAGUGUGGAAUAAUUUUUUGUUAAUUAAAUGGUAAGGUUGACUCAUUUGUGAGAGUGCUUAUUAUAUUUAAAUCUUUUCAUUUCAUGAAACACUGUGAUGACAUAUUUUAAGCAGAAUGUUUCAGAGAAUGGAAUGCAGUUUUUUUUCAUCUGUCAGGGUCCGUGUGUUCAGUCGAGAGGCUAUUGGAUCACAGCGUUUAAUGUCAGAGUCAGAGAACCUGCCAUUGCUCCAGACACAGUUGCAGACAUAGGAUCUUAAAUUUGCCUAACAACCUUUUCAGUAUUGUAAUUUACACUACAAGACAAUCAUGUUUUACCAUUGCUGUUUUUAUCUACAGCAAUUUUUCUUUUUGAAAUUACGAGGAGUUUUAUCAUUUCCCAACACUUUUUAGUCAUCAUUUCGAUGAAUUAUUGGUACACUUUAUUAAACCUAUUGUGUUUUUUCAUCUGUUGCCUCUUUUGCACCGAAACUGUAAUUUAUAUAUAGAUUGAGUUAUCAGUCUUUUAGGAACUGUUUUCUGAUAUUUUUUUUUUUAAGUCUUUUUUCUUUUCUGACCCUCUAAAUUUGGAAUUCUUCUGAAAUAGAAAUUUCUGCAAACACUGGCAGAAUAUACUACGAAGAAACCAACACUUUUUAGAUCACUUUCUUUGUGUCUGUUCUGCAGUGACUAAAUAAACACUUAAAUAGUAUUUGUUUAAUUAAACAUAUAAUUUGAUAAAUAAGUUAUUGACUCAUUGAUAAAUAGAAAUAAAUUAACUGAUAUAGUUCAAAUGUUUUGCCUACACUAAAAGCGUCAUUUAUUGGACUUGCAGUUAUUUUGAGGGUCUACAAUAGCCACCAAGAUGUCUGCCUGUGAACAGGAGCCCCCCAUAGAUAUCAAGAUAUUAUUGUCCAUGACAAAAUGGUGUCUGCAGACUUCCCGGUAAAGUUUACUGCCACAACGAGAAUAUUACAACAUUGUCUGAAUAAGAAGAAUUAAAAAAAGUGAAUAUGUUCCGAUGUGUUUCCUGAUUGGACAAGACUUUGUAACUAUGAAGAAAUUCAGAAAGUAAACUGGUGAAUAAGACAAAAUAAAUUAAUAAAAGUAAAAACUGCCUACAGAAAAUAGAAUUAAUGGCGUUUCAGCUGAAAAACAGACGUAUAAAAAUAGACAAUGACUAGAAAGCAACAAUGAUAAAAACAAAAGUCAAAAUAAGACAACAUCGAGAAGGCAAAUGGAGUAAAGUGAUGAAUAAAAUAUAACUGCACAGCUAAAAAAAUAUAAGGCACAAUUAUUCUUAUUCUUAUGUUGGUGCUUAUAUAGUGCAGAGCUUUACAAUAUUAGAAAAAGGGGGAAAUUUAACAAUAAAUUUAACAAUAAAUUAGGUAAUUACAAAAUGUUGCAAGAACUAUAUGUUGAUGAGGACCCUAUUCAAUCCAUAACAACACAGUGGAUACAGUGUACUGAGUGAAAAACUACUGCACAAAAUCAAUACACGAGUUCUCAAAUAACACACACAGCAAACAAUUUAUAAGCAGACAAAGACCGUGCUCUAAAUACAAGUGCUCUUCAAGUCAAUGGUCUCCGUUAAAUACAGGCGCAUUCAGCUUUGACACAUUCAGCUCCAGUCAAAGCAUCAGAGAGAGAGAGAAAUUAUGACAUUAUAAGCAACAUACUUUAUUUCAAGUAAAAACAAUAUAGUAAAGGAGGAAGAAAAUCAUUCCAGAGUGACAGUGACUAUCACCCCAUGCUACGUUGUGAUUGGUUAAAAGAAUGUUUAGAAUGUUUUUAUUUUAGAGUUUAUCUCCUGCUGGGGAAUUGUAAAGUAAGUUAAUACGUAAAAUGAGCCUUUGUGUCUACAUAAUAUGUAAUACUAGGAAAUUGUAGCCACAUAUUUGGGCCACAUGGUUAUGUGUUUGUGAAGGAAGUUGUCCUCUGAACCAUGUGCCAGGCUGCGAUUAAUCAGGAAAGCAUUAUUAUAGUCAUACGGCUCGUUUAGAUCAUUGUUGCUACUUUUUACUGCUUAUUGCUGCUUUUAGUGAGUAUCGACCGGUUACCAACUUCAACAUUUUAAUAUGAGUCACAGGAGUUUGACAGCAGUCACUACUAAAAUAAACAUUGUUUUCUAAGGCAGUCACUAACCUCUAUUUAAAAGUGCCCCCCUUCCUCGCGUCCCCCUCCAGCAGCACAGCACUCCAGCAGCACUGAAGGGGUUAAAACCCCUCGGUACCGGGUCAGGCUCUCCCCAGGUACAUUAGACCCUCCUAUAAGAAAGCAUUGAUUCAAAGGUCCAUUUCAAUUUAGGAAGCCCUCUAGUGGCUGUCUAGCAGACUGCCACUGUAGGCAGACUUAGAGCUGCAAUGUAAACUUUACAGUUCUCUGGGACACAGCAGCCAGACCACUUCAAUGAGCUGCCUACAGUGUCCCUUUAACGUUUGUUUCCCAACUGGUUUACAGCCAGUGGCAUACUAAGGGGGUACCUACCUACUAGCACAUUGCUCUCUUUGAGCUCACUUUUCCCAGCGCUCUCGGAAGGCCAUGUAGUUAUGCUCCAGCCUUUGCGUCAGUACAGAGCUGCAGGGAGAUGAGUGAUCAGUCUGAUCCAUGAUGCUUCCCACUGGACUCCAGGCUGAGGUUUUACUCCAGCUCUCUCUUUGAAAGUAAGAAAAAAUGAGCUGGGUGGAGCACAUAGUUACAAAAAAAAUUAUAAAAUAUGUACAUAAAUGUGAAUUUAUAUAGAGUGUGUGUGUGUGUGUGUGUGUGUGCAUAUGAGUCUGUCUGUAUGUAAAUGAGUCUGCAGAUUUAUCUAUGUACACGAAUGUUUGUUUGUACAGAAUGAAUGCUUAUAAGUCUCUGUGUGUGUAUAUGAAUGUUGGUGUAUGAAUCUAUGUAUGUAUAGAUGUGUGUGUAUGAGCAUGUGUGUAUACAUGUCUGUGUGUGUUUUGUGUAUCAGGCUGUGUGUAUGCAUAUCAAUAUGUGUAUAUAUGAAUGUAAGUACAGAUUAAAAAGAAUAUGAAUGUGUAUGUGUGUAUGAAUGUCAGUAUGCGUGGGUGAUUUCCCUAGCAUAAGGGGAUUGGGAAUGGUGCAGAGGAAAACACAAAAAAAUAAUUUGGUAGGGGUGCCAAAAUACAUUUUCGCUCUGGAUGCCAUGUAACCUAGAUACACUUCUGUUUCCAACCCUGUCGUUACUUAUGACAAGCUCCUGCUAACCUAAAAAAAUCCCAACAUCAGCCUCUGGCCUGGUGUAAAUGUCACAAUACCUGGGUCAUCAGGUCAUCAAUCAGCUGUGCAAGCAGACGCUGUGUGCCACUCAUGAAUCCCUUGUGAUGCAUGGUGUCAAUUCUGCGCCAUUGACAAUACAUGAUGUAAUUCCUGUGCUCAAUACGGUGCACAGUUUCAUUUCUGUGUCCAUGGCGACACAUAGUGUCACUCCUGUUACUAUUGUGAUGUCUUGUGUAAUUCUGGCAUCAAUUGUGACAUGCCGGUGAAAUAGCUCAGUGGGCUAAUGCAUCAUCCAGUAGAAUCUGUUCAACCUUUGGGUUGCAGGAUCAAAUUCCAGCAAGGUGGUAGAUAAAAUGAGUACCAUUAAUUUGGUUAAUAGUAACAACCCCUGGAUGUUGGGCUAAGGAAACAUCCUGUACUUGAAAACCAGAGUACUCUGAAUUUACAUUUUCUGGUAAAAUACUUUGUUAUUAUUAUUGUGAGGCCUGUUACAGUGCCAUGAGCUUGCGUCAGUUUUCAUCACGAAAGACUCUGUGUGAAACGUGUCUUUGGUCACGCAUGAUCUGGAGUCACAAAUAUGACAUAGACCAAUAGAAGUAAAGAUAGGAGUAUGUAUACCUCUGGGUUUUCUAUGGUUCUUUGUCUUGUCAGAUUUCCUAUAUUUCUUUACCAAAGAGUGCGUUCCUCGUGUUCAUUGCUUACAUGGUUACAGACUCUGGUUUGUCUGACUACUCUUGAUUUCUGUAAUCCUGAACUCAACUUGCCUCUUGCUUUUUGACCCUUUCUGUAUUAUUAUUAUUAUUAUUAUUAUUAUUUUAUUAUUAUUUUAUUAUUUAUUUGGCGCCAUCACAUUCCGUAGAGCUGUACUCCUUGACCUUGUUUUCGGUUACUCUCUGUCUGCUUGCAGGCUUUCUGUCUGUCUAUUCUCCGUGCUAGCACAGCCAUUCUAAGAAUCAGUACGCACUUCUGUCCUGUCUUUCCCUGGGUUUGUGUUGUAGGUUUAGACUAGCCUUAAUGAUAAAAAAAAAGAAAAAAAUAGCAGCUACAUGCGUAUGCAUCCAUUGGAAAUAAAUGUCUUUUUCCAAGUUCCAAACUCAUUUUGAGUAAAAUAUAAUUCAGCCAUAACCUAUAACUAAAAAAAUAUUUGUCUUUAAUCAGGGAAUAUUUUCAGGCAGCAUGAUUUCAUGUGGGGUGAAUUCAUAUGUAAAUUAUUACCUACCAAGUAGGAUCAGUAACUACUUAUUUAUUUUGUACUUGACAUACACGUGAAUAAAUCACAUUCUUUAAAAGUAUGAUUUAAAAAAAAAUCUAAUUAGUCUGUCAGAUGAAGAAACAGGACUUAAGGUCAAAGAACAUUUCAACAUUGACUCUAUUACGAUGAAAGUAGUCUCUUCUUUUUAUAGCACUAUUAAACUGUUUAAUACAUUUUCUGUUCCAUUGGAAUACUUUCAAAGUAUUUUCUCAGGUGAGAUGUGUCACCUUUGCAGUGAAAACUUAUUUUACUUCAAAUUAUUCUAUUCAUUUUUAUCUAUUACUGUAAAUCUGUAUUAGUCUUUAUUCUCAAAAAUGUGUUUUUCUUUUCUUAAAAGGACACUAUAGUCACCUGAACAACUUUAUCUUAAUGAAGCAGUUUUGGUGUAUAGAACAUGCCCCUGCAGCCUCACUGCUCAAUCCUCUGCCAUUUAUGAGUUAAAUCCCUUUGUUUAUGAACCCUAGUCACACCUCCCUGCAUGUGACUUGCACAGCCUUCCAUAAACACUUCCUGUAAAGAGAGCCCUAUUUAGGCUUUCUUUAUUGCAAGUUCUGUUUAAUUAAGAUUUUCUUAUCCCCUGCUAUGUUAAUAGCUUGCUAGACCCUGCAAGAGCCUCCUGUAUGUGAUUAAAGUUCAAUUUAGAGAUUGAGAUACAAUUAUUUAAGGUAAAUUACAUCUGUUUGAAAGUGAAACCAGUUUUUUUUUCAUGCAGGCUCUGUCAAUCAUAGCCAGGGGAGGUGUGGCUAGGGCUGCAUAAACAGAAACAAAGUGAUUUAACUCCUAAAUGACAGUGAAUUGAGCAGUGAAAUUGCAGGGGAAUGAUCUAUACACUAAAACUGCUUUAUUUAGCUAAAGUAAUUUAGGUGACUAUAGUGUUCCUUUAAAGCCUGGUAUGAAUUACUUUACGUAACAUUUUAAAUCCAAAAUUGUAGGGUUUCAAAAAAAUUAACUCUUAGUCUAUGUAAGUCCUAAAGGACAAACCACAUGUCUUUUAAGAGUUAAUUUAGACUACUGUAUGUUAUAUGGAAGUUUUUUUUUUUGCUUUAUAUCAAUUUUCUUUUUCUAUGCUCUAUUUUUAGCUUUAUCGUGUCAUCUAAAAAUAGUCACAUACUUUCUAGUUAAGGAAAGUCUUGAUGAGAUGUGGUCUUGUGACACCGCGCAGGACACGUAUUAAUUGUUCGCACAAAUUAAUGUGUCAAGUCAAUGUUCCAUGUUUCCUGAGAAAUCUCACUUUUAGCGAGUUAAGUUCUAAAUAACAGCAUCCAGUACAUAAUGAUUUAAUGCAUUACAAAAUUAAUUUGCAAUGCUGUAUCUUUAUAUUAUGAAGUAUAAUAAAUGAUUCACAGAACUGUAAUUACAUCAUACAAAAGUUUGUUUUUUGUUUUUUUUAAUAAAAAGUAAAUUGUAUAGAAUUUUGCAUAGCAAGAAAUGUUGGUUCAGCCGAACCAUUUUUUCAUAAAAUACUUUUUUUUCAGGAUGGCCAUAUUUUGCCUACAUGUCAGUUUGGUUAGGCAGAAUUUCGGUAACGAAAAACUGAAUCGAGAUCUGAAUCAGACGAAUAAAAAAAUAGUGUGAAAAUGGGCCCAUCAGCGCACUACAAAAUAUAUACAUAAUAUAAGUAUUGUGUAUAUUUUAUUCAGUACAUUUGAGAAAAAGUAACAAACAGAGAAAAAUAGAAGGAGCAGUAAAUAAAAAAAUCUGUUAUUUGUGUAUUUAUAUAUUAUAUAGUUAGUAAAUAUAAUAUAUAGAUAGAAAUUUGUUGGGUUUUUUUUGCUUCUCAUUUUACCCCUUAAUUGGUUAUUUCUUAUUUGAUCGGUGAAUUAAAUCAACAUUUACUGAUUGCCCCUAGCCAUCAAUUAUCCUUUUUUAAAUCAAUCAUCUAUUUUAUUGGUGCCUCAGGUGGAAAUUAGAAUUAUGACUCAAAAUUAACAUGCUUAGCCAUUACAUCUUUUGGCUGGUUUGGAAUUCCGUAAUAUUUUUGCUCGGAGUUCGGGAAUUCCACUGAUCACCCAAUUGGCCAAAAUUCAGAUUAACUGCAGUUCAGAACAAAACAACAAAACGAAUCUCCAAGUCUAUAGAUAAGUAAAAAUAUAGGUAAAAUAGCCAAACUGGAAAUAAAGAUGAAAUGCUGCAUUUUCCCAAUAUGAGCUUUCGCUCCACUAAAAUUCACUGUAUAGUAAAUAAAACUGAGAACAAAAAAUGCAGUUUCCAUACCUAAUGGUCCUUUUAGGUAAAUAACGUGUUUCUUGUUUCUAUAAAAAGAACAUAAAAAGAUGGAGCAGGAAAAAAAUAAAGAUUAGUUGAGGUUACACAAUCCUACAGUAUUUAAAGUAGUUGUAGCACCAUAACUGCUUUAUCUUAUUGCAGUGGUUAUGGUGCAAAUACCCUGUCCUUGCAACCAUUAUUUAAAAAAAAAAAAUAAAAAUAAAAAAUAAAAAAUAUAUAUAUAUAUAUAUAUAUAUAUAUAUAUAUAUAAUGUCUUCUGCCUCCCUGGGUUGCCAUUUGUUUAGUUGGAACACCCUUGUUGGCUAUCAAUAUCAAUUUUGUGCGACAUUGCAAAUGAUUUUGCAAACAUACUAUCUUAUGGCUCCUCAGACAGGGUGCCCACGACUCUGUGAGUUACAUUGAUGAAGGAACAGAAGAAAAUCGGAAAUGGCAGCCUUCUCAGUAAAAUAAAAUAAAAUAUGAGUUCGUAGAGAGAGUAGUGAACUGACAUUACCUUCAAAUAUGUUUUGCUAUACUGUAGUGUUUAAAAAAAGCACCAUGUCAUAUCAUCAGACACAUACAAAAAUUCUAGACAGUCCAGAAAGGGUUUUUCUGUACUAAUUCAAUGUUUUUUCUUUUGUUUUUUUUUGUGUUUUUUUUUUUUUUUAAUUCCCCAAGCAUAUGAGUUUAAAUUUUCAAAAAGUUUCAGAUGCAGUCGUCUACAGAUGCGUGCUUGAUGUGUUCAUGCACUCGUAUGUCCAUAAAGCCUCACACAGUAAAAGAAACAGUAAAAGAAGACUUCUUGCACCAACAUUUAAAUCCUCUGCUGAGUGACUGUCAAAUAUAAUUUGCCAUUUCCCGCGUAGGGGGGUUUGAUUGCAUUCGAUUUUGACACGACAAUAUAUAGAGUGUAUGUUUUAACUUAGAGUUGCCAUUAACGCAGCCUUUCUGUUACACUGACAAAAUACAUAGCAGAAUAAAAUGUGUCUUUAUGUAAAACUACAGCAAGAUAAUUAUUUAUGUCUUCUUUAAUAUGUCUGUGAUUUGAUUAAAAUAAUUUUUUAGCAAAUGUUCUUGACAAAUCUUUUCUCAUCAUACAUUUUAAAACAAAAUUAGUUGCAAAACUGUACCAAAUAUUUCCAGUUCAUUCACAUGACAUGUUCUUAAAACAAGUCUGAAAUUCUCUGAGUUUUAUUAACUUUGAUGAAGCGCUCGCACGUCUUUCAUCAUUUCCCACAAUCAUUAUUGGUGUUAUCUAUGAUAAAUAGUUGAUCUGAAUAAAUUUGCCUUCCAGCAGCUUUGAAUUAAGAAUUGCACAGCACGUUUUGCUUGAUGAAAAUGAUAUAAUCGAAGAGAUCCUUGAAUUGCUAAUGUGGACCAUGAAACCCGUCAAUGAAACAUAUUGACUUUACGAAGUGUGACAAUUUUACAAUGUUAACUUGUUUUUUUUCCUCUUUCAUUGAAAUAGUUGCUUAUAUUUUUGCUUACACUUUUCAAACAAAUUUAAACAUUUUGCAUAUUUGUGAAAGGAAUGUUUCCAGGCUUAAAGGAUCACUAGAGGGUCAGGACCACGAAUAUGUGUUCCUGACCCCUUAGUGCUAAACCCACCAUUUAGAUGGUUUGCCCCCCCCUUAGCCCCUCCAUAAAAGUUUAAAACUCACCUUAUUUCCAGUGCCGUGUGGGUCUGCGAGUGCAGGCUCCGCCCCCUUUGUGACAUCAUCAAAAUGGACGAUUUUUAGCCAAUCCAAUGCUUACACUAUUGGCUAAAAUCGUCAUGGGGCGGGGCCAAAGCCAUUUUGGCCAAUCAGGACCUCCUCAUAGAGAUGCAUUGAAUCAAUGCAUCUCUAUGGGGAAAAUUCAGCGUCCCCAUGCAGAGCGUGGGGACGCUGAAUGGCAGGGCUGCUUACUGUGCAAAUCUGAGCCAGGAAGCCCCUCCAUUGGCCACCUAAGGAGUGGCCACUUGGAGGUGUCCCUAGGGGCAAUGUAAACACCCUGACAUGAAAAUGCCUGAAGGGAGCUAUUAUACUCACCAGAACAACCACAUUAAGCUGUAGUAUUUCUGGUAACUAUAGUGUCCCUUUGAUGACAUAAAACACAAAACACACAUCUUUGCAAUGUCUUAAAAUGUCCUAAUAAUAUUUAAUACAAUGCUUCCCUAAUUCUAAUUGUAUUCCUAAUGCUAUUGUGUUAAAUUAAAAUAGGUCAAAAUGUUAUCUAAACCCUUUUCCUAUGCAACAAAGCCAUGUUUACAGGCUUCUUAUAUGGCAAGGAAAGAAAAUAGAAACUAUAGUGCAAUAAUAUUAAAAUAGAAGGGGGAAUAUUGUGCCCCCUCCAUUGCUCACCUCUAUAUGGGGUGGUGGGAAGAGACCCAUGUGUUUGGAGGUGGAUUUGGCUUGGAGUUAGGUUCUUGUAUUUUGUUUUGCAUAAGCAUUAUGUUGAUGAUCUGUUGCUCAUUUGGAAAGGGAAUGAAAAUUUCAAUUUGUUUACAUUGAUGAACGAGAAUGAUCUAAAUUUGAGGUUCGCAAUGAUCUACAGCUCAGACAAAACAGCCUAUCUCAAUUUGUUUCAGGUAUAGGGCCACAAUGUAGCCUAUUACUGGUAAAUAUUUCUCUAUGCAACAUCUACUCACCCAAAACAUCAUAUCAGGUCUAAACCUGUUGGUCAGUUCCUCAGGUUGCAAAAGAAUUGUUCUGAUCUAAUUAAAUUUCUAUUGCAACUGCUGUGCAAAUACCUUUUAUUGUAACCAAACAAGAAAAAAGAAAGCCGUCUACAGGCAAUGGCUGUCUACAAAAUAGACUAGACCACUUAGCCUGUAGAUGGUCACACCUUCUAAGACACUCCAGUUGUGUCUUGGGGCAUAACCCCUGAUUAGGAAAACUAUAAGAUACUGAAAAUAACUAGUACCUGAGUAUCCACUGGAAUAAUGAAUAGUAAUGAUUAUAUACAAAGUGAGAUAUAGAGAUAUAUAUAAAAUGAGAAAAUACAAUAAUAGAAAAAUGGGUCAGGUGAAAGUAGAAAAUAACUGCCUAAUGGCAAAAAGCUCCCUUCCUAAUAUCUCUAAAAGUAGAUACUGCAGUACACAGGUUUAGACUUUAAUAUAUAAUGCUUCAUAGGUCAAUAUCUGUGACUGCAGGCUGGUAUCAAUACAUCCAAAGAAUAUAUAAGAGACAUUAAGGACUUGCUUUUACCUAGUAAAUCUCAAGCUGUGGCAUUAUAUAAGAUAUAAUACUAGAUUGCUAGCAUAUUGGAACAUUAGAGGCUGAGUAAGCAGAAAAGUAUAAAUAGAUACUAUAUGUGGGAUCUAUUGAAAAUAAUUCAAUCAGUAAAUUGUAUCAAAAAAGUAUCUAUAAUGUUAACUGCCAUGUACUCAAUUGCUAGCAUAUUGGAACAUAAGUAACUGAAUAAGCAGAAGAGUAUAAAUAGAUACUAUAUAUUGGAUAUAAAAUAAUCCAAAAAAUAAAAUGUAUUAAGAGUAGCAUCUAUCAUAAUAACUGCCACAUAUAAACUAAGUCCAAAAUUAUUGAAUAGACAAAAUAUAUCCACAAAUGGAUCUGUUAUAUAAUAUGCCACAUAUUAGGAGGUAUAAAGCAUAAGAGAGAGAAACUGAAUAGUGAAAAAACAGUGUGCUAAAUGUGCAGAGCCAUGCUUAGAAUGCUGGCUGCCUGCACAUGGUGACAGAGUGCCCCCCCCCCUCCAAAAUAACCCGACCCGCGUUUCGGUGCUCUUGUGAUGCACCUUCGUCAGGGAAUUUUUAUUAUUGUAUUUUCUCAUUAUAUAUAUCUCUAUAUCUCACUUUGUAUAUAAUCAUUACUUACUAUUCAUUAUUCCAGUGGAUACUCAGGUACUAGCUAUUUUGAGUAUCUUAUAGUUUACCUUUUAUUGUAGUUUUUUUUACCCUGCCUGGCUUGUGAUCCUGUCUACCACUGCAGUGGACGAUGGGAGUAGCUGAUAAGGCACUCUGUUUUCUCUACACUGAUAGAGGAUAAUUUCAGAUUCAAUGUAUGGGUGAGUGGGUGGUCAAUUGCCCAUUGACUUUAUCCUUCCGGUUUUUAUAAACCUUCUAUUUUAACAUUACCGUUGAUUACAAUUUUUCAGAAUACAAAAUAGCAAAAGGACAAAAAUUACAAUCAGACAUUGUAAUAUUCUCUCACUUCCUAGUUUUUCCAAUCCAGAUAUAUAAUCUAAUUUUGGGAAUUCAGAAAGGAUAUGGCUGAUAUUGUGUAGACCAGAGGUGCCCAAAAGGUAGAUCCCCAUAUGUUUUAGUACUACAACUCCCACGAUGCUUUGCAUGCCUUUAGAAUGACAAAGCUUUAUGGGAGCUGUAGUUUUAAAAUAGCUGGGGAUCUACCUUCUGGGCACCCCCGGUGUAGACAUUGCUUCUGCUUUGGCUGCCCUAAUUACCUUACUGAAUAUUUUUCAUUACUGAAAUUCAGCCGAGACAAACAGGGGCAUGAACUAAUUUUUGCUGACCCGAAGAAAAAAUAAAAUGUAUGCCAAAGUGGUUCGAAAGAACCCACAUUUUCCAUACUGCACAAUUCUAAUUAUAAAUAAAAUCUCUCCUAUUAUUUAUUAUGUCACUAAAGGACACCAAGAGUUUGCAUACCGGUUAUAUAUGCUCAUUGUUUCCAAUGUAUGCAGUCGUAAGGAAUUGUAUUAUUUAUAUUCAUUUAUUAUUUGUCACUUUACAGGAAAAGAGACAUUAUUUAAAAAAAAUGCAUAAUGUGCACUUGUUAGAGCAUAAAAAAGUAACUAACAUAAAAAAUAAGUAGUAAAGUAGUUUAAUUCAUGCUCAUGUACAUAUUAAUUUCUCAUCAAAUCCCUAUGUAUUUUAUGUAUCACCUCCACAGCAUCACAGAAUAUCUUGAUGUUUUUAUUAAUAUAAUAAUAAUAAUAGUUUUAAAUAUUUCAAGGGAAAGGAUUAAAUGGUUUUGCCAGCAAAUGAUUUAAAAAAAUAUUCAAUCAUGCUUCUGUGCCAGUGCAUUUACAACAUGAGCAGCCAAACUAUGUCCAAUUACUUUUUAUAUCAUACCAGAAACUUGCCAAAAUUUCAUUAUAUUUAAACGGGGCACUAUAGUGUCAGGAACACAAAUAUGUAUGCCUGACAACGUACUUCUUCUAUCACUAUUUAGGUCCUCAGCCUGCCUUUUAGGAAAGUAGAAGGGUUAAAACUCACCUUUUUCAGUUGCCGCGCAAGGCUUCUCGCAAUUGACCCGCCCACAAUCCACCUCCUUGGCCGACAUCUUCAGAAUUGACAAUCUCAGCCAAUCACAAUGCAUUCCCUUAGGAAAGCAUUGUAUUGGCUGAGAUCGUAAUUUCUGAUGAUCUCAGCCAAGGAGGGGGGCCGUGCUUAAUGCUGCCCUAGCUAUUCAGUAUCUCCUCAUAAAAAUGCAAUGAAUCAAUGCAUUUCUAUGGGGAAAGUUCAGCAUCUCCAUGCAGAUCUGGAAACACUAUUUAAUGAUUAGUCCCCAUAACAGGAGGCUCUCUGCUAUAUUAAAGGUUUAACAAGUGUAUAUUCUGCUAUAAAACACUCAAACUGACCUCAGUGUUUUCUCUUCACUGUUUAGCGGAAUGACAUUACUGGCAAGGAUUUUUCAUGUAUUUCUGCAAACAUCCCUUUGUUUUUUGUUUGUUUUCCUCAAAACUGCUACAGUGUUUCUGAUACUUCUGAUAAUAUUAUAUUGUUACAGACGUCUGCAGUCUGUCUGUUAACCUUGAAAUAUUAUUCACUGGGCACAUUAUUUUUUUAAUGUCAUUAUGUUGUGCAGCUGCUCCUCAGAGAUAACUCUUAUGCAAUAUAGAAAUAAAUAAAAAUAAUGUUGAAUUAGACUAAUAUGAAUCCCAGUCUGAGGUCACACAUUAAAUGUUUUUUCUCUUGAGUACAUUUGGUUUAUUUCUAGAAUGACAGUAUAUUUGUUUAAAGGACCACUAUAGUGCCAGGAAAACAUACUCGUUUUCCUAGCGCUAUAGUGCCCUGAUGGUGCCCCCACCCCAGGGCCCCCCCCCCCGCCGGGCUCUAGGGGAUGGAAGGGGUUAAACUUACCUCUUUCUCCAGCGGCGGGCGGGGGACUCUCCUCCUCCUCCCCUCCUCGGCUGCAUGCGCAUGCUUUCCUAUGGACGCUGGCGUCUUCUCACUGUGAAAAUCACAGUGAGAAGUGUGGCUGCGCCUCUAGCGGCUGUCAAUGAGACAGCCACUAGUGGCUGGAUUAACCCUAUUAUAAAACACCUAUUAUAAACAUAGCAGUUUCUCAUUAAGCUGAAGUGGUCUGGGUGCCUAUAGUGGUCCUUUAAUGGUUAUGUUUGUCCAUUUCUGUCUAUUUUUGGCAGGUAAAUUACGAGUAUUAAUCUAUUUUAGGCUAACAAAGGUUGCAAGCACAUUUCACAUACUAUGUGAAUAUAAAAAGAAAUUUGAUGUGCACUUUGUAAAUGACAAGAAGGGCUGAUGACAUUAAAAGGUCUGUCUUAUAAUGAUGUUUGACUAAGGCUAGCUUACACAUUAGCCAUUGAUGCUAUAUUUAUAGGGACCACUGCCCACAUACAGAAAAAAAAUGUGAACCCUUUGGAAUGAUAUGGAUUUCUGCACAAAUUGGUCAUAAAAUGUGAUCUGAUCAUCAUCUAAGUCACAACAAUAGACAAUCACAAUAGCUUGGUAUGCUCCUAAAAUUAGGUCCAAUAAGAUCCAGGAGUCAGUUCACUUAAAAAGGCUUUUCUAUGUUAAAAGAUACACAGCUAGUAUAUAUGGGGUGUAUAUCUUUAAAUCUGCUAAAAGCAGAAUCAAAUUGUUACACACCAAAUUGCUCUACUUAGAAUUUCAAGAUGUACACUGUGAUGAAAAAUGUAUAUAGGAGAACAGUGUAAGGAACUGUUUCCUAUAUGGUAAGAGACUUAUACAGUUAGAAGUGUAUAUGUUUUUAAAUCCGUAACUAAUAGAACAUGACAGGACCUACGUCAAUAUCACAUACUGUCAGGUCCUGACAUAGGUAUUGACAUAUUGACGUAGGUCCUGUCAUGUUCUAUUAGUUACGGAUUUAAAAACAUAUACACUUCUAACUGUAUAAGUCUCUUACCAUAUAGGAAACCGUUCCUUAUACUGUUCUCCUAUAUACAUUUUUCAUCACAGUGUACAUCUUGAAAUUCUAAGUAGAGCAAUUUGGUGUGUAACAAUUUGAUUCUGCUUUUAGCAGAUUUAAAGAUAUACACCCCAUAUAUAUUAGCUGUGUAUCUUUCCUAAUUAUUUCAAUAUAGAAAAGCCUUUUAAGUGAAUUGACUCCUGGAUCCCACUGCACCUAACUUUAGGAGCAUACCAAGCUAUUUUUAUUUUAAGGCGGAGCAUUUGGUGAAACUCCUGCCCAUAUCCAGUUUGAGACAUUUUGCUACAAGUCGGACUCCCUCAACUCUGGGUGUUGCAAUAGGCAUACCAGACCAUCCAAUAGACAAUCACAGUCUGCUUAAACUAAUAACACACAAAGAAUGAAUGUUGCCAUGUUUUUACUGAACACACCAUGUAAACAUUCACAGUGCAGGUGGAAAAAGUAUGUGAACCCCUAGACUAAUGACAUGUCCAAGAGCUAAUUGGAGUGAGAUGUCAGCCAACUGGAGUCCAAUCAAUGAGAUGAGAUUGGAGGUGUUGGUUACAGCUGCCCUGCCCUACAAAAAACACACACCAGUUCUGGGUUUGCUUUUCACAAGAAGCAUUGCCUGAUGUGAAUGAUGCCUCGCACAAAAGAGCUCUCAGAAGACCUACGAUUAAGAAUUGUUGACUUGCAUAAAGCUGGAAAGGGUUAUAAAAGUAUCUCCAAAAGCCUUGCUGUUCAUCAGUCCACGGUAAGACAAAUUGUCUAUAAAUGGAGAAAGUUCAGCACUGCUGCUACUCUCCCUCGGAGUGGCCGUCCUGUAAAGAUGACUGCAAGAGCACAGCGCAGACUGCUCGAUGAGGUGAAGAAGAAUCCUAGAAUGUCAGCUAAAGACUUACAAAAGUCACUGGCAAAUGCUAACAUCCCUGUUAGCGAAUCUACAAUACGUAAAACACUAAACAAAAAUGGAUUUCAUGGGAGGAUACAACAGAGGAAGCCACUGCUAUCCAAACAAAACAUUGCUGCACGUUUCCAGUUUGCACAAGAGCACCUGGAUGUUCCACAGCAGUACUGGCAAAAUAUUCUGUGGACAGAUGAAACCAAAGUUGAGUUGUUUGGAAGAAACACACAACAGUAUGUGUGGCGAAAAAAAGGCACAGCACACCAACAUCAAAACCUCAUCCCAACUGUGAAGUAUGGUGGUGGGGGCAUCAUGGUUUGGGGCUGAGGGCCUGGACGGAUGCUAUCAUCAAAGGAAAAAUGAAUUCCCAAGUUUAUCAAGACAUUUUGCAGGAGAACUUAAGGCCAUCUGUCUACCAGCUGAAGCUCAACAGAAGAUGGAUGUUGCAACAGGACAAUGACCCAAAGUAUAGAAGUAAAUCAACAACAGAAUGGCUUAAACAGAAGAAAAUACGCCUUCUGAAGUGGCCCAGUCAGAGUCCUGACCUCAACCCAAUUGAGAUGCUGUGGCAUGACCUCAAGAAAGCGAUUCACACCAGACAUCCCAAGAAUAUUGCUGAACUGAAACGGUUCUGUAAAGAGGAAUGGUCAAGAAUGACUCAUGACCGUUGUGCACUUCUGAUCUGCAACUACAGGAAACGUUUGGUUGAAGUUAUUGCUGCCAGAGGAGGUUCAACCAGUUAUUAAAUCCAAGGGUUCACAUACUUUUUCCACCUGCACUGUGAAUGUUUAUAUGGUGUGUUCAAUAAAAAUAUGGCAACAUUUCAUUCUUUGUGUGUUAUUAGUUUAAGCAGACUGUGAUUGUCUAUUGUUGUGACUUAGAUGAUGAUCAGAUCACAUUUUAUGACCAAUUUGUGCAGAAAUCCAUAUCAUUCCAAAGGGUUCACAUACUUUUUCUUGCAACUGUACAUACAUAAAUCUCUUUUUAGUAUAUAUCUAAAAACAGCUUGCAAAAGGCUAAAUCCUUUGCAAGCCCUGCCCUUCUAAUCCUGCCAAGACUUUCUGUGGCUGUCCAAUCACAGACUUUCCAGUGCAGCCCAAUUAGUACACUUUUCAAGGCAAAUGCUCUGGGCAAUUGCCUGCUUUUUGAGUUUAGCUCCACUGAGCUAACCAAACCAGGAAGUACUAAGAUGUGUUGUCUGAUUGACAGCCAGGGGAUGUAACAAGGUUAUUUUAAUCUGCCAAAGACCUGUCUCUAUUCUCUCUUUGUACUCGCACCUCUGAUGUUCAUCGCCAACACUUCUGUAGGGUUGCACAAUUUCUAUGGAACUCCCUUUCUUACUCUGUUAGACUCUCACCCAGUCUUUGUUCCUUCAAAAAUAAUUGAUAACUCACUUCUUCAGGUAAGCAUAUCAAUUAAACUGUUAAUUGCUCCAUCCCCGUACUUUGGUAAACCACCUUGCAUCCUCGCCUGCAACUGGCAAUGAAAAAAAAAAAAACUUGUCCUUCACUAAAACUAUUCAAGCAACCUACUUUUCCCAUAUUACCCUUAUCUCUUGUGCCACUUUAUCCCACUCCCUCUAGAGUCUAGGUUUGUUUGAGCAGGCCCUAACCCCCUUUGUUCCUGUAUGUCCAGCUUGUCUUGUUACAUAUUCUUGUCUGCUAGUCCACUCCUUGUGCAGCACUGUGAAAUGUGUUGGUGCUUUAUAAAUAAUAAUAAUACUAAUGUAUAAACGUGUCAAUUUCUAUAGAAAUUGCAAUUUUUGUAAAAUGGAAAAAAGAGAACACACUCUCCACACAUAUAGUAUUUCAGCAAGCUAAAGAGCUUUAUGUGUGUGGAAGGGUCUUUUAAUUACAACAUUGGCAUACAGUCCUGUACCAAGUCAUAGUGGGGCAUUUCAAUAAUAAAGAACAAAAAAAGUGUUAACAAAUGUUACCUCUUUAGAACUCCUAGUAAAUUAACAAUGAAAUAGUGAGCUGCUGGCAAAUCUCAAAACUGUGCAAAUUUAGUCACAACGUAGAACUAUUUUAGAAUAUUGCUCGAAUUCAUGUUGCGAAUGUUCUGUAAUAUAUCUUUUAACAGGCUAAACUGGAAAUUAGCCCUCCUGGACAUAAGUUAAAAAUUAUACAUGUAUACAAUUUUAAAAUUUCUCAGUAGGUGUAUGGUUCGAUGGUCGAUGACAGUCAUUCAUUGCACAGAGUACAGUGUAAUAGAUAGUUUUUGUAAAUAUAUUUUGGUAAGUUAAAUUAAAAUCUUGCUUUCAAAAAUAUUAAAUUGGCAAAUCAACAGCGUUAUAGUCUCAGAUCUUGACUACCGUAUUUUAAUUGACUAACAUUUGAUGAAAAACAUUCUAAUCAUAAUAAAAGACGACUUUUAUAGCUGGCCUUUCAUAACAUGACUCCUCGGUCUCUGACUCCUAUUCAUUUUCCUAUUUAAAAGGUUACUGUCAGUUACAAUUGAAUUAUUUAAAAUUUUCUACCUGACCUCUUCAUUUGAUGACGAAUGCCCAAGAAAUUAUAUGGAAAUGAUGAUCCAAAAGGUCACCAGAAAAAAAACAAAGAAACUAGCUCUAUACGCAGGAAAUUCUUAAUGAAUCUUUUUUAUUUUAACAUUAAUUUAAAUGUAAAGUACAUAGUUGACUUAAGAAAACAAUGAUGUCUUUUUCAAAAUUGAGGUAAGCAAUAAUGUAAUAAACUCAGUUAAUUUUAAAGUAUUAGAUGAAUACUCUUUUACUCUAUUGCAAUGAUGUCUAAUCUUGGCAAAGCUGGCAUUUGUGAAAAUACCUUAUAAAAUAAGGGAACUGUCACUUCUCCGGCAGUUAUAUCAUUAAAUAAAACAUUUUAAAUCACCUAUAAGUUAUGUUAAAGUGGCACUGUCACUUUUGCAGGUUUUGCUUUUCAGUAGCGUUCGUGGAAAAAUUAUAUCUAUAGUUACAUAGGCUGAAAAGAGACAUGGACCAAUCAAGUUCAGCCUUUCUCACAUCCAUUUUUUUUAUGUUGAUCCAAAAGAAAGGAAAAAAAGCCCAGUUUAUAGCACUUCAAAUUUUGCAACAAACCAGGAAAAAACAUAUUUCUUGACCCCAGAAUGGCAGUCAGAUUUAUCCUUGGAUCAAGAAGCUAUUACCCCACAAUUUAAAAAGUAUAUCUUUGAAUAUUAUGUUUUUGAAAUUAUGCAUCCAGUUGCUGUUUUAAACAUCUCUGAUAAAACCACUUCUUCAGGCAGAUAAUUCCACAUUCCACCUUAUUGUUCUUACUGUAAAAAAGCAUUUUAUUUGCCUUAGACUAAAUCUCCUUUCUUCCAGUCUAAACGCGUGACCUCAUAUUCAAUAUAUAGUGCAGUUUGUGAAUAGAUUUCCAGACAAUGGUUUGUAUUGGCCCCGGAUAUGUUUGUAUAAUGCUAACAUACCUCCUCAGAGGAGCCAUUUUUCUAAACUAAAGAGGUUUAAAUUUGUUAACCUUUCUUUAUAACUAAAAUGUUCCAUUUUGUAGCCCACCUCUGCACUUUUUCUAGUGCCCUAAUAUCCUUCUUUAGAACAGGUGCCUAUAAUUACACAUCAUAUUCAAUAUGUGGUCUUACUAGUGAUUUAUAAAGAGGCAAAAUUAUAUUCUGAGAAUGAAUGCCCAUUUUUAUACAUGACAAUACCUUACUGGCCUUAGCCACUGUUGAUUGGCAUUGCACAUUGUUGCCUAUUUUGUUGUCCAUAACAAUUCCCAAAACCUUCUCGAGUGUCGUUAUCUCUAAUUCACUACCACAUACAAAUUAAGAGACUACAUUAAAUCUCACACAAAUAAACAAAAAAUAUUGUCACCAUGAUUGUAUCACAAAUUAAAAAAAACUACAUAUACAAGCUUUUUUUUUUUUUUAAGGCAUGCAUUUUCUGUUAAUUGAAGUCAGGUUGUUUAAGGUAACCAAUUCACUCUAAAUAAGGCAAAGUCAUUUUCAGCUAAUGUACAUUUCCAGAUGUAGAACAUAAAGUCUUAUCUCUUCAGGUGCCCUCAACUUGUUUCCUGGGCAUCCAUUGCUUUAAAAAACAAUUUGUAACUGUGAUAAUGCAUGAUAGCUGACAGCAUUUUAAAUCCUCUAUUCUACUUACUCCAAGGGGUUGAAAAAUAUUCUUGGGGUUCAAAUGAGCCUUGGACAUUUUUCAAAGUCACCAUUUAAAGUGAAGCUUUCAUUUAAUGAGCUAUCUGCUGUAAGACAUUCUGUUUAUAACAAAGGGUCACUCCUUUUGCUUUUUUUUACCUAAAAUUGUCUUUUUUGGCAAGGAAUGUGUUUUGCUAGAAGUGCAGUCCAUUAAAAGAAAACUUCACAAUUUACCUCUUUUGAUCUCCUCUCUUGAUUCACUUACCAUGUAUUAAAUGUAUCUCCUAUUUUGCCACAUAGCCCUGAAAAAUCAGAUGUAUUUAUUCCUUUGUCGAUUUGUGGUUUCUCAUGAAUAUACGCAUGUGUGUUCAAGCAGGCUAUACACAGAUAUAUCUUGUAAAUCUUCUAUGUCACCAUAGACAUUGCAAAGCAUUGAAGAUCUGUAGGACUAACACAUUAACAAAAUAUCCCCCAAUCAGAGAAGAUUUAAGAACCCAGGGGACCCUAGGCAGGUUAUCAGUUUUGGACCGUCCUUCAUUCUUCAUAUAUUGAUGGUUAAUGGGGACAAGCAAAUUUAUGAUUACGGUGCCCCUGUCUACCACUGGGCCCCUGGUGUCUGCCUGGGGUAGACUUAUGCUAUAUACUGUUCUGCUCCCAAUAGAGACAGUCCAAAGCAGUAUUAACCAUCACUUUAAGAACCACAAAGGAAUUUAUUCAUUUUUUUAUCAAUAUUUUACCAUUGAGAUUUCUCUAGUUUUUAAGUAUGUACUGGACCCACAAACACCACGUUGUUACAAUAGGGAACACUAUAAUAUUACAAAAAAUAAUACAAUAUAUACAAUAUAUAUAUAUAUAUAUAUAUAUAUAUAUAUAUAUAUAUAUAUAUGUAUAUAUAUAUUUAUAUAUAUAUAUAUAUACAAACACACAACAUAUAUAUUAAACACACAACAGGUAAAUAUAAGUGUGACAAAACCCACCCUAGACUUCAUUUAUACUUUCCCUGCAUUCGGUAUAAUAAACUACCUAACACGACCACCCCCCUGGCUCAUUAAAUACAAAGAAACCGCGGAAUUAAGUGCUCUCUCUGUCUGGCUGCCAUUCGUAUAACGGCCAUCUUGUCGCACGAACGCAGGCAGCGGGACUUGGUCAUCGAGUGCCUGGAACUCUAAGACAGACACUUGACCGCCUGAACAUCGGUGAAAUCUUACAAAUGCCUGCUUCUUUCUGCAACAACUCAGGAGAGCGCUGUUCGGAAGGUUUGUUCGUAUGGACCAAAUGAACAAAUGCUACCAAUGAUCCAGAGGAACCGUAUACCUUUUUGUGCGUUUUGGAACUCCCGAAAUUGACCGACCGCUACCUCUAAAACUAUGGGACUACUUUGGGCAGGAGACUCAUGAGCGGUCGGUCAAAACUUUACCCCGGUAGCGAUUCGGCUGUGUUCGUGAGAUCUGAGCGCUAUUUGGACAACUUGGGCGCUGAGAUCCAGGCUAUCUGGGGAUGUAAUAUUUGUGGGGGUUCCUAUGUGUUUUUAUGUAUUUUCAUAUUUUUGGUAAUUAUUGCUUAGUCAUGGGGACACUGAAAUUUGGGGACAUUUUGUGGGUGUGUUUAUGGGAGUGUCCUGGGCAUGUUUUCUGUGUCUCUGUACUGUAUAAAAGUGGGCCAUUAAGACCUGAUUAAACAGAUUCGUUUUACCCCUUCAUCAAGUCUAGGCUGAUGUUUGGGGACUUAGGAGCUAUAAACACUAUUUUGCUUGGGACUUCAUAACGCAUAUACUCAGCUGGAGUAUAGAGGAUCCAUUACAAUAAGGAAUAACAUCUUGCUUAUAUAUGCAAGUGGGGAUAAAUGGAUAAAAAGAAAUGAAAUGAUCUCACUUUUUUCCCAUUCUAUGAAAAGAGGUAGGAAGGUAAUACUUAAAGGGACACUAUAGGCCACCCAGACCACUUUAGCUUAUUGAAGGGGUCUGGGUGCAUAUACCCAGACCCCUUAAUCCUGCACAAGUAAUUAUUUCAGUUUUUGAGAAACUGCAGUAAUUACAAUCCAGGGUUAACUCCACCUCUACUGUCUGUCUAGCAUGCGCAUUAGAUCUCCCCCCUCCACCCCCAGUUAACGUCUCCCGGUGAGAGGGGGAGUGGAGGCAGAGCCAGAGGCAGUGCUGCGGUGCUGGACUCAAAUAAGGAACAGAAGGGGUUCUUAAUCCCUUCUGCACCACGGGGAGUCAGGGGGGCACUAUAGGGAGCUAUGGUGCUAGGAAAACAACUUUGGAAUAAAAGGGAAUCAUGACAUGUCACACAUGUCAUGUGUCCUUAGGGGUUAAGGUGGGUCAGAAGCCUAAUACAUAUACACUAUCAUUUCAGAGCACUUUGCUAUGUGUUUUUUUCCACCAUUUAUUAACACUUCAAAGAUGAAUUGUUGGGAAUUCAAAGUGAAUUGUAAACUAUUUUCAAAUGUAUAGCAAAAGUAGCUGAACUGAUAGUAUGUGUGACUCACAGAAUUUUUAAAUUUGAAAUUCACUUUGAUGUGGCGGGGGAGAUUCGGACUGUCUGAAUGACUUGUAAUGUUUUGCCACAGUGUCUGCAUCUGUCAUCUCACAGACAGAUCUGUACAAACAAGCAUGCCUUGUCUUUACAGGUCUGUCUGUUGGACAUUUCUAAUGCUUCUCAAACCCAUUGACUUGAAAUGCCUACAACUUUGUUCCAUAGUUCAGAGAAUGUGCUUUUUGGUUUAUUCCUUGGGUCUGUCCUUGCAUUGGAAGGGGGUGGGGCAGUGGCUAUUCUUACUUUGAUUGGUUUUAUUUUUAUUGAUUUAUUAUCUAAGUCAAGAAAGAUACUGCUUCACUAGCUUAUUUUAAGGUCUUGUAGUAUUGCUUGAGGCUUUCACUGGGCCCCACUGUGGGGUCCUCAUCAUUGCUCUUACAGUAUAUCCUACACAUCCUUGGAACUUUUAUCUUUUUUGGAUACAUGCCUACACAUAUUACCGCUCAAUUUUAGUAUUUUGAGAAUUAUCCUCGUAACUUUAAUUUUCCACAGGAGAUGCUUGUCUUUAUCAAUGUUUCUGACAUUUCUCACCUAGUGAAUAACCCUCUGUACACAUAUGCAGGAUAUGUUGGGUUUUUUUAAGGUCAGAUUUUUUUUUUUUAAGGUUCUCCUGAUACCCUACAUGUAUAGCAACACAUUGCAUCUAAUUAAAAUAUUUUAGAAAAUUGGAAAAAAAAGGGUAAAACACAUUUUCAUACAUUUGCAUAUAAUAAUUUCUAUGCAUCUAGACAAAAAAAAAUAUUCACUAAUUAGUCCUGAUUGAUAAAAUGUUUCACAUAUCUAACAUUUUAAAACAUUUCUUUGGAGUUAUAGGACAAAUAUUGAAAGAAGUAAAUUAUAGUUUUAAAUCUAAAACUUUGCAAAAUUUGACCGAGACUUUAAUUUUAAUAGAAGACACAGAAUUAAAAACGUCUACACAAAAGUAUAUAUUUAUACAUACUUUUAUAGGGCUCUCAGCUACCAUGACAAGCUACAACCUUAUACAGAGGUAGCUCUUUUUCAUGGUUUCCAUCUUGUGCCUUCCUUAACACACAUCUUCAACUGCUCUUUCUCUUCUGGUGUUGUCCCUGCUGCCCUUAAACAUGCUACUAUAGUACCCAUCUAAAAAAAAAUCUUGACCCGUCCUCCCCUUCUAACUAUCGUCCAAUAUCCCUGCUCCCUUUUUCCUCAAAGCUUCUGGAAAGACUUGUCUUUACCCGUCUGACUUGCUGCCUUAAUUCCAAUUCUCUCCUUGACCCUCUUCAGUUUGGCUUCCUCUCUGAAUGCUGCAGCUAGACUGAUUUUCCUCUCCUGUCGCUCCUCUCACAACUCUCCCCUGUGUAUGUCCUUACAUUGGCUUCCUGUAUCCUAUAGGAGUCAAUUCAAGGUACUAAUCUACACCUAUAAAGCACUGCUCACACCCGAACAGCCAACUCACGCUUGCAGGACUUCUCUCGGGUGGCUCCUUUCCUAUGGAAUAGCCUGCCUUUGACCAUCAAGCUCUAGUCUCUAGUCCUCUAGUCUUCAAUCAUUUAAUCGUGCCUUAAAACCCAUCUCUUUAGAAAAGCUUAUGGCCUCCCAGAGUAACCUCUACCUCACGUACCUGUCUCUUGCUCUCUCCUAAAUGGCAGCACUCUGCUCUCUCCUCCAGCUCUGCUUUACUCCACCUUGUUUGAUUGCUCCCUCCUGUCCUGUUGGGUUUUAUGCCACACCUCCUAUAGACUGUAAGCUCGUUUGAGCAGGGCUCUCUUCAACCUAUUGUUCGUAUAAGUUUUUGUAAUUGUCUCCUUUAUUGUUAAAUCUCCCCCUUUGAUAAUAUUGUAAAGUGCUACGGAAUAUGCUGGCGCUAUAUAAAUACCAGUAAUAAUAAUAUAAAAUAGACCCAAGGUAUUCAAAAAGAGCAAUUUUACAUUUUCAUUUAACCUUUUCAUCACCAACUUCCGCCAAAUAAUUUUUUCAAACACAUAUUAUAUUUGUGGGGAAUAUCAUAGACCAUGUGUGCUCCACAACGAUACAGAUCAAGAAUUUGUAAUUUGUGUAGGGUCUGGCAAAUGGCUGCUGAUCUAUUAGCAAAUAAGAAAAUUGACUGCUGUACAAUGUACAACAGUUCUCACUAAUUGUAUUUAGAAUGGUGAUGUUAAGGGUACGAAACCUGUCAUGAUCAGGGGUGCCCAAAAGGUGGAUGCCUAGAUGUUGUGGAACUACAACUCCCAUGAUGCUUUGCAUGUCUUUGCAUGCCUUUAGAAGGACAAGACAUCAUGGACGUUGUAGUUUUAAAACAUCUGAGGAUCUACCUUUUUGGCACCCAUGACAUAGAUCAUUACUUUAAGGGACACUAUAGUCUUCCUGACAGCCACUAGAGGUGCAUCCAGCGUGCAGAAUGUCCAUAGGAAAGCAUUGAGAAAUGCUUUCCUAUGGACUGUUUGAAUGCCCGCGGCACGCCACUCGUCGGCGGGGGAGGAGCGGUCACAAGUGCCGAGGGAGCCCAGCUCUGGAAUAAGAUACGCUGCUGGAGGGGUUUUAACCCCUUUAGCGCCAUGGGAGAGGGACCCUGAGGGUGGGGGCACCCUUAGGGCACUAUAGUGUCAGGAAAAUCGCUUUGUUUUCCUGACACUAUAGUGAUCCUUUAACUAUACUAUCUCAAGACAUAUAGUGCAUUUCACUCUAAUUAAAGGAAUAAUUUUUAACAAAAAAGUAUUUGCUUACAUUUAAUUGAGUUCCAUUUUUAACGUUCACGCUAUAGAUUGCUGGCUGUGUUGCGUCAAGGCUUAGUAAGUUUAUCUAUAUUUAUACACACAUUCAUGUUCAUUAAAAAAUUGGUAGCAUAGCUACUUUAAUAUAAUUAUUCUCAACCAUUUAUCUUUGCUUUAAUCCUAUGGAGCAUCUCCAAUUAUAGCACAAUUAUUUGGCAUUUACCUCCAAAAUUAAAUUUAACAGAUACUUAUUGGAGAUUGAUGAGUUUCAUUUGAAACUAUAGGCUAGAUUCUAGAAACAUAUAAACAUGGCAUUUAUAUAUGAUAUAGUGUGUGAUUACAUGUACAAAGCUGCUGUGACUCAAAACCAAUCAUUUGAACUCUUGUAACAGUUCCUUAUUAACGUUUAAAAGCCCUUCAUUUUCUAUGUCACAUUCGGCCAGUUAACAAAUAGAUGGGAUUAAAGAAAUCUUUACACCCUGGGAUUUUGUACACAUCAACUCAAAUACUUUGCAGUUUUACUAGGAAUUUGUUUCAUGUAGCCUCCCUCAUUCAUAUAAAGUACUCCCACGCAAGUAUUUAAAAAAAAAUCGAAAUCCUUAUUUUUUAAAUUUUAUUUGACAUUACGUUUAUUUAUUCAUUCAUUUAGUUUGCAUGAAUAUAUUUCAUUAUGUGUUUGUAUCUAAGCUAUUUUUAUCGUUAGUUUGCCAAUUUUUCCUUAUCAAUUGAUUAUAUAUUUAUCAAUUUAAAGUCAGGAACAGUAAUUUAAAAGUGUUCACAAUAGCCGAAUUGGAAAAACUCUCCAAGUCAUCUGUUUUCAUUUCGGUUAAAUGGAACCUAUAGUCCCAAAAAGAACAAUAAUGUUUUCGAGACUGCAGGUUUCUUUCUAUCACUGUGACCCCAUUUGCAGAUAAACAUUAAAGUUAAAUAAAGAUUAUUCACCUCGUUUCCAGCCCUAAGACUCCCCCGCUGUAGGCGCCAAAACUGCUUCUGAAGACAUCAGCAUGCCUGCUGACAUACAGAGUAUUGGCGGAUGAGAUGUGCACGUGUGGGUAUGCACAAUGCUUCUCCAGUUAUAAGAAUCAUUUGAUUGCUGGACCAACUUUGACCAUGUCUUGUGCCUGAUCUGAAAGACAGUCACUAGAGGUGUAUUUAACCCUUCAAAUGUAAAUGUUUCUGCAGAAUGGAAAUGUUUUACAUUGAAGGGUUAAAAUGACAACACCACUGCACCCAGACCACUUUAAUGAGGUGGAGUGAUCUGGAUGACUUUAUAAUUUAUAUAAUUUGUCCUAAAUGUGAUAUUCAAUCUGAAUUCUUUGCAUUUGAUAUUUUGAACAACAAUGAAUAACUUUAGUAAGUGCUCAACUAAAGGAACACGAUGGGCACUCAGACCACUUAUUCUCAUUCUCUGAAACAUAUCAGACUGGUCUCACCCAUACGAGCAGUCCAGAUCCGAAAUGCCAGCAAGUUCCUUCUGUACGAGAGAUACAGCAACCCCAGACGAUCGUUUCAGUCUUGUUACGCAUCAUCAGUAAGGCAUAGCUGAUAUCUCUCUAGGCACCGUGAGCAAGGGGUCCACGUCUGGAUUACCCUUUAAACUUAUGGAGAGCAAAUUCAUAUUUUGAAUAACAAUGAAUAACUUUAGUAAGUGCUCAACUAAAGGAACACGAUGGGCACUCAGAUCACGUAUUCUCAUUGAAGUUGCCUGCAUGCAGUGUUCCUGUCCCCCUUAGCCUUGCAAUGUAGAGAAACUGCAAGACUAAGACUGCUAAGACUGCUUCUAGCGACUGCCUUCCAGACAACCACUAGAAAGGUUUCCUGCAGCCUCACAGGAGUUUGACUGUGUGAAUCAAUGCUGGACAUCCUCACGUUGUGCAUGAGAACAUCCAGAGCAAAAAACAGGGCGCAAGAGAAUACUGAGAACAAGCAGCAGCUGAAAUAGCCUGCCCUUCGGUGGGUCCCCGCUCAGUUUUCAAGCUUUUUUUAGCUUAUCUUGUGCCAUUACAGAGAGAACAUCUCUGAAACAUAUCAGACUGGUCCCACCCAUACGAGCAGUCCAGAUCCACAAGAACAUCCAGCAUCUACAAAUCCCUCGUAGGCCUUUCCUAUGGGGUAGGCCUAAUGCGCACACGGGGCUCGUCGUGCAUGCACCUUAGGUUCGCCCUCGGUGUUGACAUUGGAGAAGGUGAAGAUGGGUCCAGUGCAGAUGGACCUUGGCACUGGAAUAAGGGGAGUAAGAAAAGGUUUUUUAACCCUUUAACUGCUGGGGGGCAUGUGGGGGCACGAUAGUGUUAUGAAUACAGCUUUCUAUUUUUAAUUCUAUAGUAUUCCUUUAAUUGUUUGCAUCUUAUGCCAUUAUUAUUAUUAUUAUUAUUAUUAGCAUUUAUAUAGUGCCAGCAUACUCUGCUACAAUUACAGAAGGAAUAUUUCUCCUGGUUGUAAAACAGUGAUCUUACCACUGCUCUAACCAUCCUAUAUAUAUAGGUUAUAUCAGCGGUUCCAAACUGGGAGCCGCUAGUUAUUUUCCCGGUGCUAUGAUGAUAGCACCGGGAACUGUGCUCUCCUCUGCUGGCUCUGCAGGAUCGGCAAUGCUCUGAAUCUCACAAGAGUGAACUCUAGUAGCUCCUGAAAUAUUAAGGGCACCUUGAACCUAAAAAGUUUGGUAACCACUGGGUUAUAUAAUUAUAUAAUUUAAUGAAGCAUUUUAAAAAUAAUUUGUUUUAUAAUUCUUUAUUUUGGUUGUGUAGAUAUUAAGGUACAAGUUGAUCAAGAGACGAUAACAUAAGCAUGGUUAACAAUAAACUGCACUUUUUGUUAAGGUAAAAGAAAGACUAACAUGUGGAACAGUGUGGCAUGUGGAGCAAUCAAAAUAAAACAAUGUAAAACAAAAAAAACAUGCCACGGCUAGUAAGGACCCUACACCCACUUAGAAAAAACAAACAAAAAAACCCCAACCUUUUCAGACAGAGGGACAAAAGCAACACUUGUAAUGCUUGCAAACCUGCCCAAGGAGAGGCACCACUAUUCCCCACAUAGGGUUUAUCCAGACCCCAUCACCAGUAUUAAGACAGAGUCCCAAAAUGCAGAUUUAGGCCUGUUAGUAUGCUUGCAAGAACCCUGAGGGAAAUUGCCUUCUCCAGGGAUUGCUCUUAUAUGAACCAUACAGGCUUGCAGAUUGAGGGAGUCGUUCCAUGCGACUUGUCAGCAUGGCGGUCAAGCCCCGCCCCCUUAAUGAAGCACUUUUUAUGUACUGCCCAACUGCAUGGUGAAAUGAUUUGUAUUCAGAGAAAUGUCUUGGAUCUGGGAAUUCUAGUUUUUUAUUUGUUUAUUGGACAGUACUGAAAUGUCAGACUUGCCAUUCAAGAUUAAUUCUCAUAGAUGAUAUGAAAUAAUAAUUAAUACCGCCUAGCAGAAGUUUAUACUCUGUAGACUCACAUCCAAGGGCUGCCCUGUUCUUAUGGAAUUCUUUAUCACGUGCCAUCAGACUCUCCCUAGUCUUCAGUCCAUUAAGAAGUAACUAAAAACCCAUUUCUUUAAGAAAUCCUAACGUUGCUCUGGGUGGUACUUCUCUCAUUACAAUUUCCCACCACAGUUUCUUCACCUUCAUAGCUCAGCUCACUCUCUCUCCUUUUACUGUUCAGUUCUUCACAUUUACCAGCUUAUUUUGACACAGACAUCUUAACCAUCAGUCUCCCUUCCACUUUGGCAUGCUGUUAUUUCUCAUUUUCUACUUAACUCUGUCCUCAUAGAUUGUAAUCAUGUUUAAGCAGGGCCUUCUUCACCUUUUCCUUCUGUUAACAUGUUGUAUAUCAUCUGAUUCUUGUUAAAUAUCCCUAUUCUACACUUAUAAAGAAUUGUGCAAUAUGUUGGCGAUAUAUAAAUGUUAAUAAUAAUAUUAAUAAGCAAAACUGUUUGUUUGUAAGUUAAAUAGCUACUUAGCUGAAAAGAGACUUGCGUCCAUCAAGUUCAGCCUUCCUCACAUAUGUUCUUGUUGUUGAUCCAAAAGAAGGCAAAAAACCUAGUCUGAAGCGCUUCCAAUUUUGCAACAAACUAGGAAAAAAUUCCUUCUUGACCCCAAAAUAGCAAUUAGAUGUCUCCUUGGAUCAAGCAGCUAUUACCCCACUAAUUAGAAAUUAUAAGUAUUUAUCCAAUUGCAGUUUAAACAUCUGUAUAGACUUUGACAAAACCAUGUCUUCAGGCAGAGAAUUCCAUAUCCUUAUUGCUCUUACUGUAAAAAAAACCUUUUCUUUGCCUUAGAUGAAAUCUCAUUUCUUCCAGCCUAAAUGUGUGACAUUGUGUCCUAUGUAUAGCCCUGUUUAUGAAUAGAUUCUCAGAUAAAGGUUUGUACUGGCCCCGAAUAUAUUUGUAUAAUGUUAUCAUAUCCCCUCUCAGGCGCCGUUUUCCAAACUAAACAGAUUUAACAUUUUUAACCUUUCUUCGUAACUAAAAUGCUCCAUUCCAUUUAUCAAUUUUGUAGCUCGUCUCUGCACUUUUUCUAGUGCCAUGAUAUCUUUCUUUAGAACAGGUGCCCAAAAUUGCACAGCAUAUUCAAGGUGUGGUCUUACCAACGAUUUAUAAAGAGGCAAAAUUAUAUUUUCAUCCCGAGAAUUUAUGCCCCUAUUUAUACAUGACAAAACCGUACUGGCCUUAGCAACCGCAGAUUGACAUUGCAUAUUGCUGUUUAAUUUGUUGUCUAUAACAAUUCCCAAAUCCUUCUCGUGUGUGGUUAUCCCUAAUUCACUACCAUUUAGGGUGUAAAUUGCUUGUGCAUUCUUAACCCCGAAGUGCAUAACUUUGCAUUUCUCUACGUUAAAUUUCAUCUGCCAUUUUAGUGCCCAGUCCCCCAAUCUAUCCAAAUCCCUCUGCAGCAAAGCAAUAUCCUGCUCACAUUUUAUUACUUUACAAAGUUUUGUGUCAUCUGCAAACACUGAUACAUGGCUUUCAAUGCCUAUUUCAAGAUCAUUUAUAAAUAUGUUAAAUAAAAGAGGUCCCAAAACAGAACCCUGAGAGACACCACUUACCACUUUUGUCCAGCCUGAAAAUUUACCAUUAAUGACAACUCAUUGUACUCUAUUCUUAAGCCAAUGUUCUACCCAACAAUAAGAAUAUUCAUCUAGACCAAUUUCUUUUAGUUUGAAGGCUAACCUAUUGUGAGGAACCGUAUCAAAUGCCUUGGCAAAAUCUGCAGCAAUCAUUUGCAUAUCUCUUGCCAUAGGAUCCUCAUUAAUUUAUACUGAAGAAAAAUAGUUAUUUAAAAUUUCUGCUUUUUCCUGGUCUUCAUUAGCUAACAAACCAAUUUCUGUUUCCAGUGUACCUACACUUUUAUUUUUUGUUUUUUUAAAAUUGAUGUACUUGAAAAAAAAUUUGGGGUUGGUUUUGCUUUCUUUGGCUAUCAAUUUCUCAUUUUCUAGUUUAGCAACUUUAAUUGCCUUUUUGCAAGCAUUAUUUGCUUCAUUAUAUCUUACAUAGGAUGCCUCUGAUUUGUCAGAUUUAAAUGCUUUAAAUGCCCUUUUCUUAUUUUUAAUCUCUUGUUUUACUUCUCUACUAAGCCACAUUGGUUUUAAUGCGUUUAUUUUAUAUUUAUUACCCAAUGGUACACACUGAGAAAUAUAAUAUUUGUUUGAAUAGUUUCCAUUUAUCCUCGGUGUUUUUAUCACUAAGGAGUUUAUGCCAGUCGAUAUGUUGUAGAGCUUCCCUAAUCUUAUUGAAAUUGGCUUUUUUUAAAUUAUACAUUUUAGUAUAACCCACGUGCUUUUGCUUUUUUGAGUUUAUUUAAAAAAUUACCAUAUUGUGAUCACUAUUUCCCAAAUGCUCCCCUACUUGAAUGUUGGUUAAAAGAUCAACAUUGUUUGUUAUAAUGAGAUCCAGACAAGCAUCCUUUCUAGUUGGUGCUUGUACCAGUUGUGACAUAAAGGUGUAAUUUAACACAUUUAAAAACCUGAUUCCCCUUGCUGAAGUACUAGUCCCUCUAUCCCAAUUUAUGUGCGAGUAAUUAAAAUCUCCAAUAAUAAACAUGUUACCCCGAUUUGCAGCUUUCCCAAUUUGCUCUAACAGCUGUUCUUCCUCAUUAAUAUUUACAUUAGGUGGUUUAUAACAUAUCUCAACCAAUAACUGAUUUCCCUUUGUUUGCCCCAAGCAGAUAUCUACCCAUAAAGCUUCCACAUUUUCCUUGUCACACUCCACAUGCCUAAGAUUUGACUUUAACUCAUGGUUGACAUACAAACAUACCCCACCACCCUUCUUGCUUUUCCUAUCCUUCCUAAAUAACGUGUACCCAUUUAAAUUAACUGCCCAGUCAUGUGUCUCAUCCCACCAUGUUUCAGUUAUGCCUAUUAUAUCAUAUUGUUUAGUGUAUGCUAUUGCCUCUAGUUCCCCCAUUUUGUUAUAUAGGCUCCUUGCAUUAGUAAGUAUACAUUUAAUAUUAUCAUGAGUGAUUUGUACUUUUUGUGAAUUAUCAAUAUUACAUACCUCCUCUGUUCUGAGCUUUCCCCUCCUCCAUCUCCACCCCCUUUGUUCUGAGCUAAAGCCCAUCUCCUUUCUAUCCUAGCACCAUUUUCUAGAUUGCUUUGACGCUGCCCCCCACUACUAGUUUAAAAUCUCCUCCAACCUUCUAGCCAUCCUAUCCCCCAGCACAGCAGCCCUUCUUCCGUUUAGGUGCAAUCCAUCACGACUAUACAGGUUGUACCCAAGUGCAAAAUCGGCCCAGUGCUCUAAAAACCCAAAACCCUCUUUCUGAACCAAGACGUCAGCCACGCAUUGACCUCUCUAAUCUCCCGCUGCCUUUCUGCUGUAGCGCACGGCACAGGUAAUAUUUCUGAAAAUAUUACCUUGUAGGUCCUUUUCUUUAGCUUACUUCCUAGUUCCCUGAACUCAUUCUUUAGGACCUUCCAUUUUCCUCUGACUUUAUCAUUGGUACCAAUAUGGACCAUGACAGCUGGGUCAUCCCCAGCCCCUCCCAAUAAUCCCUCCACUCUGUUGGCAACAUGCCGGACCCAAGCAUGUUGAGUCGAUCAGAGUGGCAGAUUAUCCUAUCUACUCUCUUAAUAAUAGAGUCCCCUACCACCACAACCUGUCUAGCCUUCCUUACCCUCUCAACCCCACCCGUACUAGAGGGGCUGUUCCCACGGCUGUUAGAAGGAACAGCUUCCUGCAGUACAGCUACUCCUGAGCUGAUGCUCCCAACAUCUUCACUCAAACAGGCAAAUCUGUUAGGCUGCACAAGACCAGGACUAGCUAAACCUUUUCUCUUCCCUCCCACUCUGCUUCCUCAUCCCACUGUUACCCAUCUAUGUGCCUGUUCUCCAACUGUCUCAUCUCCUCCCACUCCACUACCUGCACCCACUAAACUCUGCUCAGUGAGCAGCAGACUCCUCUCAAGAUUGUCAAUCUCCCUCAGUGUUGCAAUUUGCCUCUCCAGAUCUCCAAUCUGAGCUUCCAGAAAAGCCACUCGCUCACACCCACCACAGAGGUAUGGUCCCUGGACAGAGUCAUCCAGGCAUGCAUACAUGCAGCACGAUGUACACUGAGUAAAAUUUGCAAUCUUGCUAGCACUCAUCCCCAGUUACAAAAAACAAGUCAGCAAAAACAAUAUUUACCCUCUUGGUUUCAACUCCCUUCUAGUUUCAACUCCUGUUGUUUUAACUCCUACUUAAAAGAGACUACUUGAAAUAGCCUACUUUCAAGCAAACUCCAGUGAGCAAGCUCUGUGAUUCAGUAGUGGGUUUAUAUUGUCAAUACAAAUCCCACACAGGUGGAAAUUAAGGGGCACUCCCCCUAAUUAGCUCAGCAGCAGCACCCACAAGGAGGGGAAUAUAAACAACAAGAGAGGGGAAAAAAAUUAAAAAAGGAGGGAAAACGUUUUAAAUAACACCAGCAAGGAGAAAAUAUAGAAGAAAAAAAAAUAGGGACAAAGUUUAAAUAAAUCCAGCAAAGAAAAAAAUAUAUAUAAUAAAAGGGGAAAAAAGUAAAAAAAAAUUAAAAUAAAUCAAAACAGCAAGGACAAAAAUAAAUUAAAAAGGGUCAAAGUAAAAAAAAAGUGUUUAUAUAUGCUGUGCUUUUUAGACAUGUGCACCAGUGAAAUUUUCGUUUCGAAAUAGAAAUUAAACCAUUCGCAAACCAUAAAACAUAAAAAUUUUGUCCUUUAGGUAAGGAAUCAUUGACUACAGCCUGUUGAAUUAUUUGAAAAAUAAUGCACACCCGAGGUGGUAUUGCGGGCACGAUGCAAAGCAGAGUGGCCAUUACACCUCGGGUGUGCAUUAUUUUUUUCGAAUAAUUCAAUGGCCUGGAGUCAAUUAUUCAGCUUAUACUACAGUUACCACACCUCGAAAGAUUGUUCAGAUGAUGUAUUUCAAGACGUUUCAAGUUUUUGUCAUUAAAACGCUCUUGUAUGUAGGACUCAUUUCUUACUGUAAUGCAGUCAAGACCUGUCUAGAACUACUUUAGCCGUGCGUCUCCCUGAAAAUAAUGCACACCUUAGAACGUUCGUCAACGAAUCAGAUUAAAGCAUUCAACGGCCCUGUAGAAUAAGAUGAAAAUAACCUAAAGUCCUCCCCAGGUCCACACCCAUGAGCCACGGAUGUGGACGCUAAUUAAUUAAAGGGGGGACCUAAGUUCCCCCACUGGCUCCCACCCAUUAACGGCCAGUUACCCCCUGGUACCCACCCAUAUGCGACUGGUGGGGACCACAAAUAAUAAAGUGACUAGGGUUCCCCAAACCCCUAUUACUUCCCCCCCCCAAUAAAAACUCCUAAUAAUAGUGAAGGGGGGCAAUAGACUACCCUGUAAAAUAAAAUUUCAUACUUACCAUUAGAUGUCUUGUUUUCUUUUCUUUCUUCAGUCCCAAAAAAGGCCAAAUAAAUAUCCUUAAUACCCGUCGCAACUGUUAAAAAAAAAAAAAAAACCAGAGCGCCCAAAAAAUAAAUAUGCAGAAAAAAAAAAAUCCUGAUGCUAAGAAAAGAAUUCUUCUUCACUCAGCGAGGAUCGGUGCAGAAUGUUCUCCGCGGGGGGUGGAAAGGCUUAUAAAUUCCCACGUCCUGCAAUUUGACUUAAGCCAACCAAUCAAAGUGCUCUGACAGGUAAAUGAAGAGACUGACAGGUCUCUACAUUUACCUGUCACAGCACUCUCAUUGGUUGGCUUAGAAUCCAACCAAUUAGAACGCUCUGAGUCAUUUUACACAGAGUGGGAAAGUUCUUUGGAAUUUAUUUUAUUUAGACUCCCCACCUGCUGCUCAUGGGUGGGGACCAGGGGGGACAUUAGGUCUCCCUUUAAUUAAUUAGGAUCCCCACCCACUGCUCAUGGUGGGGACCUGGGGGGGGACAUUAGGUCCCCUCUAUUAUUUAUUUAUUUAGGGUCCCCACCCGCCGCUCAUGGGUGGGGACCAGGGGGGACAUUAGGUCCCCCUUUUUAAUUAAUUAGGGUCCCCACCCGCAGCUCAUGUGUGGGGACCUGGGAGUGACAUUAGUUCCCCCCCAUUAUUUAUUUAAUUAAGGUCCCCACCUGCCGCUUAUGGGUGGGGACCUGGGGGGACACUAGGUCCCUGCAUUUAUAUUAAUAGCCCACACCCGCUGGUCACAGGUGUGGGUGCGGGGGGGCACUAUGUCCCCCCCAUUUUAUUUAUUUGGGUUCCCCACCUGUACUAGGUCCCUCCUUAUUGCACUAGUGACCAGGCAUUAGUAGCUGCCUAGUCACUAGUAGUUUUAAAUUUGUUUAGACGACAUGCCCCUACUCGCGGCAUGCCGCAAAUAGGGGCAUGCAGGAAGAAUUAACCUCCCUUUUAUCAACAUGGGGGUCAUUUAACCUCCACAAAAUGAAACGAAAAGAUAAUGCAUUCAGCAUUUGCCCUUUCGUUUAUAUUUAGUAUGUAGUGCUUUUGUUUACUUUUUAGUAAACGAAUACGAAAAAAAAGAGUUUUUGGGCAAAAUCGUAUUUAUACGAAAACGAAUGCAUGUCUAGUGCUUUUGUCAAUGGACUACCAACCCCUAUAUUAGUGAAGAGUUCUGCUUAAUGUAGCUUACCCUCAGAUAGAGCGUCGCCCAUUAGCUAGUCAUCUUUUGUACUUCAAUGUACAGACAUUACAAUUUAUAUAUUUAUAAUUAUUUAUAUAAUAAAACAUGUUUCAUAUAGAAUGUUGAUAUGUUUGCACUAUAUAUUCUCUAUGACACAGAGAGAAUUGCCUCCACACUUUACCAUCAAUCCCUCUGACCUUUUUUUCCUCUCUGUUUCAGUUUUUCCGCAUGCAAGGUCAGCUUGUCUCUUAUAUUUGUCUCCAUUUCUGCAGAGGCACAUUUGGUGGGCAUGGCAACUGGAAUAUUACCUCUUUUAAUCCAAUUAAGUUCAGGCCCUCAUAAUAGAGAGUUUAUUGUAAUGUCCUCAUGGUCAACACGAGACCCAUUUCUAUGUUGUUUUGCAACGUUUGGAUGUGGACUCUGGCUGUUAAAAGACAAGGAAAAUUAUAUCUUUAGAUUUUGUGUCAGACAUAAAUUUCUCAUGGUGGACAAUUUUUAUGAAAUCACGGAGAGUGCCCAAAAGGCUAAGUGCAGUAAUAAAGGUGAUCGACCAAAGGAGAAAUUGUGUUAACUCGCUAGUUUUGCAAAACAUCUCAUAAAAACAAAAAUUGGUUAUUAUUGCAAAUAUAACUCAUGUGUCACACAUAUUAAUCAUGUUACGUCUGAUGUAGAAUAUUGUAUACAGAAACCCUUUGCUCCAUGAUUUUGUUAUUAAAGCAAGUGUUCAAGAUUGAGUGACUUUAAAAAAAUAAAUAAAAUAAAAGGUAUUCAAUUUUCAAGAUACAGAAAAGUGAAACAAGGACCACAACACAGAACAAGAUGUUUGGCAGUAAUAAAAAAUAAGAAAAAUAAAAUGUUAGUAAGCUCGUAAUAGAAUCAUAUAUAAAAAAAAAAACUAAUCUUGAAGGGAAAGAACAGUAAGAAAAAUGAUAAGAAAUAAAAGAAGGGAAUGAUAGGAAUAAAGACAGAGAGGGUUAAUUAUGUGAGAGAACUCCAAAAAUAAAUCUGUAUCAUAAUGUAGUAUAUCAUAUACAUGGAAAUAAGGUAUUAAUGUGCUUGGAGAAACACUGCAUUGUCUAUCUAUCCCUGCUAAUAUACAGGUAUGUCCCAUUUAGUCUCAGAAGACGUGUGUCUAUCCUUUGUUCAUACCCCUGACUCUCACCUUCAAGAAUUCUCUAGACCUGCACCAUUCCUAUAGAUUUCCCUUCUCGAUUAGAUUUUCACCAAGUAUCCAUUACUUUAAAAAAUCACAGAAAAUGCAAUUCUUCCAAAUAGCAUAUUUACAAAACUCUUAAUAAUAAUUAACUCGGUUUUCAAAGCCCCUAGUCACCACCACACACAAAAAUAAAGCAAUCCUAAUGACUCCCCUUACUCUAAUAAUAGUGAGGCAAUAAAACUAUAACCUACAAAAAAUAAAAUCAUAUUUACUGUCUAAAGUCUUCUUUCUUUUUAAGAUCAUCGUUUCUUUAACCCCCAAAAAGUCCAAAUUAAAAUCCAUAAUAAUACAACAGAAUCAUUGAAAAUAAAUUUUUUUUUUGAAAAAUCCAAUAAAAAAAGUUAAAAACCCAAUGCAGCAAAAAAUAAAUCAAGCCUCUUCCUGCAAGGGAUUGGAGCAGAAUGAGUUUUUAGGUGCGAAAAGCCAUUAAAAAUAUUUCCCCUCACUUUGAAUUCUCAUUAGAGCGCUCUGAUUGAUUGGAUUUUCCCAUGGUACUUAAGAAACGCGAGACUUUGCUUUCAGAGCAUUCUGAUGGGCUGGCUUACAAUUCAACCAAUCAGAGCGCUCUAAUGAGAAUACAAAUUGUGGGAAGCCUUUAUAAAGCCUUUUUCCACCUUGAAGCUCAUUCUGCACAGAGCCCUUUUGGGAUGAAGAUGAUGAUAAGUGUUUUUUCUCGCACAUAUCAUAUAUAAAAGUGUAAGGUAUACACUGGUAUUUUUUUAAAUAUCUUUUGAUGCUUCUAGUUUGUAAUAACUUUGUUUACUUAUUGGCAAUUAAUUUAUAUAUAGAAUUGCCGUACUGUUAAAAACCACAAUAAAUCAAAUAAUAGUUUUCAUGAACCAAUGGGAAAGUAAUAAAGAGAGGCACAACUCACAUUUUUCUCCAUGGGAUCCAUUACAGAUGUGCAAAGACCAAGAAACAAGAGGGUGCGUAGCUAGAUCAUAGCACCAAUCCUCCCAACUAUUCAAGAAAGACAAUACUCAUUUACUGUACUAACAAAUAAAUACAUUCCAAUUUAGGAAUACUGAUACAGGAGGAAAUACAAUAACUGAAUAUAAUGUAAGUAUUGUAUUCUAAAUGUAAGUAUUGUAUUCUUUUUUUAGAUACUUUAUUUAAAAUCAAGUACAAUUAGGCUUUUUCAAAACAAAUACAGAACAUACGGAAAUAGUGUACCCAGCAGUGGACCCAAUAUAUAGUGAAAGGUCAAAUAACAAAAGAGCCUGUGUACAGGUUAUGUACCUUUUAUAAACACGAGGCACAGUAUAACCAGAAGAAAAACAAAUACAAAUAAAUAAAUAUGGGACCAAGAUGGCUUUAAAAAUGAUAAUGAGAUUAACGGGACAUUCCACUGCACAAACAUAAAACAAAACACAGUUUAGUAGAUAUACCCCAAAUAGAAACAUGCAUGCAUUUAAUUAUGCGUUUCUUUUUUCAUUAGGAGUAUUUAAAAACAGCUUUAAAAAGAUGCAGGUCUCCACUUCUAACCCCGCCCAGAUUUUCUGUGGCUGUCCAUUCACAGACGUCCCAAUGCAGCUCUCAAAGAGAAGCCUUAAAAGGCAAUUAACUGCAUCUUGAGUUUAGUUCCAAUGAGCUAGGCAACCAGGAAGUAACUGAACCGGUUGUCUGAUUCACAGCCAGGGAACUUAACCAGGUUAAUUUAUAAAAGUGCCAAUUUCCAUUGAAAUUUUAAUUUUGUAAAAAAUCAAAAAGAGUGGACACACUUUUCACACACAGCUUGCUGAAUUGCUUUAGGGGUCUGGAAUGUCGCUUUUACUAAGUUUUAGCAACAUAGUUAUGGUGCAGAGACUGUACCCUAAUAAAUAUAUGUAGAGAAUUAGGAAUGAUUGUAGUAAGUUAUCAAUGGCAGAACAGAUGGGACUAUAGGCUUCAGACAACAUAUUGACAGGUAUCUAAGUGCAUUCAGUGUUGCCAAGACAAAGACUUCAAGUCAACCAUGUGCCAAUAAAACAUUUUUUCUCUCCCAGAUUAAUAUACCAGGAAGACAAUCCUACUACAUGGUAGGCAUGUAACUUUAUGGGUCACACUGUGCCCAACAGAGGUCAUUUCAAUCCUGUGGAGUUUUACGGGGAUAUAUCACUAUAGGUUUGAAUAUUUCCACGUGCAAUUCCACACAUUUGGAGUCCUUCUGGUCACAUUUCCUGAUAUCAUCCCAUAUCCCAAGCCAGUAGCGUAUGAAGCUACUUAAGUCCCACCCAGGUGAUAGAUGGGAGGGGGUGCACAGAGCACCAACAUCUCGUCAGUCACUCUUUGUAGAGGGUUUUAUUAUCAUCCACUUGGGUCAAUAACAAAGGGAGCUCAGCUGCAACAAUUAUACAGGCACUAGGAGCGGAGUUAUAUGACGCAAGUACCUGCUGCCUGGUAGCCAUUCUGAGGGAGAAGCAGGAAUGAUUCCCUACUUCCUCACCACUAGACACCACAGUACUUCAAUGACUUCAAUCCCGACUUCCAUCCCCCCAGGUGACUUGCCUAUUGUGCCAGUGACUGUGUGUGUGACCAUGUGCCAGUGACUGUGUGUGUUACCAUGUGCCAGUGACUGUGUGUGUGACCAUGUGCCAGUGACUGUGUGUGACCAUGUGCCAGUAACUGUGUGUGUUACCAUGUGCCAGUGACUGUGUGUGUGACCAUGUGCCAGUGACUGUGUGUGUUACCAUGUGCCAGUGACUGUAUGUGUGACUUUGUGCCUGUGGGUGUGUGUUUGACAGUGUGUGUUUUUGUGUGUGUGAUUGAAUGCCUGUGACUGUAAGUGACCUAGGUACACCUCUGUCUUAACCUCAUGAACCUCCACAAGAUCAUUCUCCCAUUGAGUAUAAGUAUUGUUUCUUUGUUUCUUUUUUUUUUAAGUGAAAGAGAAAAUAUUUUUACAAUUAUUAUGCAACAUAUUUCAUAGGUUCUGAUUACGGUAAUAGUCUAAAAUAAAAAAAGAUUUAAUCACACCAAAGCUUACAAGCAGUGUUUCGAUCCAGCAUUGGAUCUUUGUCAAACUUGACUGUUUAUAAGUUCUGGUGUGCCUAAACUUUUUUUUUAUUUUUGGACUAUUUAAUGCACUGGGGUAGUACUCACCCUUAGUUUGGUUUUCCACCCAGUUAUCAGCUCAGUUGGAGGAGGGCAGUUUCUGUUUAUUUAUUAAUGGUUCUUAUCAAUACUCACACAGUGCUGAGCAAAAGACUAUAGAAGACACUGAUCCAAAGUUAGAAGUCAUGGUAUGAUAUGUGAGGUCCCAUUCAUAAGCAUACACCCACCUACGCCUAGUUCAUAUAUUAUUAGUUACAACUAGACAUGUGCAAUUAGUUUUGGGCCGAAUAUGAAUUCGGAUGAAAUUCGGUCAAUUAGGACAUUCGUGAACUUCAGAAUGUCCGAAUAGCUGAAGUGCCGAAUUGCCGAAGUGCCGAAUUACCGAGGUCCCAAAGUUCUGAAAUUACCAAAUUUCCGAAGUGUUGAAGUGCCGAAUUGCCGAAGCACAGUAUUGCCUAAGUACAAAUAUACUUACCCAGUGGAAGAAGAAGAAUUUUACACUGUAUACAAUUUUAAAUAAAAAGUAUACAAACAUAGCCAGGAUUCAGCUGUAAGCAUUUGCAACACUUACAACAAUCAAGUAACAUACAUUCAUAUAAAAUGUAAAUUACUUAGCCUGUCAAUGUAAUGACAGGAAUGAAUGAGUAGAUAACUCCAUAAUUCCCACGGUAUUAGGGAGCUAUCUAUUAAAAGGCUGAAAGACCUAAAUUGGUCUUUCAACCAAAUUUACUAAUACUAAGUAAAGAUUACUCGCUAUACCGCGAGUAGGGGCAGCCUAUGGCUGCUCACUGUAAAAAAACAAACAAAAAAAAUAAGUCCCACCUCCCCCUCCUAACUUGAAGGGGGGACCUAUUGUCCUACCUGCCCCCACCCCUGAACGGCGGGUGGGGGCCCUAAAGUAAAAUAAGGGGGGGACCUAAUGUCCUCCCCCCUGGCCCCCACCCAUGAGCGGCGGGUGGGGGCCCUAAAAUACUAAUUAGGGGGGACCUAAUGUCCUCCCCCCUGGCCCCCACCCCUGAGCGGUGGGUGGUGGUCCUAAAAUACUAAUUAGGGGGGGACCUAAUGUCCUCCCCCCAGGCCCCCACCUCUGAGCGGUGGGUGGGGGCCCUAAAAAAAAAAAAAUAAAUAACCCCCCUCCCCCAGGUGACUAGGCGUCCCCAAACCCCUAGUCACCCACCUCCCCCAAAAAAUUAACCCCUACCUAUCCCCCUCACCCUAAAAAUAAUGAGGGGGGCUAUUUAACUAAGCACCUGAAAAAAAAAAAACUUACCAUGAGGAGGAGAUUAGGUCCCCCCUAAUUAGUUUUUAGGGCCCCCACCCACCGCUCAAGGGUGGGGGCCUGGGAGGAGGACGUUAGAUGCCCCCAAUUAGUUUUUAGGGCCCCCACCCACCACUCAGGGGUGGGGGCCAGGGGGGAGGACAUUAGGUCCCCCCCUCAUUCUAAUUUAGGGCCCCCACCCACCGCUCAGGGGUUGGGGCUGGGGGGGGGCAAUAGGUCCCCCCCAUUAUUUUUCUUUAGGGUCCCCACAUGCCGCUGAGGGAGAGUAGGGGCUCGGGAGGGGGGAACCAUUUUUUUCUGAGUGAUCUUAAAAAAUUAAGCUCUAAAUUUACUUAAGGGAAUGCACCAGUUACCAUAACCACUACACCGCACUGACAGGAGUGAUCUGUCCCACCAAUGUAAGGAGUUAAACUGUUUACUUCGCUCUCUGCCUCUACUACUUCUUAGAGUGUGGUGGAAGCUCUGUUCCCUGAGCUAAGCCCUGCAGUGCAGCUAUUAGGUGACACUCUGAGAAAAUUAUUUAGCCAUUCAUUGUAGGAGUUACCGAAAAAGGAAUCUCCUGAAAUAUAGAUUUUGGCUCUCAGGGAACUCCUGGCAACAUAACUACUGCAGCACUCUGUAGUGGGUAUGGUUCUUGGAGUAUUAUUUGAAUAGUUGGUGAAGGUCCAUUGCCAUAAAACUCCAUGUUGAUUUGUAGAAACAACAUCACUAUUACCUCUAACAGUCUUGAAAAAAAUAUUUAACAAUAAAAUACUCAUAAGCUCUGCAGUUGUGCUAUAGGAUAUGAUUGGACAUGUUUUAAAACUUAAAAAGUGCAAAGUAAAAACUUUUUAUUGCUGAGUUUAUAAGGCUCAUUUAUAAAAGACUGAAACUGGAAUAGAUGAUGUGCACCAAUAAAUUCAACAGCCUUUUUUUUCAGCACGAAGUUACAGUAACCGUGUCUUUAUGCAACAAAACCUUCAUAAUUUGGAUUCUUUAGAGGAACAGAAUAUGCGAUGUAUAAUUCAUGAACCAUUCCGGCAUUUAUUCUUGAAAAGAUCACAAUGCAUGCUGUACUGCUAGGAGUUGAUUCAAUGCUUAAAAAUAAAACUAUUCUGUUAUCUGUGAUAGGAAAUAUAUAAUAGAGGCACUCAGGGAAUAUGUAACCUUAUUUCAUUUAUUUGUAGUGUGAUACAUGACAGGUCUCGUAUUAGAAAACAAAAAGCACAGUGUUAAAAAUGACACGUUAAGGUUUUUUGUGUGGAGCCAUAACUUUUCAAAUUAAUAUAUUCAUUUAUUCCAAGUUCUCACGAAGAGGACAUUUUUCAUAUCUGCUGAGAUUUUCCUAAGAGUGCAAUCUUUUUCAUUAAAAAAAAAUAAAAAAAUUCAUGUGUAUUUAAAUUCUACAGAAAUAAUUGCUGUUCAUGUCUCAAAUACUUAGAUAUCUUACCUGAAUUUCAAAUAGCUGUUAUAAAAAAAACCCCAACAAUUUAUUUCGUUUUGACAAAAUAACAAUAAAAACUCAAGUUCCUCGCUGUUUUUAUGGGCUGUAUUGACAGGGUAGCAAAAAAUAAGAGUUUACGUGAGCACUAAGAAUGGACAACAGUUCAAGUAACUUGCCCAUUAGUGGUUCCCCACUCAGGUCUCAUAGAGGUUUUGGUUUACAUGUGCCAUAGUCAGUGGCAUAUCAGGCUGCUCCCAUCCAAAAGGGUAGAGAGAUUCAGCAACCUCAGUCUUCAUUGGGCCUUGACAGUGAGGUAUAGCUAAUAUCUCCCAUAGGCUCAGAUCACCAAAAGGGCAGGCCAACUGAGUUGUGUCCACCCUCAGUAUUCUCUUGCACUAUGUUUAGAUUCCUUUAGACAUAGCCUAGGCACUAGGGUCUACCAAAGCUAAUAGAGUAAUGAACAAAAGCAGAGGUCCGGGCACACAAACGUAAUCCAAUAUCAGCAUUUUAUAGAGGCAAUGUUUUGACUCUAUUAUAGAUCCUUUUCAAUCCUAACAUUCUCAACAAACUACAUUUUAUAAGAAAAUGAAUACUCACCAAAACGCCAUUGCAACAGUUACGGCCCCUGAGGACUGCGGAAAUGACAUAAACACAUUAUAUUACGUUACUCUCAAUUGGAAACAUGUAUUGCAAUCCACCAUAUGGCGUAACUUUGUUUUAAACAGGACUUUAUCAAUAAGAUUAUUUGAUGAGACAAUAUGACAAUAAAAGCUUGAAAACAGUAUUAAUUUAUACAUGUUUAACUAUUUUAAAAGCUAUAUGGUUUUACAGCUUAUAGUUUAAAGAAACAGUUUAUUUGAUACUUUAGAUUUUUUCUAAACUAAAUAGGUUUAAAUUUGUUAACCUUUCUUGGAACAUAUAAGCUAUGAAGAAAGGUUAACAAAUUUAAACCUAUUUAGUUUAGAAAAAUGUCGCCUGAGAGGGGAUAUGAUAACAUUAUACAAAUAUAUUCGGGGCCAAUACAAACCAUUGUGUGGAAAUCUAUUCACAAACCUGACUUUACAUAGGACACGAGGCCAUGCGUUUAGACUGGAAGAAAGAAGAUUUCGUCUAAGGAAAAAGGAAAGGUUUUUUUACUGUAAGAACAAUCAGGAUGUGGAAUUCUCUGCCUGAAGAAGUGGUUUUAUCAGAGUCCACACAGAUGUUCAAACAGCUACUAGAAGUAUACUUGCAAAAACAGAAUAUUCAGGGAUGUAAUCUUUCAAUAUAGGGUAAUAACUGCUUGAUCCAAGGAUAAAUCUGACUGCCAUUCUGGGGUCAAGAAGGAAUUUUUUUUCCUAGCUUGUUGCAAAAUUGUGCUUCAAACUGUGUUUUUUGCCUUCUUUUGGAUCAACAGCAAAAAACAAAUGUGAGGAAGGCUGAACUUGAUGGACGCAAGUCUCUUUUCAGCUAUGUAACUAUAUAACUAUGUAACUAUUCUAAAUGUCACCAUCAUGUUCUACUUUGAACCACUGAAACACUGGAAUGGAAAGUGUGACCAUAUUUAUGCUUGCAGCUUAAAGGACCACUCUAGGCACCCAGACCACUUCAGCUUAAAAACUGCUAUGUUUAUGAAUGGGUUAAGCCUUCCCCUAUUUCCUCUAGUGGCUGUCUCAUUGACAGCCACUAGAGGCGCUUGCGUGAUUCUCACUUUGAUUUUCACAGUGAGAGCAUGCCAGCGUCCAUAGGAAAGCAUUAUGAAUGCUUUCCUAUGUGACCGGCUGAAUGCGCGCGCAGCUCUUGCCGUGCGUGCGCAUUCAGCCGACGGGGCGGAUCGGAGGAGGAGAGCUCCCCGCACAGCGCUGGAAAAAGGUAAGUUUUUACCCCUUUCCCCCUUCCAGAGCUGGGCGGGAGGGGGUCCCUGAGGGUGGGGGCACCCUCAGGGCACUAUAGUGCCAGGAAAAUGAGUAUGUUUUCCUGGCACUAUAGUGGUCCUUUAAUGUACUUUUCCCCUUAUUUUCAUUAAACGAUCUGCUUCUCCUACUACAACAUUAAAACCAUACUAACUCUGCAUUAUUUAUUUUAAAAAAAGCAUGGCCAAGAUGACAUACCCACCUUCAUGGAGAUAGCAUCACAAUAUACUCUACGCAUGCAUGAGAGAACAAAACUGGUGUCUGUCAAAUAGAUAACUUCUUCUCGCCUCAUGAUAGGUGCCUUUUAAACAUUUCACAAGAAUAUGCUAUACCCAUCACUCAUCACACACAACAGCUGGUGCUGAUGAGAGAUUCAAAUGUGACAGUGUCAGUUUAAAUAUCAAUAUCACAUCCUUCUUAUUUCCUCACUUUAAAUCCUUUAUUCUACAAUAUCAAAAACGUUCCUUUCUUCCUUUCUCUUCAUGUUUGCCGACAGUCUAUAAGUGACCUAUAUUUCAUUUCCCAACUUCGAUUUGUUUUUCAAGCACUCUCACCAUCAUCAUCAAUCAUCUGCUCCAAACAUCUCGUCAAACUUCCCACACCUUUCCUUUCAUUCUCUACCCUCUCUUUAUAUCUAACAGCUGAAUCUAUUCACAUGUUUGUGCUGGAGGUAACACUAUAAACACAGCUUCAGUUGAUGGAUGUUUUGGCAGAUGUAUCAACAAUUUAUUGAGACUUAAUUAGUAUUCCAAAAUGGAUCCAUGCCAUCUAUCUCUUUUGGCACAAGAAGGCACUAACACAUCUGAAUAAUAUUUCGUCUUCCCACAUGCUUUGAUAAUGUUUCCUCACUGCUUAUUUUAAGUGGUCAAGUUCCGUUAAUCACACAAAGUAACUAUGAUUAUUGUGCUGGUAUUCAUUGUUGUUAAUUUAAAUAAAUCAAAGGGGAAACAAAACUUACAAAGGACAUCCAGUAAACUGAAAAUUGAAAAUGACUCUAACAUUUGUAUCCCAGAUGAAGCAAUGCUUCAUGAAGUUGGUGAUAAGAAAACCCAUUGGAAAUUUGGCACAGAAGAGCAAUUAAUUUCAGCUAGAAAGUUCUGUACGCCAAGACAGGCUUAACUUAACUUCAACAUAUAAUUUUAGGAGCACAAAUGUUAUUUAUAUAAGAAAAUCUGCUGCACAGAAUGGAAAGAGCUUACUUCUGCAAACAAAUUAUUUGAAUCAGACUUUCACUAUAAGAUUUAUUUCAUUUUUAGAAUUAUUAUUUUGUAUGAGAUUAGAAGCCUAUUACCUACUUCACAAACAAUGUGUUCACAGGAAUAAGAAAGUCACUCAACAAAGCAAUGAGCUAUGCUGGAAUAAUAACAUUUAAGAGUUUGCUCAGUGCAGUAGCAUAUCUGUGAUGUAAAAUGCUCUUGGAUCUAGAAGUCAGAUGUGGUUCAGAUCUAAGUUCAUCUAAGAUGUGGCUGAGAUCUAAGAUAGCCUUUGGAAAAGAUUACAUUUGCAAUAACAUAGAUAAGAAAUGUAUUAACAUAAUUAUUCAUGUAAAGUUACUUAAAGUGUUAUUCACUAAAGUGAACAUUAUUAGAAAUUCAAAGUGAAUUCAAAAGAGAAAUUAAGAUUUUAGGUAGCCAAAUCUAUUCGAUAUAAGUACCUGCUUACUCCUGAUAUUUAGGAGUUGAAUCACUUUAAGCAGCCUUACUCACACCUCCCCUGCAUGUGACCAACACAAUCUCCCCGAACACUUCCUGUAAAGAGAGAUCUAAUGUUUAAACUUUCAUUAUUGCACAGUCUGUUUAAUUAGAAUUUUGUAUCACCUGCUCUGUUAAUGGUCUGUUAGAGCUUACAGGAACUUCUUGUGUGUGAUAAAAGUUUGAUUAACAUAGUAGUAGAUAAAACCAUUCAAAGUAAACAAACUGUGUUGUAAUACCUAAACCUAAAUUUUUUUUUAUGAAGUCUGGGUGCAGAAAGUGAUUUAGCUCCAAAAUAGCAGGGAAUUGAGCAGUACAUGGGCGUGAUCUAUACACCCAAACUGCUUCAUUAAGCUAAAGUUUUUUUUUGUGCCUGUGGUAUCCUUUUAAAUAAGCAGAUUAAUGUUAACGUAUUUCUAUUUUUUGGAAUAUACAGUAUCUCACAAAAGUGAGUACACCCCUCACAUUUUUGUAAAUAUUUUAUUAUAUAUUUCAUGUGACAACACUGAAGAAGUGACACUCUGCUACAAUGUAAAGUAGUACACCCCUAAGUAGAAAUGUCCAAAUUGGGCCCAAUGUGUCAAUUUUUUGUGUGGCCACCAUUAUUUUCGAGUACUGCCUUAACACUCAUGGGUAGGGAGUUCACCAAAGCUUCACAGGUUGCCACUGGAGUCCUCUUCCACUCCUCCAUGACAACAUCACGGAGCUGGUGGAUGUUAAAGACCUUGCACUCCCCCACCUUCCAUUUCAAGAUGCCCCAUAGAUGCUCAAUAGGGUUUAGGUCUGGAGACAUGCUUGGCCAGUCCAUCACCUUUAACUUCAGCUUCUUUAGCAAGGCAGUGGUCGUCUUGGAGGUGUGUUUGGGGUUGUUAUCAUGUUGGAAUACUGCCCUGUGGCCCAGUCUCUGAAGGGAGGGGAUCAUGCUCUGCUUCAGUAUGUCACAGUACAUGUUGGCAUUCAUGGUUCCCUCAAUGAACUGUAGUCCCCCAGUGCCGGCAGCAUUCAUGCAAGACCAGACCAUGACACUCCCACUACCAUACUUGACUGUAGGCAAGACACACUUGUCUUUGUACUCCUCACCUGGUUUCCGCCACACACGCUUGACACCACUUGAACCAAAUAAGUUUAUCCUGGUCUCAUUGGACCACAGGACAUGGCUCCAGUAAUCUAUGUCCUUAGUCUGCUUGUCUUCAGCAAACUGUUUGCGGGCUUUCUUGUGCAUUAUCUUUAGAAGAGGCUUCCUUCUAGGACAACAGCCAUGCAGACCAAUUUGAUGCAGUGUGUGACGUAUGGUCUGAGCACUGACAGACUGACCCCCCACCCCUUCAACCUCUGCAACUAUGCUGGCAGCACUUAUACGUCUAUUUCCCAAAGACAACCUCUGGAUAUGACGCUGAGCACGUGCACUCAACUUCUUUGGUCGAUCAUGGCGAGGCCUGUUCUGAGUGGAACCUGUCCUGUGAAACUGCUGUAUGUUCUUGCCCACCCUGCUUGGCAAUCUUCUUAUAGCCUAGGCCAUCUUCAUGUAGAGCAACAAUUCUUUUUUUCAGAUCCUCAGAGAGUUCUUUGCCAUGAUGUGCCAUGUUGAACUUCCAGUGACCAGUAUGAGAGAGUGUGAGAGCGAUAACAUCAAAUUUAACACACCUGCUCCCUAUUCACACCUGAGACCUUGUAACACUAACAAGUCACAUGACACUGGGGAGGGGAAAUGGCUAAUUUGGCCUUAUUUGGACAUUUCCACUUAGGGGUGUACUCACUUUUGUUGCCAACGAUUUAGACAUUAAUGGCUGUGUGUUGAGUUAUUUUGAGGGGACAGCAAAUUUACACUGUUAUACAGGAUGUACACUUACCACUUUACGUUGUAGCAGAGUGCCAUUUCUUUAGUGUUGUCACAUAAAAAGAUAAAAUAAAAUAUUUACAAAAAUGUGAGGUGUGUACUCACUUUUGUGAGAUACUGUACAUAUGUAUUCAUAAUGUUAGAGUGUAAUAUUAGCUAUUUAGAUUAUUGCCCCCACAGAAGUAUAAAUAGGUUUACUUAACGUAAUUCCCAGAGCACCAGUCUCACUGUGGUCGCAACAGCUCUUCUGCUGAAAUCAGCUUUGCUAAUGAUCUCACCCAAUCCAUUACUUCCCCAUUGGGCUAGUGCCCGUGCCGCUGCACCAAUCAGUAUCUCCUCAUAGAAAUGUAUUGACUCAAUGCAUCUCCAUGGGGAGCGCUCAGCAUCUCCAUCUCCAUCUUGCUGGACCUCAUCCAAGAAGUCGUUCUAAUAGCAGUCUGAGUGACAGCCACCAGAAUGCACAUAAUGCCUUUUCUCAUAAAAAAAAAGGCAUUUAUGCUGCUGAGCAUGCAGGGGCAAUCUAUUUGCCUCAGAACCACUACGUUAAGCAGUAGUUGUUCUGGUGCCUAGAUCUUUCCUUUAAAUAUGAAAUUCACUUAGAAUUCCUGACAAUUUUUACUUUACUAGAUACCGCUUUAAAUAUAUGCUGGAAAUUAAGAAAAAAAAAAACUUAAAUGAGAAUUAUAAUAAGGAGUAUUAGAUGAAGAAUAAAAAAGCUUAUGCAAACAAGGUAGUCUCCUUCCACAGAGGAACUACUCCAGUCCUGUACAUAGCUGGAGCAGACAAGAAAAUGUGGACUCCAGACGGACAAAAUCUGUAUUCUGAGGUGGGCAUCGAACAAAAUUAAACCAGUGGCAGUAAAGACUUAACGUAUCCAAAAUAUGAAAGUUACAAAAGUAUUGGGUAUAAUAAAAAAAGUUAAAAAUUAGAAUAAAAGCCUGCCUAUAGCACUCAAGUUUUAUUUUUAUUUUAUGACAAUGAGGUCAUAAAAAUAUUAACAGCCUUUAAAACAUUUGAUUAAAUUUGCAAAUGCUCUGCUGGCACAUUGAUUGUGUAUGUACUCUCCAAAUGCUUCAAGCUAACUAGUUUAUUUGAAAUACACAGAACUCAGGUGACCCAAAAUAUAUUAAUUAACUUCUAAGCUCCUAAUGCUGUCCGAGCAGAAGGGAAUAAUUUGUACUUGCCAUAAAAAAGUAAUAGCUUUUAUUUUAUUUUUUUUUUACUGUUUUUGAACAUUAAAAGUUAUAUAUACUACUGUAUUUCUCUAUAUAUCAUGUCUGACAAGUCAUGAUUCCCUUUUAUUCCAGAAGUUUGGUCCUUAGGGGGUUAAAGGGACACGAUUCAGACCCCUAAAGCACCUUAUCUUGCAGAAGUAAUUUAUGUAUGAAGAGUGUGUCCUCUCUAUUUCAUUUUACAGAAAGUACAGAUUUCAAUAGAAAUUGACACUAUUAUAAAUUAUCCUUAUCCUUACAGUCUUCUGUCUGUAUAUAGUAUCUCUAAAUGUAGACAUGUUUGUGUAUAAAGUAUAUUUGUGUGUGUGUAUGUUUGUUUAUUUGUAUCUAAUGUUGAUGUUUGAAUGCAGGGGACCUGUUUGUGUGUAGUGUUGGCAUUUAAAUCAGAGGUGUGUGUGAUGUUGGUGUUUAAAUGCAAGUUUUUUUUAUGUACUGUUAGUCUAUAAGUGCAGCAUUGUUCUUGUCUGUAAUGUUGACACGUGAAUGCAGGGGUGUGUUUGUGUGUAAUUUUGGUGAUUGAAUACAAGUAUGUAUUCACAUAUACAUAUGCACUGACACACACAGACACACAUGGACUCAAUGCCAUACACAGAAACACACAUACACUGACACACAGAUGCCCACAGACAUAUAUACAUAGGAAUAUACUUUGAGACAUAUGCACACACACAAUUUGACACAGAUGCACAGUAAUACUGACACAUACUGACAUACAUGCAAGAUUCUCAUACACAGGUCAACAUGUACUGAUGCAUACACCAACACCCACAAACACUGACACACGUUCAGAUGCAUAAACUAAAACACAUACACUGACACACAUGCAGAUACAUACACUGACACACAGAUGCAUACACUGAAACAUACAGAUACACUGACAUACACACAGAUAUAUAUACUGACAUACACGCAGAUACAUACACUGACACACAUGCAGAUACACACACUGACAUUCAGAGACAUACCCAGGGCCGGCGCGUCCAUAAGGCGGCACAGGCGGCCGCCUUAGGGCGCACGGGCUCUGGGGGCGCAAUAUUUCAGUGACCGGCAGGACGGAAGCUCUCCCUCCUGCCAGGCCACCAUCUCGACCCCCCGGCGCGGCAGUGCUGUGAUCAGGCGCGGCGAGGGAGCUCUAAUCUCCACCCUCUGCUCCCUCGCGCGCUGCCUGCUGAUGCCGCGGGAGCCGGAAUAUGACGUCAUCAACCCGGCUCCCGCGGCAUCAGUAGGCAGCCCGCAAGGGAGCAGAGGGUGGAGAUUAGAGCUCCCUCGCCGCGCCUGAUCACAGCACUGCCGCACGCCUCCCAGCAGCCCCAGGGACCGAUCCAUAAUCCACACCAGCUCUCCAGGUAGGGAGGCUGGGUGGAAAAUAUGUAUUUAUAAAAUAAUUAGUGAAUGCAUGUGAUGUGUGUCUGUGAGUGACUGUGUGUGUGUGUGUGUCUGUGAGUGACUGUGUGUGUGUGUGUGUCUGUGAGUGACAGUGUGUGUGUCUGUGAGUGACAGUGUGUGUCUGUAUGUGUGUGUGUGUCUGUGAGUGACAGUGUGUGUGUGUCUGUGAGUGACUGUGUGUGUGUGUCUGUGAGUGACAGUGUGUGUCUGUGUGUGUGUGUCUGUGAGUGACAGUGUGAGUGACAGUGUGUGUCUGUGAGUGACUGUGUGUGUGUGUCUGUGAGUGACAGUGUGUGUGUCUGUGAGUGACAGUGUGUGUGUGUCUGUGAGUGACAGGGUGUGUGUCUGUGAGUGACUGGGUGUGUGUCUGUGAGUGACUGUGUGUGUCUGUGAGUGACAGUGUGUGUGUCUGUGAGUGUGUGUCUGUGUCUGUGAGUGACAGUGUGUGUGUGUCUGUGAGUGACAGAGUGUGUGUGUCUGUGAGCGACAGUGUGUGUGAGUGACAGUGUGUGUGUGACAAUGUGUGUGUCUGUGAGUGACAGUGUGUGUGAGUGACAGAGUGUGUGCGUCUGUGAGUGACAGUGUGUGUGAGUGACAAAGUGUGUACGUCUGUGAGUGACAGUGUGUGUGAGUGACAAAGUGUGUACGUCUGUGAGUGUAAGUGACAAAGUGUGUGUAAGUGACAAAGUGUGUGUAAGUGACAAAGUGUGUGUGUCUGUGAGUGACAGUGUGUGUGUCUGUGAGUGAUUGUAUGAGUGUGUGUGCGAGUGUAUGAGUGUGUGUCUGUCAAAUCAGUGAGAGUAUGUUUGUCAUUGAGUCUGUGUGUGACUAUCAGUGUGUCUGUCAAUGAGUGUCAAUCAGUGUGGGUCUGUCAGUGUCAAUGAAUGAGUGUGUGUCAGAUCAAUGAGUCUGUGUCUGUCAGUGGCGUCUGUGUGUUUGUCAUUGAGUGUGUGACUGUCAGUGUGUACAGAGUGUAGUGGAGCAGAGCGCGGUACAGGAGCUUCUGUUUCCUGUACCUGGCCAGACUGACAGGAGGUGCUCACAGAGAGAGCACUCCCUGUCAGUCCGGCCGGGUACAGAAAACUGAAGCUCCUUUAGGGGAUCUGCUCCACUCGGCAAUACAACAAUAGAGGUAGGAGGCACACCAGGAAGGGGAGUGUGACCACUAAAGGGGUGUGGGGUGCACCAAGGGACAGGGAGGGAAUGGGAGAGAAACACCAAGAGACAGGGAAAAGAGGGGGGAGGGGAGAAGAACACUAAGGGGAAGGGAAGGGACUACUAAUGGUCAGGGAGGGGAGAGGGGCUGGUUAAGAGGCACAUAGGUGAAGAUGUUUUUUUUCGGGGGGGGUGCGGGGGGGCGGAAAAAGGCAUCUUCGCCUAUGUACCUAAAAAUCCAAGCACCGGCCCUGGACAUACCCUGACAUAGACACAAAAACACACUUACAUACACACAGAUGCAUACACUGACACAUGCAUAGACAUGCACUGACACAUGUGGAAUUUUUCCAGAUUAGUUAUUUCCAAUUCAGAUUUAAUUUGUGAAAAUGCCAAAUUAUUUAAUCCACAUUAUUUCCCUGGUCACUUCUUCCUCCUUUCAGCUUCAAUGAAUAAACCUUGUGCAUGAUCUCUAAUCACACAAUGCUGAGACAUACUCUGACACACAUUUAGAGACAAAACUGAAACAAACAAAUACAUACACUGAUACACACACACACACACACAAACACACACACAUACAUACACUAACAGACACAUAGAUACAUACACUUACAUACACACACACACAGAUACAUACAGUAACAGACACACAGAUACAUAAACUGACACACACAGAUACAUAUACUGACAGACACCAGACACAUACACUAGGAGUUCACUAGUUCAUUUAUAAAAAAAAAUGCUGAUUUCUCAUAGAAAAAUAUGAAAUGUAUUAUAAACUUGGUUUAAACUAGGAUACUUCUCACCCAUAAAGCACUUAGCAAGCUGAGGUGCUUUUGGGUUGUUGAGGCGUCCUUUAACUCCUAAAUUGCAGUGACCUAAGCAGUGGUACUGCAGGGGCAUGAUCUAUGCACCAAAAUGGCUUCAUUAAGCUAAAGUUCUUUUGGUGCUUAGAGUGUCCCUUUAACCCCUAAAGGACCAAACUUCAGGAAUAAAAGGGAAUCAUGACAUGUCACACAUGUCUUGUGUCCUUAAGGGGUUAAAGCAACAAUUGGUAUUUUUAAAUAGUUAUGAGUGUUUGCUCACAUUGACUUUAAAGAUCAGAUUGCAUCACUCUGUAUACCAUUCUAGUGUAUUUUAAAUCACGGAAACCGUUAAGCUCAUUUAUCACCCAAAAAUAAAAUGAAACUUCAAAUGUAUAAAGGAAGAUUAUGCAAAAAAAAAAAAAAAGUAAUUGGAUUUUUUUCUUAUUACUUAUUCAAGAAAAUCCCAGAGAGAAUGUAGUUAUUUUAAAUCAAUCCCAACAUUUUACAGUUACAUAAAUGGUUUUUUUUCCUGAAGCUUUGUCUUGCAAGACUUAAUCCAAAUAUUUAUACCAGCAGUAUUAGUAGAAAUAACACAAUAGACAUAGUUUUAUUUAUAUCAUAUAUUUUCUCAAUAUCGUAACAUAAAGUUGCAUACUCAUAUAUUCUUAUAAUAUUGGGUGUUUUAAAAAAAAAAAAAUUUUUUUUUUGUUCUAGAAUUGUUGACAUAACGUAGCGGUACAAACGAUGUACAGUACAGUGUGGAAUUUAGAUUAUUUUUAAACAUCCACAAAGGAUUAUUUGAUAGAUUAUUGUCUUUCUUAGUAAUGAAAACAAAUGUUUCAUAUGAAUUUCAUUAUAAGAUUGAAGAUUAUGUGAUUAAAUAUUCUCUUCUUCUGACUUAUCCUUAUUCUUGACCUCUUUUUUUUAAAAAAAAUGGAAAAACCAGCAGGACAGUGGACCUUUUCCUUCAAUAAAAACAACUCUUUAUGGGGUAAAUAUAUCAAGCCAUAGGGCAAAAUAAUUUGAUUUCACAAAUAUAAUUAUUUCAAAACAUAUAUAACUAUUUUUCAUUAAUUAUUUUGCUUGUGUAGAAAAUAUAUCUUCUUUUGAGUAUCACUUUAAGAAGAUUAAAGGGACACUAAGCACCAAAACCACUACAAUUCAUUGUAGUAGUUAUACAGCUAGGAAGUUAUCGGUGAAGUCAAACUGUUUCCAGCUUCCCACCUAUACUCUUAUCCUGUGCUUCUGGCAAAAUAAUAAUUAAUAUCUCCUCUACAUUAUCUAUAGAAAUAUUUGAAUGGGGUGAACAUACUAUGCAAUAAUAGAUUGCGAGCAGUGGGAUAUAGGAAAAUAGCUGUCCACUAACUGGGACUUCACCCUCAUGGAUAGCCUUCUAGCACUGUAAACUCUAGAAUAAGCUGUAGUGGUUCUGGUGCAUCAAGUGUCCCUUUAAAAGCGAUGGCUGGACGUAACAUCUUACAAAAUAAAAGAAAACAAAAAAGUGGAAAACAGCAUGUGGAAAUUUUAGCAAGAAAUUGUGUUCCUGUAAUUAUUCUAUAAAUAGAGCGUCAUUUGCAUAACAUCUUGAUUAAAUUCUGAGAGCAGAGCAGAAAGGUUACUUAUUUUAUUAUCGGACCAGAAGCAAUACGUUAGUGAGUCUGCAGAAUCAGUCGUUUUGUUAACUGCCGUCAUGGAUUCAUGUCACAGUAUCUAUUCCACAAUACAAUUUAUUAAAAUAAUCUUAAAUAAUCUUAACCUAUUAUUUUGGGAAUUAUUAUUGCAUUGCCAAAAGCUUAAAUAACGAAAAAGGCAAAAGACGAUGCAUUGCCAGUCAAAUGAUACAAUCUAAAUGAUGGUAACAGUAUAUCAGAUGAAACAUUAGUUUGGACCAGGAGCACAGAGUAAUCAGUUAAGAAAGCCAAGUGAAAAUGGUUCAAUAAAGCACUCUACACAGCUCUAUCAUAGAGGUAAACCAUGCAAGGUUAUUAAAUGGAAAAGGUUGCUGGCUAUAUAUAGCCCUUCUCCAGGGCUAGCCUCUGAUCAGCUAUAAGAGAUUCUUAAAAACUAGGAAAAAGAAUCUGUAACAUCGUAAGACAAAAAAAUAUACCACAGCGUUACUUACUAAAGUCUGAAAGUCUCUGUAACAUUCGGACUGCAUAAUCUGGACAUUGUUUAUGGAAUUCAACAAAGCUCGAAUUAUGUAAAUCAGACCGUGAAUGAGUCUGAAUUUGGUCUGAAUUUCAGGCUUAACGAAUGCAGCCAGAUGGCUGAUAUUCGGCCCAAAUGAAUUAAAUCCGGACCAAGUGAAUUUGCAAGUGUGCAUCUUGUUGGAUGCAUUCUGUUUAACUUUGGCCUACAUGCGAUCUUUGAUAAAUCUCUGAUUACAUAGUUACAUAGGCUGAAAAGAGACAUGCGCCCAUCAAGUUCAACCUUUCUCACAUAUGUUUUUGCUGUUGAUCCAAAAGAUGGCAAAAAACCCAGCCUGAAGCACUUCCAGUUUUGCAACAAACUAGGAAAAAAUUCCUUCUUCACCACAAAAUGGCAGUCAGAUUUAUCCUUGGAUCAAGCAGCGAUUACCCCACUAAUUAGAAAUCAUCUACUUGCCGCUGCGAGGCUUAUUUUCCUGUCCGGUCGCACCUCCCACGCCUACACGCUCUGUCAGUCCCUGCAUUGGCUUCCAGUUAGAUAUAGGGCCCAAUUCAAAAUUCUGGUGCUUGCUUACAAAUCCCUACAUAAUGCUGCUCCAACAUACCUAUCCUCCCUCAUACACAAGUAUGUCCCGUCGAGACCCCUGCGCUCAGCCCAAGACCUACGCCUAUCCUCUGCCCGGAUCCCCACCUCUGAUGCUCGCCUUCAAGACUUCUCCAGGGCUGCACCUAUUCUGUGGAACUCCCUUCCCUCCUCAAUCAGACUUUCACCCAGCCUCCACUCCUUCAAAAAAUCUUUGAAAACUCACUUCUUCGUUAAAGCGUAUCAAUUAAACUGUCAGCAGGUUUCUCAUCCCCCACCCCAUGACUCCGUUCCUGCACCUGUCAAAAAUGACGUACCAAGUACUCAAUAAACUCUUAUAAAACAAACUAUUUAAUUCCCAUACUUUAACCCUUUGUGCCACUAUACCCCACUCCCUCUAGCAUGUAAGCUCAUCGAGCAGGGUCCUCAACCCCCUCUGUUCCUGUACGUCAGUGGUCUGAUCUCAAUGAUGUGUCUGUUAGUCCACCCAUUGUACAGCGCUACGGAAUUUGUUGGCGCUAUAUAAAUAAUAAAAUAAUAAUAAUAAUAAUAAUAAUAAUAAUAACCCCUUAAGGACCGAGGACGGUUCAGGACCGGCAUCGAAAUUUUCCCAUUGCCGACCGCUGACGGUCCUGAACCGUCCUAACGGUCCUAGUUACUUACCUGAUCGCCGUCGUUCCCCCGGCGGCGAUCGGCGUUGCUCCCGGUGUGGGGAGACUGCCUGCAGCCCAGACAGUCUCCCCACACUGGAUUAGGACCCCUGUGGCCAUGUGAUCGCUUAACACAGCGAUCACAUGGUCACAAUAGGUGUCCUAGUGUCUGCCUGCAGGGGGACUGCCUGUACUGACAGGCAGUCUCCCUGCUAGUGUAAAAUCAUUAAAAAAAAAUAAAGUUAUAUAUGUCUAUAUAUCAUAUAUAUAAUGUCAUACUAAGUGUAUUUUUAUAUUAAUAUGUACUUAUAUUAAUAUAAAAAUACACUUAUAAUUAAAUUACACACGUAUAUAUAUAUAUAAUAUAUAUAAUAACUAUAUAUAUUGUAUAUAUAUUAUUAUAAAAUAUAAAUAAUAAGUAAUUUAAAUUAAAUAAAAAAUUUCUAAAAUAAUAAUAAAAAUUGAAAAAAAUAUAUAUAUCUAUAUGAAAUUUUAUUAUAACUGUAUUUUAAAAUUAAUAUAUAUAUAUAUUUAUAUCAAAAUACACUUAGAAUGAAUUUGUAUAUAUAUAUCUAUGUAUAUAUAAAUAAAUAAAAAUAAUGCGAAAUAUACAUAUGUCCAUAUACAAAAUUACAUAAAUAAUUAUAUAAAUAUACACGUAGACUUCAAAUAUAUAAAUAUGCAUAUAUAUUUAAAUUCUACGUGUGUAUUUAUGUAAUAUUUUUACAUAAUUAAGUAAUUUUAUUGAUUGCAAUUUGAGGGACCUGCCUGCCAACACAGGCCAAAAGUCCAGAGAAUUUAAUUUGCUAGCACUGUAUUUUACCCUGUAACGUUCUUCGACACCCUAAAACCUGUACAUGGGGGGUACUGUUUUACUCGGGAGACUUCGCUGAACACAGAUAUUAGUGAUUCAAAACAGUAAAACAUAUCACAGCGAUGAUAUUGUCAGUGAAAGUGACUUUUUUUGCAUUUUUCACACACAAACAGCACUUUUACUGAUGAUAUAAUGGUUGUGAUACGUUUUCCAGUUUUUAAACACUAAUAUUUGUGUUCAGCGAUGUCUCCCGAGUAAAACAGUACCCCCCAUGUACAGGUUUUAUAGCAUUUUUGAAAGUUACAGGAUCAAAUAUAUGGGUCAAAUAUUUUUACAUUGAAAAUGGCCAGGUUGGUUACGUUGCCUUUGAGAGCGUGUGGUAGCCCAGGAAUGAGAAUUACCCCCAUAACGGCAUACCAUUUGCAAAAGAAGACAACCCAAGGUAAUGGGGUAUGUCCAGUCUUUUUUAUUAACCCCUUAGUCACAAACACUGGCCAAAAUUAGCGUUCAAUUUAGUUUUUUUACUUUUUUCACACACAAAAAAUAUGAAUGCUUACUUUGGCCAGUGUUUUCGACUAAGUGGCUACUAAAAAAGACUGGACAUACCCCAUAUUGAAUACCCUGGGUUGUCUACUUUAAAAAAAAUAUGUACAUGUGGGGUGUUAUUCAGAGAUUUAUGACAGAUAAUAGUGUUACAAUGUCACUAUUGAUAAAUUUAAAAAAUGUAUGUUUUGAAACCGCAAUAUUCUACUUGUACCUAUAGCCCUAUAACAUGCAAAAAAAAGCAAAAAAGCACGUAAACACUGGGUAUUUUUAAACUCAGGACAAAAUUUUGAAUCUAUUUAGCAGUUUUUUUCAUUCGCUUUUGUAGAUGAGUAAAAGAUUUUUCAAGUAAAAGUCAAAAAACAUGAAUUUUUUAAAUUUUUCAUCAUAUAUAUUUUUUAAUUAAAAUACAUGAGAUUAUAUAAAUAAUGGUAUGUAAAGAAAGCCCCUUUUUCUCCUGAAAAACAAUAUAUAAUUUGUAUGUGAACAGUAAAUGAGAGAGCGGAAAAUUACAGCCAAACACAAACACCACAAAAGUGUAAAAAUACGCCUGGUCGCAAAUGUACAACAUCGCAAAAACAGUCCAGUCCUUAAGGGGUUAAUUUACCUGUAUGUUAUGUUUUUGCAAGUAUUUAUCCAAUUGCUGUUUAAACAUUUGUAUGGACUCUGAUAAAACCACCUCUUCAGGCAGAGAAUUCCAAAUCCUUAUAGUCCUUAAUGUAAAAAUUUUUUUAGGAAAAACUGAUUUUCUAAAUGCUUCUGAACUAAUAUUACAGAAUGGCUCGGAGGCGCUGAAUCCUGACUGCAUCUGGCUUUACCAAUGUUGUCAAAAUGUGAUUAUUUUCAUCAGAUUUUGUCCACUGUUUAGUGAGUAGGAGGAUUGACUAUCACCCAACAGCAUAGUAACAUAAGAUGUUAUGAGGGUGGGAGACAGCCUUGAAGGGAAUUACUACAGCCCACUGUGGUUGUUAUGGUAUCAGGAGGGCUCUGCUGCCCUCCCAAUAUAAGUAGUCAAACCGUCUAAGAGCUGAGUGAAAACUUACCUGGGAUCUGGCAGAUGCCCAAUGCCGCUUACCUGCAAGGAGCCUCCCUUAGCUUUAAUGUUCCAGGCUACAAUGCUUGUUGUGGUUGACGUGCUAUUUUGAUAAUAAAUGGCCCUUGGGAGCAUACAAUACACCAUUCAGUUAUCUAUAGGAAAAAAUGAUUCACUAUAACUGGGAAAACCAUAAAAAGAUUGGGAUUGAGAUCUUUUUAAGCAACACAUUUUUUCAACAAUUUCUCACAAAAAAAUAACCAAUUAUUCAAUAAAAGGUAUGGAAAUAAAAAAAUAAGUUAUAUAUUUUAGUUUUACCACUUAUAUUUUUGCCUUGUAUCAAAAUUUAAGUAAUUGUUUUAAAAUGUAUGCGGCAAAGAGAAGCAUUUACUAUAUAUUAUGUUUUUCUGAACAGUAGAAAAUAUGAUCUUAAAAGCUUGGCCAUCGUGACUGGAUGAGGGGGGUUCUUUAUCUUGUCAUCCUACCACUAGAAUAAAUGGAGGGAGAUGGGGGGUGUCCCCAUCUCCCUCACUCUCUACACUAGUAGCUGCCCCAAUCUCCCCCUUGCUAGACAUUUCAGAGCCAGAAGGGUUAACAGUCAUUCAUUUUUUUGUUUGUUUUUUAUAAUGAGAUGGACUAAUUUCAGAUGAACCAAAAUAACUGAACACAUUAUAAAGCCAAACCAAAUUCUUCGUUCAAGCACAAGCAGUAAUAAUGUCACGGCUAGGAGCAUUUCUGCAGAUUUUUUGUAAGUCAAGGUAAGAAGUUUAAAUCUAAUUCUUGAUGAAGUCAUAAAUCUAUAAAUUCUCUGCAAAAAGCAGUAGCAAAAGAUAUGAGACAGACACCCUCAGGGUCCCACUCCCGCUGGGCUUAAGGGGGUUAAGGGGUUAAUCACUUACCUUUCUCCAGCGCCGGGCUCCCUCAGCGCUGGGGACUCUCCUCCCUCUUCCAACGUCAUCUGCCGAUUGCGCAUUCAAUCAGUCCAUAGGAAAUGGACGUCAGUGUCUUCUCACUGUUAAAAUCACAGUGAGAAGUGCGGAAGCGCCUCUAGUGACUGUCUGUGAGACAGCCACUAGAGGCUGGAUUAACCCUAAUGUAAACAUAGCAGUUUCUCUGAAACUGCUAUGUUUACAGCUGCAUGGUUAACCCUAGAUGGACCUGGCACCCAGACCACUUCAUUGAGCUGAAGUGGUCUGGGUGCCUAUAGUGGUCCUUUAAGUAGUAAGACUGCAGAGGCAUUAUCACAAAGUUAAAAUUGUUUUGGUGCUUAAAGUGCAGGGUUGUUAGGGAUACAUAUCACAUAUAUUUAUUGAUGAGCAGCACAUGAAAAGGGUAACCCUGCAGUAUGUAUAAUGCAUAUUUUGCAGGAUUUGUCAAUGUCUAAUUGCCUAAUCCUAUACACCUUCUUCUGAUUUCUACAUACUACAGGGCUACGCUUUUCUUGUGCUGCCCGUCAAUAUGUAUAUUUGAUAUGUGUCCCUGAAAACAUGGCGAAUCUGGUUACCCUGUUAAAGUGUCCCUUUCAGAGAAGGGUUCUCAAGGACAGAAAGAUAAUCCCAGACUGAGAAGAUGAUGCAUUAGUUAAAGCCAGUUGGCUAGAUGAACUUAAAGCACAAAUUAACUCACAUCAGGUGUUCACCCAACAGUUAACUAUCAUUCUUUUCGUGGAAUGUCAACAGAAAAGGGUAGAAUCUCUAGAAAGGGCAAAAUGUAUCUUGUGGAGCUGGUUCAAAUGUUAGAAAAUGUGAAACCUUCUCUUCAAAAGAACUGCUGGAGUCAGACAUGAAAAAAAAAAAAAUAAUAAUAAAAAAAAAAAAAAUAUAUAUAUAUAUAUAUAUAUAUGACAUCCCUUUAUAAUUUAUCAUUUUCAUAUACAAAGGGUUAAUGCGUUCCAUGUACGCUUUGAUAAGUGGUACGUCUUGUGAUGUAAAACAUACAAAUCAAAGAAAUAUUUCUUUUCAUCACUCAUUUCCAUUUUCAGUAAAAUAAAAAAUCUUUUAUUUAUAACUUUUAUUCGCCAGCACAUUAAACAUUUCCAAAUAAUGAGAGGGUGAAAUAUAUUAAGAUUAUACAGUAUGAGAAUGUCUCACCCAGGCGUCCGUGUGUCUAAUUAAAAUAAUAGGCUGUAUCCGCAAUUGCAGUGCCACCACCUUUGUCAUCGUAUUCAGAGUAGUGUCCUAAUUACUAAGUUAAUUCUCUAAGGCUGAAUUUCCAGAGCUUUUUACAUUUUCAUACAAAAACACCAAAGAAUCUUUAGAACAAUCUAUCAAAUCUUGUCUGAACUAAUGCAUACAUUUAUUUUUAUACAUUCCUUUUGAUUUUACUAAAAAAAAGGUAGUUUGUCCUAAGCUGACCUGCAAUGUAUUUUAAGAUGAAAGUACUAUAUAUUUUUUUUCAAUUUUAAUUAAUGUAUGAGAUAUUAUUAAGCUGGUGAGUAUUGGUGUAAAAGCAAUUCCUACAUUUACAGAAAUGUUUUCAAGGAACACGUGUUUGACGUCUUAGAUGUACAUGGUGCUCACUGUGCUCAGUUCCCAGCCUCCACUAGUUCAUUCAUAGAGCUUCCAGCUCUCUAUCUGAGCUAAAUCGAGCAGUGCAGGGGUUAGCUCAUUGGCUGAGAGUUAUCAGCUGAUGCUUUUAGCGGAUGAGUUAGUACUGCACUUGAGUGUUUUGAUCAUGACAGCUAAUGGAAGCUCAUGCUUAGGAGCUCCCAGAUCAAGGACUGAAGAAGUGGAGGUAGGGAGAAGCACUGAGCAGAUACCAAGUAAGAAGUCAAACAGUUUGUUUACUUAUAAUAGGGAGAUGCCAGUGCAGUUCUGGCACCAUAAUCACUACAGCGCACUGCAGUGAUGAUGGUGUUUGAAGUGUUUGUUUAAGAUAAAGGACCCUUUACCUAUUGGUUCAUCUUCCCAUUCCCUCCCUAUCUCUGUGUUUUCUACCUCCAACCAAGUCUCUCUUAAAAAGAAACUAAAACAGUUUGACUACUUACAAUGAGGGAUGACAAGACACACACUCCUGCUUGGAGUGUUCCUUUCAACCCAUUUCUUUAUCUUGUGUCUUCAUCUUCUUCAUCCACCAAUAGUCUUUUCAUCUUUAUCCCAUCCCACUCUCCCCUUACAUCCACCUCUGUUGUCUCUUCAACUUCCCAGUCCAGUCUCUCUUCACUCUCCCCAAGUGCAGGCUAUAUUCAUUUCCUCAACACCGUCUUUCUCAUCCAUCCCAGUCUACUUAGCCCCUGCCCUUUUUUGUUGUAUCUUCAUCACCUCCACUUCACAUUGUCUUUCUAUCUCUCUAUUCCCCUCUAUUUUUGUCUCUUCAUCUGCCAACCCUCACUGUUCCAGUCUCCCUCUCCAUCUCUCUCUGUCCCUCUUUACCCCUCCUUCUCUGAAACCCUAACCCUGCUAGUAACACUUAACCCGAUACCAUACAAUGGCAUCUUCACCCCUCUUCCCUCUUUCUCAUUACCUCCUUCCCCAAAACUCACCUUGAGCAGUUGGGUCCAUCGUCAAGUAGUUGACAUCAUGGCUUGGAAGAGUCAAUGGGUUUGCACUUUGCAGUACUCAGUAUUUAGUCUUGUGUGAAAGUACAUGAAUAUGCCAAUACUAUCACACAGGGUGCAUUACCAUACUUGUGCAUGGUAAUAGGAAAGAAUCUACCGCUACUGAUAUAAUCCAGUAGUCUCCAAAGUGAUACCAUGUGAACAUAUGGAGGUUUUUCCCCAUCUUCUAGUCUAGUUCACCAUUAGAUGGUUACUUAUUUUAUGCAAGUGAAUACCAGUAGAAGACUAUUGAUGUAUUUAACCUUGUGUGUACAUUUGUUCUUUUUCAAAGUUCUCAUAUUCUCUGUUUUUGUUGCAAUGCAUUGAUUUGGCUCUCCCUAAGCAAAAAAGGUAAUCCAGACAUGGACCCCAUGCUCACUGUGCCCAGAGGGGGUAUUAGCUACACCCCACUGACAAGGUCCAAUGAUCAUGCAGAGAGAACCUACCAGGGGUCAAGUCCUGGGGAAUAAAGUGUGGAACUCACCACCCCCUCCCCCCCAGGUGGAACUCACCACCUCUUGGGCCCCCCCAUGACAUGGGGAAAACGGGGGGCAUUUCGGGGUGGCAUUUUUGGCCUCCCCCUGAGUGCCUACAGGACCACAAAUGGGAACGGUGUUCCUGCUCUAAAAAAAGUGCAGGAACACCGUUCCCACACAUUCCUGCAGGACUCGAGCCCUGGAACCUACCGACAUUUCGGUUCAGGACUGCCCUUGUGGGUGGGAUGAAUCUGAUAUGCAGGUUCUCAUUUCGUGACUUGAGCAGGGAAUAACCGUAGGGUAAGCUACUUAGUUUCUCUAGGCUUUUGCCCUUUCUCAGAGCUCUCAUAUUCUCCGUUUUUGUUGCAAUGCAUUUGCUUGAGCUCUCCCUAUACUUUUGAAUAGUCUAAUAAUUUAAUUUUGUUUCUAAUUUUUUCUUAUUGACAUUUUUUAAAGUGUUGUAUCAUAAUAAAUGCAAAUAAAGAAUAGAUUUAUAUUACUUUUAUUGCUGUAUUUUAAAUGCCCCUUAUUAUUUAUUUUUUUAUUAUUAUGUCUUUUGCACUUGCGAUGAUAUUCUCUUCUUUAUUUAACUUAGGUGGCUGCAACUGAUAUUUCUUAAAAGAAAAUUAGUUUAACGCUUCAAUUGACAUUUAUUAUGAGAAUUAUAGUGGCAAACAUAUUAGUUACAAUUUAUAGCUCUUAUUGAGCAACAAAAAUUAGUUGAAUAGAUGUUUUUAAUAAUUCCAAAUAAUUUUUUUAAAGAGUAUACAUGCAUAAAACUUGAAACAACUGGCUAGAUCUAUUUCUUUAUUUUAAAAGGACACUCUAAGCACAAAAAACACUACCCUGUUGUUGCAAUCUGACAAUUAGAAACACUGCUGUUUCCCGAAAAAAUUGCAAUAUACAUAUGUCAUACAACCUACCUUCAGUGGAGUUUACAGAGACAGCUACUCAUUAGACCUUCAAAAACUCAGGGUCAUUAUAUUACUUUUAUUGCUGUAUUUUAAAUGCCCCUUAUUAUUUUUUUUUUUAUUAUUAUGUCUUUUGCACUUGCGAUGAUAUUCUCUUCUUUAUUUAACUUAGGUGGCUGCAACUGAUAUUUCUUAAAAGAAAAUUAGUUUAACGCUUCAAUUGACAUUUAUUAUGAGAAUUAUAGUGGCAAACAUAUUAGUUACAAUUUAUAGCUCUUAUUGAGCAACAAAAAUUAGUUGAAUAGAUGUUUUUAAUAAUUCCAAAUAAUUUUUUUAAAGAGUAUACAUGCAUAAAACUUGAAACAACUGGCUAGAUCUAUUUCUUUAUUUUAAAAGGACACUCUAAGCACAAAAAACACUACCCUGUUGUUGCAAUCUGACAAUUAGAAACACUGCUGUUUCCCGAAAAAAUUGCAAUAUACAUAUGUCAUACAACCUACCUUCAGUGGAGUUUACAGAGACAGCUACUCAUUAAGACCUUCAAAAACUCAGGGUCUUUAUAUCUGGCGUCACACAGCCAUCUUGAUGAAGCUAAAAACUGAUAAUUCUUCUUAAAAGAUAAACAUUUGGAUGAUGCUUCUCAAUGAGAAGCAGCGUUUUGGUAGAGUGUCUUGAUUGAGAAGCAUUGGAUUGAGCCCAAGAUUAUAAGUAAUGAUGAUCUGAUGGAAGAUGGAGCAGCCACCUCGACAAGAAUGGAACAACGCUGGAAAGGAGGUAAGUUUUAUUACAUUUUUUUUAUAUUUCCAAAGGAGGCCCUGAAUCUGAAAGUUAAAAGGAAAACACAUGUAUUUAUUUAUGAUGUUAGAGAGUUCCUUUACUCUUUAAUUCUUCGGAAGAAUUUAUAAAGAAUGUGUCCUUGGUUUAUUUAAAAUGCUUCUCAUUCUUUUCACAGAAAGCAGAUCUAUAAAAACAGCCUGUCAUGUCGCUACUUAUGGGAGAAUUAUGAUCCAAACAAAUUCCACUGAACAUUCCUGCACUUCUGUGUGUCACAUAUGCCUGCCUUGAAAAAAUCUGUACAUGUGUAUCGGUGCUCAUAAAUCUAGAUGCACAUACUAUUUGUAACAAGAUGUAGCUCUCAUGGUUACAUAAUCUUAGUAAGAAUAUUUUCCACUUGGCCUUUUCUUCGGUUGAUCCUGCGAUAUAUUGAUGUAUAUUGAUUCUGGCAUGUUUGUGACUGUUUUUUCUGCAUCUUUAUCGAAUUGCUGGGAGCAAUUAAUAAAUAAAUAUUGCUCAUUAUAGAAAAUUGAAAAAAAUAAUAAUUGCUCAAACCAAACAAAUGUAAAACAUUACUCAUAGCGAUGAAAGAGGAGAGGGAAUGUAACGGUAACAGCAAUAUGAACGCAAAUAUUUGGACACUGACACAAUUUUCAUAAUUUUGGCACUGUACGCCGCCACAAUGGAUUUGACAUGAAACAACCAAUAUGCAAUUAACAGGCAAUGACUGCUUGAAGUCACUAGGCACUAGGGCCCAUUUACAGGAAUUUUUUGAGUCAUUAAACACACAAGAUGAAAGCAUUAAAUUCACUAUGUGCUGUGAUACUACUACAGUCCCUUUUCUAGAUGUUCAGGUACAGAGAGUACAAAAUUGCCUUCAUAGCGACUUGUACAUAAAACCCACUGACCGUAAUAAUUUAUUGACUUACUCAAGUUUUCAUCCAAUCCAUCUAAAGAAUGGAUUACCAUUUAGUCAACUGUUAAGGGUAAAAAGGAUUGUAUCACAGGAAGAUAAAGUGAUGACGGGUUUAGAUUUUAUGGCCAAUAAAUUCAUAGAGAGGGGCUAUCCCACACAUGUAGUCGACAAUCAACGACAGAAGGUUAAUAAUCUUUCUCGACAAAAAACCCUUUCAGGUGCAGGGGCCAGAGACAAAGUAGAAAGGAUUACGUUGGUAACACCAUAUACCCCACUUAAUAGGGAGAUAAGACAUGUUAUAUUAAAACAUUGGCAACUUUUUCAGGGAGAUAUUCAACUACCCCCGAUAUUCCAACAGUCUCCACUUUUUGCAUAUCAGAGGGCCUCGAACCUGAGGGACAUGAUAGUAAGGUCAGAUAUUGGCAGUUCUAAGAAACAAACUAGAUUUUUUUCAGAACCUAAGAAGGGCACCUUUCCAUGUUUAAAUUGCUCACACUGUAAUAGUGUGAUCAAGGGGGAAUAUUUUGUUCAUCCCAGAUCAGGUAAGAAAUUUUACGUUAAAGAAUUUUUUACAUGCAACUCUGACUUUGUCGUGUAUGCUCUUAAGUGUCCCUGUGGACUCCUGUACGUGGCGGAGACCAUCAGGCCAGUGAAAGAGCGGAUAGGGGAGCAUAAAAGGAGCAUUAGGGCAGCAUUACAACACAAUAAAGUGGAGGUUCCGGUACCCAGACAUUUUAAAACAUAUGGUCAUAAUGUAAACCAAUUAAGGUUUCAAGUCUUGGACAGAAUCCCACCUCUACGUAGAGGAGGGGAUAGACAGAAGCUCUUAUUACAGAGAGAAACAAAAUGGAUAAGUACCUUGGAGACUUUGUCACCAUUAGGGCUUAAUGAAGACUAUGACCUUAAACAUUUCUUAUGAGAAAAGUUUUUUCUUUCUUUUUUCUUGCAUUUAUUGCCUGCUCUAUGAUUUUCUGCUCCUUACAGAGGCUCCCCUUGACCAGUUUUGGUCCGGUGUCCUUUCCUGCCAACAUUUUGACCUCUUUGGGUCCGCUACCUGCUAUCAGCACAGGGUUCCCCACACACGGGACCCAGGGGCACGGUGGGGCAUUACGAGACAGGUGAGUUGCAUACUCUGUCUUCUGUUUAUUUUUUAUUCAUUUUAUUUUCCAAAUUUUUUUUUCAAAUUUAGCUAUAUUAAAAUUUUUUUUAAUGAGGAUCCUUUUCUUUAUCCAAUAUUUUUUCUUUAUUAUUUUUUUCUCAUUUUUCGUUUUUUAUCCUUUGUUCUUUGUUCUUUUUCCUUUUUUCUUUUUCUUUUUCUUUUUCUUUAAAUAUUUUUUGGAAUUUUUUUGAACACUGUUUUUCUUUGUUGUAUGAGACAUAGAUAAUCCAUUUUUUAUUAUUUUUUCCUCUUUUUCUUAUUAUAGCUGAUUAUUCUACUGGUUUAUAGCUA